Molecule: long non-coding RNA, 106090 nt
Filed under: Triticum aestivum (bread wheat)
Lineage: Eukaryota; Viridiplantae; Streptophyta; Magnoliopsida; Poales; Poaceae
Description: long non-coding RNA (TAES_LNC024583)
Source: RNAcentral
GUCCUUUUUCUACCACUCCUUUCUCCACUCGAGUGUGUGGUCAAUAGCCGGAUAGCCUAGUUUCUCUCUAAAGCCGCUCGAGUCUAGUUCGCUAAACUGGCCUGAGAAGCACUCCGCCUUUGGGAUUGGAGGUUGAAGCCGAAGGCUGACCCGCUUGAAGUCUUGAGAUCGGAUGUGUCAUGUUAAAGCACGACGGAAGCACAAACUAAUUUUAAGACCAAUGUUCGGAUUGGCACCAAAAUACUUGAUUUACUUCGGACGUAAAGGUUCUAUGUAAUUUUUUUGGUUUUUCAAGCUUAUGAAGCUUUAACCUAUUUGUAUGCUUUUUUUCCAGGAGGCGAGACAUCCUCUUGACCGAGGUGACAUGCAUAAUACUUCAGCUCGGGAAAUCUUUUCCGACGUGUAGUUCCGCAACUUCCCUGUCGAGCUGCACCUUGGCAUGCCCGAACACUCCAAACACUGGGGGCUAGUUACUUGCCCCCAUGGUCAAGCUCCUAUGACUAAGUGAAAGUUAUAAAGCUAACACAUCUUAUUGCCUCGUUUCCGCUAACACAACCGCCUCCGGGCACCGAGACAUCGGCUAAGGGUUGUCUUGUUAUUGCGGAAACACCUUGCGUAGCAUCUACAAAUGGUGGAAGCCGACGAUGGGCCACUUUCAAAAUAUAAACGGUCGCACAGGGGCCAAAAUAAACACAUCGGACCUAUCAAAGUGUCUAAUAAACCGUACUGGGGGAUCCUUGAGGCACCUCAGCACAUUUCCAUUGGGACUUCUGGAGAGCCCAACAUAUCCUCAACAUUUGUAUUUAAUAUACGAAUGUUGCCUUCCCAUAAAUCAUUAUAAAGCCACAAUAUGCAUCAAUUUGACUUGAGAUCUAGCCACGCUGGGUUGCCUGGCUCCUGUGCUUGCCCCCUACGAUACCCAUUGUUUGGCUAGGGGGUAAAGGGAGCACCUCUGUGAUUGAUACUACUGGGUUAUCCAGGUUAGUACCUCAGACUGGGUGAAGCCGAAACCUAGCGAUCUCAAGAAUAUAAUUGGUCGACAACGGCGUAAGUGAAAAUCUUGUGGUUUUAAUGCCAAAUACUUCGGGAAUUUCUCCCGAAUUGGUCUUCAAUAUUUUUCUCCCGCUUAGAUUGGAGGUGAAGUUACAUCAUCCUGCUUAGCAGGACAACCCAAAGAAAGGAACCGAGAGCGGGACUAUUUUCUUUGGAAGAUUUCUUACGUUAAAUAGUAGUAUAACAUAUCUCUUUGUGUACCUUUGUUUAUAAAACCACAUGGCCGGAUUGCCUUGUUUUUCGUAAAUCUUUGCCCUUAUAACGGCUUUAAAAAGUAGGAAAACACUCCUCUGCUACUGGUCGAGGAGGUUGAAGCCGAUGGUCGGUCAACAAAGUUUGUACAAUGCAAAUCCGAGCAUUAAUGAUGUAAAGUACUUUGAUACAUAGAAUCAUUACACAUACUGGACGAAGUUAAUUUACUUGAAGUCGUCUAUUAAAAAGUCGAGGGCACAGUCUUGUUGAGACAGCCAAGUAGCCAGAAUUGAAUUUUGUGUCAAACGAAUAUUGAUCCUUAAUCCGGCCACCCGUGUCCAGAUUAAGGCUCAGGGGCUACUGCAUUGACGAUUCAAUGCAGAAAAUUCAAAGUGCAAAAUAGUUUCCAAGGAGAUUACGAUCCUCCGUUGCACACCGCACCCAACCUGAGUCUCGGGGGCUACUGCACACCGCAUUUCUAUUCCUACGUAUGCUGCCGAGCUAGGAGUUGAUCCUCAGACCAAUUUCGCGAAUAGACCCGAGUCUCAGGGGCUACUGGGAUAAGCGGUUUCAUGUUUUCCUUCAGGUGCAUCUUGGAUUUUAGGCUGACACAUGCCUUGAGGGCUACUGGCUAUAUACCUCGGCAGAGAAUAAAUUGCACCAAUCAAAAAAGUCCACAAAAAUAAGCCCACGGCCGAGGUGGUGCACCACCUCGGAAGCAGUUCGGAAUAAAGCUCGGAUGCACGUGGCUAGCUCCAUACAGGGCAUUUUCAGCAUUAAUCUCGGCUGAACUCCUCCAAAUUUUUCAAGAACGAGGUAAUCUAUGACAUCUCGGAUGCGGAUCAGCGUUGGAGCUCGGCUGCAAAAAGACAUCUCGGAUGUGGAUCAAUGUUGGAGCUCGGCUACAAAAAUACAUCUCGGAUAAGGAUAGGCAUUGGAGCUCGACUGCAAGAGACACCUCAGAUGCAGUUCGGCGUUGAGGCUCGGACGCAAGAGGACACCGCCGCAUGGGAAACACUUCAAACCCGAGGUGUGGCGUAAAAACAACAAGGCAUUGAUAGAGGCCGAGAACUUAAUGGGGCUCCUCAGAUACCCGACGUGUAAACUCUUCGGAUUCACCUCGGCAAACCUCAAGAUCAAAGAUGGGAAGAUUUGUUGAACCAGUUUUCAAGACCGACGACCGAAGAUGAAGAAUAGUUCAAAAGAAUCGGGGAGCAUCCCCAACUUGAAGACCUGUUCAGGGGGCUACUAACGGUGUACUGGACUAGGGGGUACUCACCACGUCGUCUCCCGACCAGUGGGUCGGGCCGAGGACCCCCAUGGCGGUUCACUAAUGGGCCAGUUCGGGCAGCCCAUGACAUAUACGAGGAAGAUUCCACAAGACUUGGUGAUCAAGACAAGGACUCCUAUCCACCGACGUAGCCGACUAGGACUCUUGUUAUCCUAGGCCUCCGAUACAUUAUAUAAGCCGAGGCCAGGCUAGUCGAUAGAUCAUGAUGACAUUCAUCAUCAUACCCCUAGGGUUUAGACCACAACUUACGAUCUCGAGGUAGAUCAACUAUGUACUCGAUACAUCAUCAUCAAUAUUAACAAGAGCAGGACAUCGGGUUUUACCUCCAUCAAGAGGGCCCGAACCUGGGUAAACAUCGACUGCCUUCUUCCUAUUACCAUUGAUCCAAGAUCCAUAGCUCGAGACCCCCUACCCCGAGGUCUGCCGGAUUUCCCUCCAACGAUGUCCCUUUAUGUCACUGUACUUCAUCUCCUCUCCUCUUCGAGGAAAAUCACGGAGAGGGUCUACAUCAACCUUGUUACCCUCCCAAUGAUGUGUGGGUAGUUUACCACAGACCUACAGGUCCAUAGUUAGUAGCUAGAUGGCUUCUUCUCUCUCUUUGAUCUUCAAUACGAUGUUCUCCUUGAUGUUCUUGGAGUUCUAUUCGAUGUAAUCACUUUUUGCAGUGUCUUUGUUGGGAUCCGAUGAAUUGUGAGUUUAUGAUCAGAUUAUCCAUGAAUAUUAUUUGAGUUUUCUCUGAACUCUUUUAUGCAUGAUUACAAUAGCUUUGUAUUUCUCUCCUAUCUAUUGAUUUGGUUUGGCCAACUAGAUUGAUUUUUCUUGCAAUGGCAGAGGUGCUUUGUGAUGGGUUCGAUCUUGCGGUGCUCAAUCCCAGUGACAGAAAGGGACAUGACAUGUAUUUGUAUCAUUGCCAUUAAGGAUAAAAAGAUGGUGUUUAUUCAUGUGUGAGUUUACUUUGUCUACAUCAUGCCAUCUUGCUUAAGGCGUUACUCCGUUCUUUAUAAACUUAAUAUUCUAGACGCAUGCUGGAUAGUGGUCGAUGUGUGGAGUAAUAGUAGUAGAUGUAGAAUCAUUUUGGUCUAUUUGUCUCGGACGUGAUGCCUAUAUACAUGAUCAUUGUCUUGGAUAUCGUCAUGAUUAUUCGCUUUUCUAUCAAUUGCCCGGCCAUAAUUUUGUUUACCCACCGUAUGCUAUUUUCAAGAGAGAAGCCUCUAGUGAAAACUAUGGCCCCCGGCUCUACUUCUAUCAUAUAUAUUAAAAUCCUAAAAAUACUUUGCUGCAAUUUUACUUUAUUUAAUUUAUUUUGUAUUUUUUUUCUAUCUAUCUAUCCAUCACUACAAAAUUUAAUCUUGCAAUUAACCGCCGAGGUAUUGACAACCCCUUGUUCGUGUUGGGUGCAAGUAUUUGUUAUUUUGUGUGUAGGUGUUGCUAACGAGGUGUUGCCUGGUUCUCUUACUGGAUUGAUAACCUUGGUUCAUAACCGAGGGAAAUACUUAUCUCUACUGUAAUGCAUCAUCCCCUCCUCUUCGGGGAAAUCCCAACACAGCUCACAAUAGCAUGCCUCAACCCAUACCGUACCGAACUACUCACACAUGGAGAUCAGAUCACACGAAGAACACAUAAGGGAGAUUGAUUGAUUGAUAAUAUGUCCUACAUUGGAUGCCGUGUACGAUGCACAAUUACAAGUGUGAACUAGAGGAAGAUGAACUAUGGUGGUGACUAUGGCUAUCGAGAUGGAAAUGGCGGCAGCUAGGGUUGAUGAAGAUGGAUGAAGAUGACUUUGUUCUGGCUUUGCUCGCAGAUGUUAUGUUCACAUUUCAACCUGGUCCCCUUUAUAAAUGUUGUUCAGGUGGAUGAGAGUUUCCAUGCCAUACGAACACUCAUGCGAGCGGUCGUGGUCGUAUGGAACGUCGUCUUUUGUAUUGUUUCUUCUGGUCCGCCUCCUCCUGAUUUUUUCCUAUCUCCUUCACUCCUUUCUAUGUUCACACAUGAUUUCUUCACUUUCUAUCCCAUUUACUACGGAAACAUAUCAAAGAGAGGAUUUGUGGAAUCCUUUGCAUUCACUAGUCAUUAGUAGAAAUAACAAAGCCAAUAUAUCAGUUUUAAUGAAAUAUCUUGGUUUAAGCAAAGGGUAAAUGAUUGUUAAAAUAUCACUCGUCACCAGGUAAUUCAUACUUAGUCUGUCAGAUUCAACUUUUACUAUACCAUACCGUUAAAACUAAAUUUAUGCUCCCGUCAAUAGGAGAUCUGCGCCAAGAAUAAAGCAAACCGAAGUGUUGUGAAGCUCCACCAAACUAUUCGCUCUAGAUGAUACAUUGCAACUUCUGAUCACAAUAAGGUAACCACUCCACCUUCCUACAUGCAAUUGUUUUCAUAAGUAUAUGGCUUGUGGCAGUAAUGUUCAUCAUGUCCUAUUUGAGGUAAUAGUGUAAUGAGGACAAACAGAAACCAACAAUUGUUUAAUAUUUUGAAGCAACCCACAUCGGGAAGAUGGAUAGGGUGAUGAGUGAGGUUGCAACAACGACACUCGUAAGCAUACUGCAAUUUUUGUAUUUCACAUGUAAUGUGCCACCCAAAAUAUUACGUUUCUAACACCGUACUAACAACGCUUCAAUCAUAUUGUAGAAGAAAAUGAAGGAAAAGCAAGACGAAACUCUAGCAUAAGGUGAAGAGCCAACAAUAGAUGUACACAUUGUUGUAGAGGUUCUCAAGGACAUUGCCAAGCACAACACAUUCCUUGUAGGCAUGGGAGAGUCAUCUACAUCGCGGCAGAAGACAACCUCUCAUGAUCGCAUGAGAGAGCUUGCAACUCAGGAGCUAGCUAUGAGAUCAGCAGCUGAUAGGUAUCAAGAAGAGCUAAAUGCAAGAAUAGUAGAUCAACAACGUGAAAUCAAAGAGACAAAAACAAAGAAGCAAGAUGAAAUUGCAGAUCUUGAGAAGGAGCAAGAGGAGAAUAUUGAUUCUAUGGAAAAGAAUCUAAAAGACUUGGGGAACCUUAAGUUUUGUCUUAAGUCACCUGCACAACGGCUCUAAUAACAACAUGUUGCACCCCCUUUCGGGGCCUCUAAUAAUAGCAUGUCGCAACCCUGACGGUGAUCUUCUUUGUCGUGAAACUUUGGUUGUUUCUUAUUAUUUUGUAUGGUACUCCGUAUGUUUCCUUUUAUGGCGUGUGUGAUCCUUCCUCAAAUGGCUGAUCAUUAUUAUAGUCGUGUUAAGCAUGUCUGCUUUUGUGUUAGUGUAAGUUAUUUCAUUCUCAUUUUUGAAAUUUUACGAUUUUUAAAUCUAAAUCCGAUUGGGGGUUGCAGCAUUGAACAAAGUAUGAUGGUAAAUAGUGACGAAAAUGCAUGCCGUCACCAGCUUCCGGACCCACAUGUAAGCCACCACGUCAACAUCCAAUGGGCCCACAUUUCAGGAUCUAUGACCGGUCAAAUCUAAAUUUUACCGAAGGCUAUCGUCAGUGAUAAAACCAUGGUCGGGCCCAACUGUAAGUUGUCAUAUCAUCAUCUUCUGGGCUCGUAUGUCAGAAACAUUGACUGGUCGAAUGUCAGAGUAAUGAGCCACGGGUAGCCUAACCCGAGUCCCUGAACCUUUCAAGACAUCGGGGCUAGCUGCGCCCCUCAAGACAUCAAGAUGAAGCGCCGCCUUCUGAUGGCCGGUUGGCCGAACGGCCGGCUGCCAGAAGACGGCCAACCUCCGGAAGGCGGCAUCAAGACGGGCCGACUCCUAGUAGGCGGCCUCCAGAGAGGCCGGCUCCUAGCAGUCGGCCCACGGCGCCCUCAAAGUCUGCGCCCCCAAUAAGAAGACAAGACAGUGUAAGGCUACAGCGUAGCCCAUCACCCCCGUAUCCGGGCGGGGCGUGGCCAUAGUGCUCCGUACAGGCGGAGAUCUCCGCCCGGCGCGGCACUGUUGCCACUCCGCCCCUGACAUCACAGCUGGCAGGCGGAGCCCUGUUCCCACGACGGCCUGUCGGUGCGGCCUGUAGGCGGCGGGCCCUACCAGGAAGCGAGAGCCCGGAAGACGACAGAGGACUGGCCAGUCGGACCUAAGGGAGGUCGGCUUCCAGCAGGCGGCCCUUUCCUCCCUCGGGGCCCGUGCACCAUUAACUAGAUGAGACACGGUCUGGCUACAGAGAUCUCCCACCAGGCGGCGGGACUGUAGCCAUGCUCUCCUGACCAAGCACGCGUCAUUAGCAUCACGACUACAGUAAUCAGCAGCCGGCAAGACCCGCGAGCGGCGGGAGCGGCCUGUCGGCUUUGUACCAGACCAGUCGGCGGGGCCCACCAGGCGGCGGGCCCCAGCAGCCGGCCGAGAAGCCGGCGACCAGAGACACUGACAGUCGGGACCUACACUCGGCCAGAUUAUCAAUGUACCCCUGGGGGCGUAGGCCUAUAUAAACCCCCCAGGACGCCCUUGCAAAGGGUUCCCAACCUGUUAGAACUAGACUCAUACCUAGAGGAAGGAGAGAGCGAGCCUGCCUUCUUCUACCUCUAGCAUACAGCUCGAGGAGCACCAUUGUAUCCACUAGUGCCUUAGUGAUCAUGCGGAGACCCCGUAGAGCAGAACUAGGGGUGUUAUCUCCUAGGAGAGCCCCGAACCUGGGUAAAGUGCGCCGGCGUUCGUGUCUACACCUCAUCCCGCUUACAGGCACCGGUGACGUUCUACUCGCUCCCACCAUGAUAAGCCAUCCAUUGGCAUAUGUCGCAUCCAACCCCCGACAUUUGGCGCCCACCGUGGGGCGAGGUGCACCGUCUCCCGGAGACCUGUUCUGGACGGGAACCUUGUUCCUCCCUGGCGAGCGUAGCCAGCCCGGCAUGCCAGACGGUGUCUGCGCCGAUGCGCUGCACGGCGCGGAGGUCGCCUCAGCGAGCUGCCUCGCCGAUCUUGUCGGCGAGAUUCGCCUCUCCGACGAGCUCGCGCCUGAUGCGGGCACAGAAAGCCCGAGAGCCGCCUCGUCAGCCUCCUCGAUCAGCUCCACGUCGCCAGCGAGCCUGCUGUAGACUUGGGGUCCGUUGGCUCCACCGACCUUGGUCGACUCCGACACGGCGUCGCUUGAUGCGUUCCCCACCAACGUGGUGGUCUACAACGAACCGCUCCCUCGCACGGACAGCGGUGGCAGCACCAUCACGGAGGUGCUCGUCAUCAGCCACGGCGAGCACUCUGGCAGAGGUGGCCAGGAUCCGUUGCAGGCGGCGCUGCAAGACCUGACUGCGCCCAUCCCGGAAGACGCCGACGCUGAGACGCUGGAGGCACGCCGUGUCCAGCUUUUCGAAAGCGCCAACUGGCUGGCCAGCAUGAGACGCCUUUCGGAGGCCUACCAGCGUGAGAUGGACCGUGCCGUCAGCGGCACGCCGGCUCCUGGUGGGCCUAGCCGCAUUGGCCUGAUUUGGCAGCGUGGCGCGACCAUCGCCAGCAUGUUCGGGACAGAUCGUCCCGUCUACGCCACGCCCGCAGAGAACAUACGAGCCGCCCAGGCGGCAGCUGACGACCUAGACAAGCUCGAGGGCGACGAGCGUCGCCACAUGAUGGAGCGCGUCCAGCAGCUCCUUGACGCGGCUGCUGAGCAGCAAGAGGCCGGGUGCCGCACUGAAGCGCCCAACCGGCGAAACGACGACCCGCCUCCUCGCCGAGACCAAGGCGCGACAUCCCGGACGCCGAUUGGUGGCGUCCGCGGUAGAAGAGACAAGGAGCCGGCUGCCAGCCGCAGCCGGACUCGCAUCACCAUCGAGCGUGACCAAGACGGCCGCCCAAGAGCAGCGGAACGGCGGGACAACUGCCCGCCUCCUCCUCCCCCUCACAGGGAGAGGCGCGCUUCCCCGCCGCCUGUUGAUCACCCGACACUCGGCGACCGCCUUGGCCACCGAGAAGGAGUCAGAGAGAACGAUGCCCGCCACUGAAUCGACCGCCUCAAUCGAUCCCUGGUGUUAGAAAAAGAAGACGAGUUGGGUCCGCCUUGUUUCGGCGCCCGCAUCCGAGAUGAGCCUUUCCCCAAAGGGUUAACUCUCCCGAGAGAUACGCCCAAGUACACCGGCUCCGUGAAGCCGAAAGACUGGCUGGUCGACUACUCCACGGCCGUCAGCAUCGCGAACGGCAACAAGCGUGUUGCCGUGAAGUACGUUCCGCUCAUGCUCCAGGGCACAGCCCGGACAUGGCUAAACAGCCUGAAGCCCCGCAGCAUCAACAGCUGGGUUGAUUUCACUGAAGCCUUCAUCCGCAACUUCACCAGCACGUACAAGCGGCCGCCCAAGCCUCGCCAACUCUCCUUACGCGUCCAAGGCCCCAACGAGUCGACUCGCGACUACCUCACGCGCUGGGCCGAGCUGCGCAACUCUUGCGAGGGCGUGCACGAGGUGCAGGCCAUCGAGUACUUCACUUCCGGGUGCCGAGAAGGCACCCUCCUCAGGCACAAGCUUCUUUGCGACGAGCCGACGACCCUCGACGAACUGUUGAUCAUAGCAGACAAGUACGCCACAGCCGACUCCUCCAUGAAGGCGGAGAUCCAAGUUGACACAUCUGGCAAGGUGGCUCCCCAAGCUCCUCGGACCCCGGCUGGUGACACCAAGACGGCAACAGAAUGACCAUAAGCGCAAGGCCAUGCAGCCGGCUUCCAUGAGCCGGCAGGUGAUGGCAGUCGAAGAUCAGCAGCCGGAAGGGCAGCCACUACCCAAGCAUCAGAAGGGCGGCAAGCCUAACUGGUUGCCCACCUUCUCGUAUGAGCAGACUCUUGGUGCACCCUGCAAGUUCCACAACGGCGCGAAGCCGUCCAACCACACCACUCGGAAGUGCCACUGGCUCACCAGGAUCGCCAAGGGUGAUGGACUCCUGCCUCCCCCGCCUGCCGGCCCGCCGCCUCCUCCUCCCCAGCCGCCGGCGGUUCGGUCAGUCGGUGCAAUACAAGAUGAAUACCCUGAAGAGCAUGGAGCUUAUGUCGUGUCCACCAGCGUGGCCGACGAAAGGCACAGCAGACGAUAGCGACAACAAGAAGUAAAUGCAGUAGCAUCAAAGACCCCUGAGUUCAUGCAUUGGUCUGAGAAACCCAUCAGCUGGAGCAGAGCCGACCACCCGGAAGUGAUGCCCAAUCCCGGUUCUUAUGCUCUAGUGUUGGAUGCCACCUUUGCAAUGGAGAGGCAGGCUGCUCGCUUCUCCCGAGUUCUGAUAGAUGGCAGCAGCAGCAUCAACAUCCUGUACAAAGAUACUAUGGAGAAGUUGGGAAUCAAGCGGAGACAUCUUCAGCCCAGCCGGACUGUAUUCCAUGGCAUAGUUCCUGGCCUUUCAUGCUCACCAAUCGACAAGACUCAAAUUGACGUCCUCUUCAGAGAUAAAGAACACUUUCGCCGAGAGCCAGUCUGGUUCGAGGUGGUGGACCUUGAGAGCCCUUACCAUGCACUGCUUGGCCGGCCUGCCCUGGCCAAGUUCAUGGCGGUCCCCCACUAUGCUUACCUCAAUAUGAAGAUGCCGAGCUCCAAGGGAAUCCUUACCAUAGCAGGGGACUACAAGAAGUCGUCCGCCUACGCGGCAGACAGCAGCCGGCUAGUCGAGUCCCUCAUGAUCGCGGCUGAGAAGCGGCUCCUUGACCGGGUUGUGGCGAUGGUAGGCAAGCAGCCGGAAAUGUCACCCAAUCCCAAGGAGUCGAAAGCCAAGGGAUCGUUCAAACCGGCAAAAGAAACAAAGAAGAUACCCUUGGACCCGGAGCACCCGGAGAGGCACGCUGUCAUAGGUGCGAACCUUGACAGCAAAUAGGAAAGCAAGCUCGUCGAUUUCCUCCGUGAGUAUCGGGACAUCUUUGCAUGGUCUCCCAAGGACAUGCCGGGUGUUCCGACGGAUUUUGCCGAGCACAAGCUACGUGUCCGGCCCGAUGCCAAGCCAGUUAGGCAGCCCUUGCGCCGCCUGUCAGAAGAGAAGAGUUGUCGGAGAAGAGAUAGCCCGGCUUCUAGCAGCCGGCUUCAUCAUGGAGGUGUUCUUCCCAGAAUGGUUAGCCAAUCCAGUCCUUGUGCUGAAGAAGAAUAAGCAGUGGCGCAUGUGUAUCGACUAUACCAGCCUCAACAAAGCUUUCCCCAAAGAUCCAUUUGCUUUGCCAAGGAUCAACCACGUAAUUGACUCCACAGCCGGAUGCGAGCUGUUGAGCUUUUUGGAUGCAUACUCAGGGUAUCAUCAGAUCAAGCUAAACCCGGCCGACAGGCUGAAGACCGCCUUCAUCACGCCAUUCGUAGCCUUCUGCUACCUGACCAUGAUGUUUGGCUUGAGAAAUGCCGGCGCCACGUUUCAGCGUUGCAUGCAGAAGUGUCUCCUCAAGCAACUCGGCAGAAACGCCCACGUCUAUGUGGACGAUGUUGUGGUGAAGAUGGAGAAGCGCGGAACUAUGUAAUGCUUCCUGCGGCCGGACAAGUAAUGUGUUGGCACUUAAGCCUUCUCCUGCCAGAAGUCGCAGCUCGCAGAGCGACUGUCUGGUGGGCAGGAGUUAAGGCAGAAAGGGUGUCCGCAUGAAAACUAAUGAACCAAAAGCAUGUACAUAGUUCAAGUCAGCUCCCCGCCUCAUCGACCGGUUGCUGAGCAGCCGGCCGGCCGGCUUCUACUUAAAUUGCCAAAAGCUCUAAGCGGCUAAGUCCUUACCCUCCCAAAGCAGCCAAAUACUUGACCCAGCCACAGUCCGCAGAGCGGCUGUUUGGCUGGCAAGACGGCAGCACAGGGAGGGUGGCAAAGGAAAAAGCCAAGGAGCUGAAAGCAAGGAAAGAUAGAACUCGGAAAACGUAUUUACACAUCAAAAGGCCCUUGGCCAACAUUCAACUGAAGUUUGAAAUACAGCCCGCGGGUGGAAUUGUGCGAACAAAGUUUGUCGAGACUGAUAAGCAGGUAAAAACAAAAGGUAAAUUGGCAGCCUAGGGAGCAGCAGACGGGUUCGGCGGAACGGUGGAGUCGGUGGUGCCGGUUGGUGGAGCGGCCGGCUGGUCGGUCUCCGCUUGGUCGCCUUCAGCAGCAGCCGGCUCGCUCGGGCGUGGCUCGUUGCUGGAGGCACGGUCGAGCUGAGGCUGGUCGUCCGCUCCAACCUCUGGCGCUUCCUCUUCACUUUCCUCAUCCUCCUCGCCUUCUCCCUCGUUGCUGGAGUCGAUCACUUCGGCCGAGUCCUCGCCAUCCUCUGGGUUCAGCCCGAACCACUUUGGCGGCGCCUCGGCACCGUUCUCAGGCAGCUCCGGGACAAAGAUGCUAGUAUUGGUGUACUCGGUGAUUGCCGUCGCCCGUUUGACAAGUUCACCCUCUACCGCCACCAGCUCCUCCUGGGCCUCUUGUCGAAACAUGGUCAACUGGGCUAGAUUUAGCCCAGGGUACCACGUCUUGACGAACUCCAAGGCUCGGCGUGCUCCAGCCAGGGCCGAGGAGCCCUUCUAGGCCUCAAGACGGCCAGCCGCCACCUCCAGCCAGUCGGCAGUCCGGCUGGGAGUGCGCGGAGCCGGCAUGUCCGGCCACAGGGCGGAGAUGGCCUGGGCCCCGACGCGCUGAAGACGGCGCAACAUCCGAUGAGCCGGACGAAGACGGGCCUGGAUGCUGAGAAGUUGUUCGCUGAGGGUCCGGGGGGCGUUGGCAGCAAUCUGCGCACCUUCUGCCCUCCGCUCUUCGCGCUCAUCCUCAAUGGCCUGAUUGGCGGCGUCAAAGUGACCAGGGAAAAAGUCUUCCCAAACAGAAAGGAAAAGAGCCAAAGUUAGAAGCAAGAAGCCGGCUCGAUCAACAGCCGACGGCUCAAGGAAAGAAAAAAGGCUCACCGUCAACCAUGUCUUCAAUUUUGCCGAAGCCGGCAGUCAGCAAAGCCUCCUUAUCAGUCCAGGCGGACCGUUCGAUCUCAAACUCAACAAGGAGAGCGGUCUCCUUUUCCUCCACCUCCUUCUGGGCAUUCUUGAGAAGCUCCGCCUGCUCCGCCAGCUGCGUGGUCAGCCGGUCACGCUCCUCGGCCAGCUUGCUGCAGUCCGCUUCCCUGGCACGCAGCACGGUGUUGGCUUCGCCCAGCUACUGCUGCAGGGCAGCGUUGGCCUCUGCAAGAAGGGAGAAAGAAAAAGGCGUCAGCAGCCAACAGAGAAGAAGUACAGUCGCCGGGGAGAUCUGGCCCGACUGAUCAGCAGUCGGCCCGAAUCUCGGGGACUACAGCCCGCGGGCGCGCCAGCGCGCCCCCGCGGAGAAAGAAGUUAUCAAAAUCAACAAAGAAGAAGAACAGUUGCCGGGAAGAUCUGGCCCGACUGCUCAGCAGUCAGCCCGAAUCUCGGGGACUACAGCCCGCGGGUGCGCCAGCGCGCCCCUGCAGAGAAAGAAAACAAAGACUUACUCCGGCUUUCCGACAAGUCAGCGGUCCGUUGAUUCAGCUCCUGGACUUUGGAGUUGAAGGCGGCCGCAUGGAGGUUAUGAUAAUCCUGCAGUGAAGAUAUCAGACAAUGUUAGCACUCGGAGCUUGCCAAUUAAAGUUCCGAGCCGCCUGCUCAGCAGCCGGCCCGAAACUCGGGGACUACACCCAGUGGGUGCGCUGACGCGCCCCCACAGAGAAGUACAAGAAUCAGAAAUAAAGAAGAAACAUACCCGGAUGGCUGCUCGCGAGUCCAAGAACGCUUGGUUGCACCGUUUCAGGGCGUCGGCCUCGGCUCGGAGUUUGCCUUGGACGUCCAGGAUCACCUGAUUCAAAGGGCCCGUCCCGCCUCCCCGCACCCAAUCAGCGGGCGUGGCGCUGGUCGCCUCGGCGUCCGGGAUCGAAGAGCUCGCGGCACCGGCUUCCAGCGGGCGUGGCGCCGAAGCCGCCUUUGCAAGCCGGCGGCGCGAUGGUGUGCGGACCUGGAGAAUCGGGCCCGUCACCAUCUCAUCUCUGGUUGACGGCACCGGCGGGUCCACCGGCUGCUUGUCGCACGCCUCCCCAGAUGGUGGCGGCGGAGGCACGGCCACGUCCGGCAUGACGACAUCGCCGCCGUCCCUCUCCAUGAUCGGGUCCUUGUCGCCGGCUCCCCCAGUCGGCGCCACGAACUCUGGUGGUGGCGGCGCGGAGUUUAAGGGGAUGACGAAUAACGCCGACUGACGGCGCGCGGCUUCUUCAGCCUGCCGCCCUCGGCCUCCGCCAGCUUCUUCAAUGCGGCGGCCUCCGCCUUCUCUAGGCAGGCGGCUUCCUGCUCCCAACGCACCUCCCGCGCGUUUCGCUCCCGCGCCUCCCGGAGGUCGGCGGCUGGAUUGAUUCGCCGGGUGGUGGUGGAGGUCUCCGCCGACCCAAUGACGGAGGCGGCGGCCGACUUCUGAAAAGAGAGUGGGGCCCUAAGUCAAGAAAGUAAAGCAAAGGAAGUUCAAGGAGAAUCGACAAGGAAGAAAAAGCACAAGAAAAGAUACUUACGCCGACACCAUGGGAGGCGCCUUCGGGAGCUUCUGAAAUUUGGCUGCCUUCGCGGCGGCCUCCUUCCGCCUGGUCACGGUGGUCGGAUUCUUGGCCUUCUUCAGCGCGCUACUGAACAAGGCGGCGCCCUGUUUACACUUCCGCGUGCCGCCUCGAGCAGUCGGUUCGGCGGAGGGGCCCGCGUCCACCCUGCCGGCGCCUCGUGCAGGGCGCGGCUCGUCUUCCUCAUCGUCAUCGUCAGGCCAAGUCUCGAUGCCGCCUUCUUCGGAGCCGCCAGCUCCAUAGACGCUGCCUAUGGCGUCGUCCUCCAAGGCGGCCGCCCACAGGUCGGGGUCAUCCACGUCGCUCACAGCUCGGUCCGGUUCAUAGGGGCCACCCGCCCCCACGAUGGCGGCUGUCGCUUCAGACAUGUAGAUCUGUUUCAAAUGGGCAAGAGGCCGACUGUUCAAGACCGCAAGAUGGAAUCAAGACGAAGUAUUGAAGAAGGGAAAGGUUGAAGAACUUACGGCUGGUGGAGGGUCUGCGCGGGAGUACGGCUGCUUGCCGAACCGUCAGGGCACCUCCAGCUUGAGGUCGGAGAUCUCGUUCACCAGGUUCGCCACCUCAGCAGCCGGCAUCUCCUUGGUACUCAGCCGACAUGGGUCGCGGUGCCCGCUCAUCCGGCUGAUCAAGUGAGGCCGGCCUUGGAGCGGGAGAACCCGGCGCGCGACGAAGGCGACCAGCAAGUCAGACGCCUUGAGGCCUUCGGCUUCGGUCAGCACCCGGAGUCGGUUGAUGGCGGCAGUCUGCUGACACCGGCUUCGGCUUGUAGCCCUAGUUGGCCCGAGACUUAGCCGGAGGGACGGCUUCAUAGGCCGGCAGGUUGAUGAAGUCGACUGCCGGGUCGACGUCUCCACGUAGAAGUAAGAUUGCUGCCACAUCUUGACCGACUGUGGCAGCUUGAUGGAGGGGAAGGCGUUCCUUGGAGACGGACAGUGCACCGCGACGAAGGCACCACACUGGGUUGCCACCUCCCGGACGGAGGUGCCCAGCUUGGUAUAGAAGAACGCCCCCCACAGCUCGAUGGUGGGGAGGAUGCCGAGGUAGCCUUCGCACAUCGUGAUGAAGGCGGAUAGCAAUAUCACGGUGUUGGGCAUGAUGUGAUGAGGUUGGAUAUGGUAGAACUCGAGGAACGAGCGGAGAAAGCCGCUCGCCGGCAGGCCGAAGCCGCGGAUGAAGUGCGAGCGGAAGACGACCCGCUCGCCCUCCGCCGGCGCCGGCGAGAUCUCCCCCGCAGGAGGCACGCGCGCCUUCACGUAGCCUGCGCCGAGAAGGCGCCGCGUGUCGCAGAGAAAGGCGAUAUGGUCUUCAUUGACGUUCGACCCGUCCCAGUCUCCUCCCUGCUCGCGCGCCAUGGAAAGCUCGACGAGGUGAAUGGCGUGGCAGGGGAGCUGAGGAUUGAUGCAGGGCCAAGAGGGCUCGGGACGGAGGAGCUCGACGAAGACGAGCAGCGGCAGCACUCCGGCGUAGCUCGGGGGCACUGCGGCGAGAGGAGGAAGAAGGAGACGAGAAUGGGGCAGGAGGGCGCGCGUGCUCCGCCGCUUCCCCUCCUCCCCCUACUUAUAGCCGACGGGCUAUGAAGCCGAGGGGGUGGGCGUGGGAUCGUGGGAUUAACUGUGUCCACGACCCCACGUCCCCGCGUUUACCGCGCGAGUUACUGCGCGCAGUAACUCCGCGAAGAAGCUCAACCGCCCGCCCCGGCCGCAGCGGAUCCACUCGUGUGCCGAGGCCCGGUAGUGGCGGGCCCAGCCUGCUGUCACGUCCCAUCGCACGCGUGGGCUAGCAGGCUGGCCCGGCUAGCCGACGCCACAUGGCAUGCCCACGACGGGCGGCGGGCCUGGAAGCUUAGCUAACACGCCACCCAGUUCCCGCCAUUGCGUUCGAAGUUUCAGACGAAUCCGGCUGGACGUGGCCGACUCCCACCUGGCGGCUAGCCAGGAGUCGGAUGAAGCUUCCGCCCAGAGCACCCGGAGAAGGAAACUGUUGAGGCUCCUCGGCUUCUCAGCCGCGGUGCCUCACCAGCUUCGGGGACUACUGUCGGAGUAAUGGGCCACGGGUAGCCUAACCCGAGUCCCUGAACCUUUCAAGACACCGGGGCUGGCUGCGCCCCUCAACAAGCCGCCUUCUGAUGGCCGGUUGGCCGAACGGCCGGCUGCCAGAAGACGGCCAACCUCCGGAAGGCGGCAUCAAGACGGGCUGACUCCUAGUAGGCGGCCUCCAGAGAGGCCGGCUCCUAGCAGUCGGCCCACGGCGCCCUCAAAGUCUGCGCCCCCAUUAAUAAGACAAGAUAGUGUAAGGCUACAGCGUAGCCCAUCACCUUGUCACGGCCGGUUUUUCAAUAAAAUAUUUAUUGAGAGACCAAUCCCUUUUACGGACCAGCGAGGAAGAAUUCCUUCUCACUGGUAGACAAUAUCUUGGUCACAGAAGAAAAAUACCAGGAGUACUAAAUAUAAUACAAGGUUGAGCAGAGACUGCACAACAAUUUAUUACAUGCACGCCGCUAAAACAAGACGGCGGAUAGGGUGGCAAACUACUAACUUACGAUAAUAACGGUGGUGGAAAUAUCACCGCGAAGCGAGUGAUAUGAUUCCAGAAGACUACAGCUCUUCGAGCGUCGGAGUGAGGCUCGAGGAGACUUAUUGCGGGUGGCGGAAGCGUAUACAAUACAAGUGACCAAUGUCCGGGAUCGCGCAGGACUGACUGGGACUCCUCUAGGCAUCGGACGCGCUAUCAAACUCUUCAUCCAAGAGAUCGCCUUCGUCAACAUCUGGCCAAAUCAACAAGCCAGGUGAGUACUAUGAAAGUACUCGCAAGACAGUUCGGACAUAAGAUAUAACAAAUGUAAACAUGAAGCAUAUGAACAAGUUAACCGGUGCGAUUAGACAUAGCGGUAAUAAAUACUGGGUGCCAAGCGAGGGUCUGAAUCACGCCUCGAGCGGAAACUGCAGAAUAGUAAUACUGGUGCCAAACGAGUGUCUGAAAGACUCCUCGAGCGGAAAAUGCGGAAUAUUAAUGCGGGUGCCAAACGAGUGUCUGAAAGACUCCUCGAGCGGAAAAUGCGGAAUAUUAAUGCGGGUGCCAAACGAGUGUCUGAAAGACUCCUCGAGCGGAAGAUGCGGAAUAAUAAUGCCACAGUCGGGCGUCGGGGCGACACCACAUAAAGGGCUUAUAACAGAAAAUAAAGACAGUGCAUGCCGCAGUCGGACGUCUGAGCGACAUCACAUAAAGGGCUUAUAUUUAAAGUGAGAAGCGAGUACACGCCACAGUCGGACGUUUGCGCGACGUCUCAUAAAGGGCUUAUAUCACAACUCAUUAAUACAAUAGUCGGGAACAUAAAUUAUCACAAGCAUGAGACAAAUAUAAAGUUAGUCCAUCCACAGGAAUAACAAUAAAUCUGAAUUUACCACUUGAGCUUGUUCACCGGGGACAAGUUUUUCACACAGAUAGAUAUGGAUAUAAUACUUACACUGCUCGAUCAUGGAUACGAUGAUUUGGAAAGAAUUGACUCUGCAGAGUUUGUACUUAACCACAGCCAACGGAUUUCAGUAGUCACGGGGACUAGUUCCGUCUACAGUGUUUUGGAAGAAACACGUCUAACCAGUACACACCCAAUUCAACCAUCCGAAGCCAGGGAUCACCCUCGGAAACAUUCAAGAAAAACCUUGAGACAGGGAGGCUACAACCUCGCGUAGCAUGGGAUCAAAUUUCUAUACGCGCGCUUUAAGGGGGUGCCCCCCUCUCGGUCCCAACCGGAAACACCCAUGCCCCCUGACCGAAUGACUGGCUUUAAUCCUGGGCCAAGGUACCAUCAUCCCGGCCUCUCUGUUUGGUGUGUACACGGAAAGAGGUUACCAACUUACUACACCGCAUCCUGGCAAUGAGACAUGUGGUAGCACGGAAAGGGGAAAGAACGGUAACGCGGCUCCAACCACGUUAACGUCGGAGAAAGUCGGAUGACGCAAGGCUGGCAUGCUACAACAGUACCACCUUGCUGCCCUUCAUGUCACCACAUGAUUAGGCCAUCUCUCAUCAGAGAUCAUCGCAACUUUGGAACAUGCGGGAAAAGAUCGAUAACGUGGCUCCAACCACGUUAACGUCGAAGAAAGUCGGAUGACGCAAGGCUAGUAUGCUACAACAGUACCACCUUGCUGCCCUUCAUGUCACCACAUGAUUAGGCCACCUCUCAUCAGAGGUCAUCGCAACUUUGGAACAACCGGGUCGUUGCCUUACAAGCAACGAGGUAUUUACCGACACUCAUUUGCCACGCACAAACUCUCACGUGAGCAUGUAAAACACCUGUCAUAUCAAAUGUUCAAAACAUACUUGCCUGGUUCGGAGAAGUCGGAGUCUAGCUCGGCGAAGUUCGCGGCUCCGUCACCUCUCCCGGAACCUACGGCAAUCACGAAACGGGUACUAACGUGAAAACCAACACAUGCACAGAAACUUUUCCAAAUAUUUUUCAAAUAAAUCCCAUAAAAAACUAGACAAAAUUUGAAGAUUGUCAGAAAAAGAAUCACUCAAAAAUACCUUUUUAUUAAAAAGUUAUAAAGGUUUCUAUCCAGGGACUUAUCUGUAAUGAAACAGAAAAGUUCCAGGGUUUUAACUAAGAAAACAGAAAACGCUUCGGUUGGGAAUGCGCAAGCACAGAGGAGAAAACGUAUUCUGCCCGAAGGCGCCAACAGAAAACGGUUCGCGAAUAAAAGAACAGAGGCUGACACGCGGGGUCCACAUGUCAGGUUUGAAAAGCUCGCCGGCGCCCGAAGACUGCGGUGGACGCCGGCGUCGAACCACGGCGAGUUAGGAGGGACGGAGGGUACCAAGAGCUUCAGCGUCCUCUUCCGCAUCGGUGGGUGGUGGACUCGUCCAACGGGGAGCACCACGUCGACGGCGACACUUUCUCCGGCGGACGGCGGCUCGGGUGAGGAUGGGGAACUCCGGUGGAGGGCUGCAAGCUUCAAAUUGUAGUGCGGGUCAGAAAGAGGGAUGCAUGGUGAAGCUACUGGCACGAGAAUGGAGGCGGAGGAGCACACACGGGGGCGAAUCGGGCUGGAUCCCGUGGCGGGUCACGGCGGCCGGAGUCGAGGAAGGAGACCUCCUCGGGGCUCUUCCAGUGGCUAGGCGUGCUCUAGGGGGAGUGCAGUGCUGGUGGGUGCUCGAGUUGAAGCUCGGGGCCUCUAUUUAUAGGCAGAUCGACGGGGUGGCCGUGAAUGGAGAAUCUCCGGCGAGCGAUUACGGCGGAGCAGUGGAUUGGCAGGGGGUUUGAGCGGCCAGGCAACAUCAGUGGAGGUUACUGGAUUCGUUUUGCAGCUAAACGGGGUCGGUCUUGGCGUAAUGGCGUCGGUCCACGGUGAGGUGACCGCACGGGCUCAACGGCUGCAGAGAGCGCGCUCCGCGCCCUGCGGUUCACGACGAGAGCGGCAGCGCGUUCGGGGUAGUGGAAGGCCACGUGGCGAGCUCCGGUGGGUUGGGCGGCGCUGGGUGGCGUCGUCGGCGCCGUGUCUCCCGCUGGCGUCCGCAAAGCCGCCGCCGGCGUCGGUCACGGGGCGGCGCACCUUCUGCUGCUCGUCGCCGACGCCCGCAAGGCGCCAGGCGUUCGUGCGGUGCAGGAACAAGGGGGCGGGGACGAGGAGCAAGGCGACGCGGUGGCACUGGCGAGAUCGACGUCCUCCUCUGAAGAAAACGACAGCAGCCACUGACUGAAUCUCUGAACUUUCUGAACUUUGACAAAGACAGUGCACUGCAGGUGUUCGACAGAAGGUUUUGGCUAUGAGAUAAAUUUUUCUGGAGCUGUAACUUGGUGAGAUGACCACUCAAAGCACCCAGAGGCUGCCUGAUUUUACUUGGAAUUUUUGGAAAAGGUUUGGAAUGAAUUUCACCAAAUUUGACAAAUCUGGUCCAAACUUGCAGCAAGUGUAGUUUGAAAAUUUUGAACUGAAGACCAGUGGAUCUUCAUGGUUCUAGGUUGAGGGUACAAAGGACCAGGGAGGAGAGUUGGUUUGGGGGCAAAAAUCGAAACAGAAAAUGGAGUUCCUUUGUAAAUCUCCAAGUGGUAGAAUAGAAGGCAGAAAUUUAUUUGAAUAGAGUUUGAAAUGGAAGUAAUCACAUGGGGAGGUUCAACUUGCUGGAUUUGAUGCAAAUCAUGAUCCAAAGGUGAGGAAGUGGUUAGGAGAGAGGAUUUGCAUUAAUGCCAUGGCAAGAAAGAAUUGUUGAAAGUGGCAAAGGACUUUUCAAAAGCCAUAGUGCAAAUUCAAAAAGAUUUUCAAAAGUUAUUUUCCCAAAUGAAAAACAUUUUGUCUUGAGUCAAAGUGAAAAGCAAGAACUUCCAAGACCAAAGGUAGAUCUUGGAUGAAUCCAAACAAAACUUUUGCCAUAAAAAAAAUAUAUGAGAGGGAGAGUUCUCUUGAAGAAAAAAAAAAUUAAAUCACUCCCCUCAAGUCAAAUAAAAUCUUUUGAAAAAUUCCAAAUAAAAACUUGGGUGUUACACGUAUCCGGGUCGGGCGUGGCCACAGUGCUCCGUACAGGCGGAGAUCUCCGCCCGGCGCGGCACUGUUGCCACUCCGCCCCUGACGUCACAGCUGGCAGGCGGAGCCCUGUUCCCACGACGGCCUGUCGGUACGGCCUGCAGGCAGCGGGCCCUACCAGGCAGCGAGAGCCCGGAAGAUGGCGGAGGCCUGGCCAGUCGGACCUGAGGGAGGCCGGCUUCCAGCAGGCGGCCCUUUCCUCCCUCGGGGCCCGUGCACCAUUAGCCAGAUGAGACACGGUGUGGCUACAGAGAUCUCCCACCAGGCGGCGGGACUGUAGCCACGCUCUCCUGACCAAGCACGCGUCAUUAGCAUCACAGCUAUAGUAAUCAGCAGCCGGCAAGACCCGCGAGCGGCGGGAGCGGCCUGUCGGCUCCGUACCAGACCAGUCGGCGGGGCCCACCAGGCGGCGGGCCCCAGCAGCCGGCCGAGAAGCCGGCGACCAGAGACACUGACAGCCGGGACCUACACCCGGCCAUAUUACCAAUGUACCCCUGGGGGGUAGGCCUAUAUAAACCCCCCAGGGCGCCCAUGCAAAAGGUUCCCAACCUGUUAGAACUAGACUCAUACCUAGAGGAAGGAGAGAGCGAGCCUGCCUUCUUCUACCUCUAGCAUACAGCUCGAGGAGCACCAUUGUAUCCACUAGUGCCUUAGUGAUCAUGCGGAGACCCCGCAGAGCAGGACUAGGGGUGUUAUCUCCUAGGAGAGCCCCGAACCUGGGUAAAGUGCGCCGGCGUUCGUGUCUACGCCUCAUCCCGCUUCCAGGCACCGGCGACGUUCUACUCGCUCCCACCAUGAUAAGCCAUCUAUUGGCAUAUGUCGCACCCAACCCCCGACAUCGAACCUGGUGGAUCAGUUGUUAGUGACAGAUGUAUCGUCAUUAAAAACUAUGAUGAGGGACGGGCAGGUCAUAUACUAUGACCGUUCUAGUGACAUUUUUUGGCCAUCACGUAAGAUAGCUUUCGGCGACAAAUUCGGGUUCGUCACGGAAAAAAGAUCUCACGUGAGAGAAAAAGUGGUACCAUCAAGAUUUUUCUGUGAUGGUGCUUCAGUGAUGGUGGGGGUGACGGUCGGAAAACAUCACCAUGCCAUUUUUGGUGAUGAAAAUCGGUUUUAUGUGACACAAGUGAAACAUCGCAAAAUAGCACAUGUUUUGUAGUGUUUACUGAAUAUAUUUUGAAUGGAAGUAUUAAAUUUUAGCUUGUACCUGUGAGAUUAUGCUUACUUGUAACAGUUUGAAGAUGGGUCAUUAGAGUCACAUGUUGCAUCAGGGCAGUGUAAGAUUUCUGCCUGGCAUAAGAUCUUGUGAUCCUUGACCUUCUUGUAUGAGAUCUUGUGAUCCUUGCCCAUAGUGAAUGCUACUGACUGCUCAUCUGUGUUGUGUGUGGUUCUUAACUCAUUGCUAAUGCGAUUGUGAUUUUCUUUCCAAUGUAGACCCAAUUGCUGAUUGGGCAUUUGUGCAACUUCUAUAAACCACACAUGCAAUUCCAGGAAAGUUAGUCAUGUAAGUAUCUUGUAUUUUUUGGUGAGCAGUAGUUUUUCAUUCUAAUGCUAAUCACGAGGAAGUAGAUCACUUUCUAUUUAUUUAUGACACAUAUUGCAUUUGUGAAAUUUUUGGCAACCGCAUAUGCAAUUUCACAAUAUUAGUAACUACUACGUAAUGAUUUUUGCUACUUCUACCCCUGAAUUCGUUUGUUUAGAGUGUUGCUUACCUUGUUGACAUUAUGGUAUGGUCCAAGUUCAAGUUGUUUAUGCUUAUAUUGUAUUUUUGCAACUUCUCUAGCCUCCAUAUGCAAACUUCAAAUAAUUAGACACAUGAUAUGGCAGUAAAUUAGAGCACAAAUGGCAGCCAAAUGGCUACCAUGGCAUCAAAGUGGCUGCCAUGAUGUCGAAAAUGGCUGUCAUGGCAGCAAAAUUGGAUGUCAUUCAUAGUCUCAUUUUGGCUCUUCUACUAUUGCACACCUUUUUAAGAUUAUGGCUUGCUUCACCAUGUAGAUGUUGUUGUUGAUUUUGUGUUUCUGCAAGUUCUGCAUCCUGCACAUGCAACUUCAGAUAAUGAGUAGAAAUGGAUGCCAUGACACGAAUUUCUUCUAAAAUGCUAUAAAAUUUGCAGUCAUGACAUCAAAAGUUGUUGACAUGGUAGUAAAACUUUUACGAGAAAGCUAUUCUCCUGCUGACUCGCAGUUAGCGACAGAUACGUACGAUCGCUCCCGCCAGGUUUUUUUUCCUUCGAUCUUUCUUUACGAUCGCUCCCACGCCCGCUCGCUUUUUUUCCCUUCGAUCUUUCUUUCUGAUCCUGUCGCUCCUGCCCGCCUUUUUUUUCCUUCAGCGCUAAUUUUUUUCCUUUAGCGCUAAAAAAAAUAUAAAUGCUACGUGUAGGAUUCGAACCUAGCACCUGUUGUGUUUAUACACAUCAUCCUUACCAUUACAACAACUAGUAUUGGUUGUUUUGUAUCAAAAGAUAACGAGGUAUUUGUACCUUUUUACUACUAUAUGAGAAAAGAAAUGGAAAAAAAUUCUUGUUCUUUUUCUUUGGAUUUCUCCAAUAACUCACGUACAAUCAUCAUGAUAUCUAGUUUCAUGAGUCUCAAGUUGAUAACACCCUAUUAAUUUUUGUGCGGGGGUGGGGGUGAGGGGGGAGUUGAUGAAACAUCCACUCGGUAACUUUUUGUGUGAACAACAUGGUAACUCACACAUCAUGGACCUGAUAACUCGCAUAUCACAGAUCUGAUAACUUAUAUAACUUAGUCCUGAUAACUUUGGCGUAGGGGUGGGUGUUGAUGAAACAUCCCCCGAGAACUUUUGAUGUGAAUAGCAUGAUAACUCAUACAUCAGAGACCUGAUAACUUAUGCAACCCGGUCUUGAUAACUUUUGGCCAAUAGAGGUGAUGAAAUAUACUCCGAUAACUUUUAUGUGAAUAUAUGUAUGUCAUUUACAACCCCGGCGUAUUGAGGACGCUUGAAGGCCUCGCUCACCCGAAGUGAUUUAUAAAAAUUCUUCUUUCUAUCACGGUAACUCACACAUCGCUGACCUGAUAACUUAUGUGCAUAGGUCUUGGUAAAUUUGGCGACCGGGUGGAGGGAGGCACAUUGAUGAAAUACCCCUUGGUUAUUUUUUGUGCGAAUAGCUUGAUAACUCACACAUCGUAGGCCUGAUAAUUUUGGGAGAAAAAGAUGUUGGAAACAAAUCUUGAUGCUAGUAGUUUCCAUAAUGUAGUUUUGACCUUGUAGUUUUAUAGCCUAAGAAAUCAUGAUAAAGCUGAUAAUUGAACUCAAGACUUCAAUAUUGAGAUCUUAACACACUAGCCAACUCACCCACUACUUGGCUCCUGACAAGUUCAAAUAAAAUACCACUUUUUUACCAUCUGAGGUGAACAAAUUGUUAAAAUAUACCCCCGGUAGCUUUCUGUGUAAAUAAGAUGAUAACUUACGUACAAUUAACCUGAUAACUUACAUAUAAACACAUUGAUAACUUUUCACCUUGGGCGAAAAGUUCUAGAAAUAUGCCCUGAUAACCUAGUGCAAAUAGCAUGGUAAUUUAUGCACCAGACAACCAAUAACUUACAUAUAACACAUUUGAUAAAUCUUUACCCAUGUGAAAAACGUUACUGAAACAUGUCCCGGUAACUUUUUGUUGUCGAAACAUACCCCAGUGUGAAGUUACCACUACCCCAUGCUAAAGUUAUCGUGCUUCUCAUCGUAUAGUCAUUAACCUUCUCAUAUUAUAGUUAUCAGGCUUAUCAUAGUAUAGUUAUCAUGUUGCUCAAGUCAUAGUUAUCACGCUGGUCAUGCCAAAGUUACCAAGCAAAAACAAUUAUUAUCGCUGAUAUGACAGAAAAAAAGAAAGGUUAAAAUAACCUUGUUUAUAUUCGAUAGACAACAACUAAGGGUGGCUUAGUUGGUUAUUGGGCUCAAACUCUAAUGAGUAGACCUGGGUUCAAGUCCCCUUUCCAGCACUUUUAUUUUCUUUUCAUAUUGUGUAGCCAAAAAACCAGAAAAACCACUAGCGAUUUACUAUUGGCGUAUACGGUUUUCGAGAGAAGAAGAAAAAUCGGUGGAAUCGAGCGUGCGGGUCGCGAGAGGAAGCUGGGUUACGGUCGUGCGGAUACAGUCGACUAGUCGUUAGCACCGUCCAAACUUUUAUUUAUUAAGUUCAAAUGUCAAGAAGGGUAGCUUAGUAAAAAACUAAACAAAACAGAUUCAAGUUAGCCCAACCAAGGUGUAAUCCAGCUACAAAUGAAAGAGUAUUCUUCUCUAGUAAAACUUGUGUGCAUUUUGUUUGUGUAUUUGAUUUUAUUCAUUCAUCUCUAGUAAAUCUUUUGUCCAUUUUGCUUGUGAUUUUGUUUUUGUCUCCGGGGAAGGUAGUAGGGGUGCCUCUAAUUCAUUCAUCUCUAGCAAAUCUUUUGUCCAUUUUGCUUGUGAUUUUGUUUUUAUCUUCGGGGAGGGUAGUAGGGGUGCCUCUAAUUCAUUCAUCCAUAGUAAAUCUUUUGUCCAUUUUGCUUGUGAUUGUGUUUUUAUCUUCAGGAAGGUAAAAAGGUUUCCUCUAUUUCAUUUCUCUCUUGAAUAACUUUUUUGUUUUGUUUUGUUUUUCAUCUUCAUGAAGGGUAUAGGGGUGCCUCUAAUUCAAUCAACCCUACUAGAACUUUUGUUAAUUUGGUCUUCUCUAGAAAGAUCCAUGCGCUGAUUUACAAUCAACCCUAGUACAACUCUUGUGAAUUUUGGGGGGCGAUUUAGAAUUAAGAAUCUGUAUUUACCUUGGGGAUAAUCUCCCGAUCUUGAUGUGCGGUGGUUGGUCGGGACCAGGUGAGUUGUUAGCGGGUUAACGGGUGUUUUUUUCAACCAUCUUCUUUUCGAUGGGCUUUAGCCUCUUGUUGAGAGAAGGAGGAAUGGUUUCGAAGGGAUCGACUCACAGGGGAUUUGGGUCACUCAAUUUUGUUUCAACUGAACUACUGUCUGUUCAUUUGAUUUGAAUUCAACGGUUCAGAAGAGUUCGACUCACACAAAAACAAAAUCCAGUCGGCUGACCAGUUGCCACUUCCAUAGCACAGUAAUAUACAUAGUCAGCAGGGAGAAGUCAUUAGACACUACAUUGCAUAUUCAGCAAGGUAUCUAGAAAGAGAUACAUACAAUACCGACCCCUUUAACUGGCCAUUCCCCAGACCAGUGUGGCAAAUUUGACAAAUUUGACCUAUAGUCGAAAUCAAAUCACAGAAUGAACUGUCCGUGAAACUAUUCACGCGGCUGACCCUUGGCGCCUAACUCUCAGGCGCUGCACUAGUGCAACGCCCAGGAGCUAGGCGCUGCACUAGUGCAACGCUCAGGAGCCAGGCGCUACACUGUGUAGUGUGACGCCUAGCUCUCAGGCGCUGCACGCUGACUUGGGCACAUAUGGGUGCGACGCUGGCCGUGUAGCGCCUAUCUGUGAGGCGUUGCACAGUAGGGUGUGGCGCCGGCGUGGCGGGCGCUACACAAAAGGGUCAGGGGAGUGAAAUAGUUUCGCAACCAGUUCAUUCUGUGAAAUGAUUUCGUCCCGAGGUCAAAAUUGUCAAAUUUGCCGACCAGCGUCCGUGUUCUUAGCUAGUGCUACACGUACAAUAUAUACCCUUUGGCCAUGUGUCACAGACACAGUCUGGGGGUCGCAGAGAGCAGACGAGGCGGGCAAAUUUGACAAUUUUGACCUGGAAACGAAAUAAAUUCACAGAAUGAACUGGGUGCGAAACUAUUUCACACCCCUAACCCUUUUGUGUAGCGCCCGCCACGCCGGCGCCACACCCUACGGUGCAGCGCCUAGCUCCGGGGCGUUGCACCUCUGUCCACCGUGGCAGCCCACGGGCCCGCACCCAGCAGUGCAACGCCUACGAGCUAGGCGCUGCACUGUGACUUAUAUGCAAACGCGCCAGCCCUCUCCUCCCCCACCCUCCCCAUUGGCAGUUACAGAAAAACAGGGCGGCGGCCAUCUGCACUCCCCCUCUCAAUCCCCUCUCCCAAAUCCUUCCGAUCCGACGAUUUGGUCCGUGCAUUUGUUCACCAAUCCAUCAUAGAAGGUACUCUCCUCCGAUCCCCUUCUUUCUAUCCAUAGAAAAUAUUAUAUUUUGAAGAUUUGGGGAACCCUUGUUUGAAUCUUGCAUGUAUUAGAUUUGGGCAACUUUUGUUUGAAUCUUGCAUAUAUUAGAUUUGGGGAACCCUUGUUAGAUUAGAAUGUGGUUUGGAUAGAUAGGUUGACAUGUUAUUUAUAUAGUUUGGAUACAUAGAUUGACAUGUUAUUUCUAUGGAGAAGUAGAUUGACAUGUUAUAGUUUGGAUACAUAGAUUGACAUGUUAUUUCUAUGGAGUAGUAGAUUGACAUGUUAUUUGUAUGGAGAAGUAGAUUGACAUGUUAUAGUUUGGAUACAUAGAUUGACAUGUUAUUUGUAUGAAGUAGGCCCAAGUAGGGGGAAGCACCAUAUGCUUUGGAUCUUGCAUGUAGUAGGCCUACUUUAGUUUUUUUGAAUUGAAAAGAUAAUCGUGUUGACAAGAAUGCUUUGUUGAAAUUGUUAGGAUGGUUUGGCUUCUCGAUGAUCAUUGGGACAAACAACACCGGUCGUACGCUAUGUCGGUGGAGCAGCGGGUAAUACUGAAAGUGGCCGGUGUUAUGAAUUUCGUAUGUUUUUUCAAACACAUAUGCCCCAUAUGUAAUGUUAUGAUUUGUUUGUUUGUAGGAGCUUGCACCUCUGAAGCUUCGGUCUCACGGGAUCAGCCUUGGAGGGAUGAGCUAUGAUGAGCGGUACACACCUUAUGUUAGGGAGGCAGGACUUCUCCCUUUCAUUGAGUUGGUCCGCCGGUCGACGCCACCCAACAAUGCUGCAGCACUCACCGCGCUUAUUGAUCAUUGGAGGCCGGAGACACACACUUUCCAUCUUCGGACCGGGGAGAUGACCGUGACGCUGCAGGAUAUCGCUAUGAUCACCGGUCUUCCUAUCGAUGGCAAUCCUUUAUGUAUGAACACCGAUUCUGAAGGGUGGCGAGCGCAGAUGCAUGACCUUAUCGGUAUGGUUCCUCCGGAGCCUCGGGAGCCAGAAAGAGAAGAUAAGAAGAAGGAAAGAGUCGCAGCGGGGCGCUACUCUGACUUUCCUUCCUUCAUGAACCGUUGUUUGGUGCCCAUGAGGCUCGACCACAUGAACCAUGCCCGGGUUUGUCGCGGCCAUGGCUAACAACAACCUAGGGAUUCGGUUGUAUGCUUCCUCCCAUGUACCAUACAACAUCUUAAAUGCGGCUUGCUUCGCCUUCCAUGCCUUGCCGUAUUUCACCUUGUAAUGAAAGAUGGCUUUCACAAGGUCAAUGACAUGUUGGACGCUCAUUGUUGGAAGUGUGGAUAUUGAGUUGGAGAGCCUAUAAGCGAUGAACUCGGACGUGAGUUGUUUGUGGUCUUCGGACACAAUCUUGCCAUCCACCCUUUUGCCUUGGCACAUGUGAGUUGGCACACAACUCACUACAUGCCAAGUAGGACCUCCUUUCCAUGGUCUUGCACGCACAAUCCACGGACAACCGCCAUGGCAUCUUGCCACUCCUUGUUGGACCUCCUUUCCACGACCUCUACCACCACCACGGCCUCUUGUAAGUCCAAGUUGGACCUCCUUUUCAUCUUCACAUGCACAUGCAACCGUGUAGCGCACAUUGACGUCCGAGUGCACCACCUUGUGUGGACGAUAAUGCGUAACCGAGUAGUUGUCGAGCCACAUCUUCAAAUCCAACAAGCUGUCGAACUUAGAACCUUUAGCAAUCCGGUUCUUGUCGUCUACCAAAUCACGGUGAGAGCUUGGCCUAACCCCAAGAGGUACACAUUGGCCACCAUCUACCACGGCUUCAUCCGCGAGACUAACAUCCUUGAACAAUGUAGUCCGAUGAUCCCGACCAAAUACCUUCUCGAAAGCUUCGGCCUCCUUCACCGUGAACCCCUCCGCAUCAACUUGUUCAUCGGGACCAUCGUCAUCCGAGUCCGAUGCAUAUGCACGGGAAAAAGGGAUGGAAUGGUCCAUUGUCUCUUGCAAAUGAUAUUUGUCGAGAUCACCCACAUUGUUGUUAUGGAGAUCAACUUCAUUGUCAUCGUCCGCAUACUCAUCAUUGUCCUCUUGCAAAGCUUCAUCUUGGUUGUUUGUAAACGGGCUCAAUGUUGGCCUCACUUCUUGGGUCAAAAGAGGUUCAACAAUUUCAUCUUGCUUCAAGGGUGGGGGGCUACUAGCAACCAAAGGGGAGGGGUUCCGGUUCAAGUCCAAAUGCAAACUUGAACCAACCUUCUUCGUUGCAAAUAACUCAAGAGCCUUGUCUAGUGAUUCGGCCACCGUCUCCUUGUAUGCAACCCAACGUUGCUCCGAGUUGACACACAUUGUCUUCCAACGGAUGUGCAUUCCAAAACCAACAUUAUGCCUUCCCUCCAACUCAAUGAUAUCACUAGGGUCCAUCCAAUUCAAAUCUUUCCUAACUUGUUGCAAGAGCUCCGCAUAGCUAGGACUACUAUCAAACACCAUGUCAAACUCAUACGGGUCCGGUUCUUUAUUGCCUUUCAAAAAGGCGUCUUUGUCCCCAUGAUGAACAAACACACAUGUUCUUCCCAUCCCUAUAAGCAAUGAACACAAGGUAACAUUGCUUCCAUGAGUACUAAUCCAUGGAUUAACACCGAAUACAAACCCUAAUAUAUAUAUGAAACAACAACCCUAACCCUAACCAUAACCCUAACCCUAACCAUAACCAUAACCCUAACCAUAACCCUAGCCCUAAACCUAACCCUAGCACCAACAUAAGAACACCCAUAAGAAUAACCCUAGCAUACUAACAAAGCCUAAUCAUAGAUAUUGGCAAACAAACAUCUCACAUCUCCAUGCAAAUCUCUAGAUCCAAACAAAACUAGGGUUUCCCCAAACUACCAACAAAUGAGCAAUGGGAGAACUUUACUUCGAUCAAAAAAAGGGGAUCGGAGAUUAUUACCUUGAGGGAGGGUUUGACUUCGAAAUCCACGGACAAAUUCUUCAAAUUUNNNNNNNNNNNNNNNNNNNNNNNNNNNNNNNNNNNNNNNNNNNNNNNNNNNNNNNNNNNNNNNNNNNNNNNNNNNNNNNNNNNNNNNNNNNNNNNNNNNNNNNNNNNNNNNNNNNNNNNNNGGAUAAGUCACAGUGCAGCGCCUAGCGGCUAGGCGCUGCACAUUACAGGUGCAGCGCCUAGCUCGUAGGUGUUGCACUGCUGGGUGCGGGCCCGUGGGCUGCCACGGUGGACAGAGGUGCAACGCCCCGGAGCUAGGCGCUGCACCGUAGGGUGUGGCGCCGGCGUGGCGGGCGCUACACAAAAGGGUCAGGGGUGUGAAAUAGUUUCGCACCCAGUUCAUUCUGUGAAUUUAUUUCGUUUCCAGGUCAAAAUUGUCAAAUUUGCCGACGAGGCGCGCUGCGCGCACUGCAGCGCCGUGCUGCACGAACGUCGGUCGGGCCCGGCGGUGCCCGUGCACGCAGGUCCGUAGGGCGUGAACCGUGUGCGAGCAUCACGUGUAGGGUGGGCUGUGGUUGGGGGUUGCCAAGAGCCGAGCAGAGCAGAGCAGAGCCGAGCCGACCGUUGGUAAUCUACCAGCACGCACCACACGCGCAUAACAUAAUCCUCUUCCUCCCUCCAUGAUUUUGUUUUUGGUUGCAUCCAUCGUCGGGUCCGUUGGCACCAUACACACGCGCCUCGGACAGAGCGGUCGAGCCGAGACAUGGCGUGUGCGUGCGUGUGCCGGUCGAUCGCCUCCGCCUCCGCCUCGUGCGCACCUACCGGCAUGUCGUGGGUUCUGCGGUACCUGCGCUGUGUCGUGUCCGGCCGGCCCGGCCGGAGACGGGGAGGAGGGAGGAGACUUUCAGUGCAAUCCACUCAAACGCGCACACCAGAGCAGAGUGAUUAGUUGGCUGGCGCGAGCGAUCAUGUACCAUACCGCCAUGAUCAAUUGAUCAUGAUGGUUGCUUGCAAGCGAUUAUUAAGCUAGCCGGGCCGUUAAUUACGACUGCUAGUACUCCUUUCUCCUCCAGUGGCGCACUUGGAUAUCAUUCAUUCAUGGCUGUUGCUCUCAGGCUCAUCAGAGUGAUUUCUUCUUACGCAUCCAAAUUGGUUAUUUCCGAAAGGGGCGCGCUGGCUGGCUAGCUAGCUGUAGCGCACACUCCAUACGAGGGAAACAACGCUGCUGGACAGAGAUCGAACGGGACGGAGCAGUAGAUCAUCAGCACCGCCAGAGAAAAAGAAGAAGAUUUGCAUCCCGCACCGACGCAACAAUUAAUCGCGCGCUGUUAACGGAAAGGAGGAGGAAAACGUAGCGCACCGUCGCAAUCAUCUCCCCGACUGGCAGCGCCACCCAAUCAAUUGGCAUUACCCAAAGUAAUUAAUUAGAAAUUACUCCUCCUACUUAGUACUAGUUCCUGCCAGUAGUAACUCUUUCAAAAUUGCCAAGACAAAAAUGUACUACUCACAUUGCAAAAAAAAAAGGUUUUAGAAAAGAAAAACAACCCAGGGGCAUUACGGUCAUUUAGCUCAGCAGCUACAGUAGUAGCGGGCAGCUGCAUCACGGGGGAGGGGAGGAGAGAGAGUGGUUCGUCGUGGGAGUAACAGACAGACAGCACACCGCAGGGAGAGAGAGGGAGAGGAGCUGAAAGGCGUCGUACGCGCUCCCACCAUCCCCCACCCCCCUCGCCCUGCAUUAUUUUCUCUCUCUCCCUCCCCCCUCCGCCUCCCCGCUUAUUCUCUCUCCCCCUUCCUACUCUCUGUCCCCCGUCUGCUCCAUUUCUGCUCUGCGCGCUCCCCUCCCCACCCCACCCACUCCCCCCAUUCCGUCGGCGCAGCAGGCGAGCGGAGCUCACUCCCAAGAGAAGAUGUCCGCCAUCCCCUCGAGGUAUGCAAAGGUUUCCCACGCCUCCGUCCGAAACCACUCCCGUUUCCGCGGGUUCUUGGCCCCUUCGCGCGCCAUUGCCGCCUCUCCCCCGUGCUUCUUGGUCCGGGCGAGUUCCGAGGUUUUUUUUUCCUUGCUUAGACGAAUCUGCUCCGUCGUUCCGGGAAGAGGAGAGGGGAGGGGUGGUUGCGGGAAACGGACGUCCUUUUUGCCACGAAAGGUGGUGGUUGCGGUGUGGUGCUCCUUGCCGCGGUUCUUGGGGACCACCAGCGUCGCUAACGCGGCGCCUCGCUGUUUCGUAGUGUCGGUGGAGCCAGAUUCCGGUGGAAUUUCCGCAGAUUCGUCUUUCCCGGGGCUUCGACCUGUGAGAUGCGGGCAGGGAUUGGGCUUUUUAGUCGCUAUGUGUUUACGGACUUUUUUUAUUCGGAGUUUUGGGUGAUUAUUACUGGAAUAUAUUUGUCUUGUGGUCGAGGAAUCAUUUCUCACCUACCACUUCUUGGCUGCUAUUUCUAGUCGUAAUUUCUGAAAUUUUAUAAAAGGGGUAUUUUGCUUUCUUGGUUGUUCAGAAAGAUGCCUAGAUCUGGCACUAGUUCAUCCAUCUUUUUCUCCUUUUGCGGGUGACUAGUUCAUCGAUCUGAAACGGGCAUUGCCCCCUGUGAGCUUUGCUUUGUUCGUAUGCUUAAGGCCUGGUUGGUUAGGAUCUAGUAGAUGUCAUGCAAAUCGAUACUUACUGGAGGAGUAGAAUGGUGUCAAAAAACAUUUUGUUUACUCUUCUGGUUGCUGCAUAUAACUACGUUGCUAAGUAUCACUGGUAGUCCUUUGCUCAAGCUUCAAGCUAUAUCUGAGAUCUGAUGUUGUCGUUGGCAACUUCACUGCACACUGGAAGUCAUAUUUCAACUGUGUUAGGGGGUGGGACACACUUUUCUUGCCGAUGAUGUUAUCAAUUAUCAUUACUCUCAAAAUUUAGUAGUUUCUUUUUUCUGCAUACAUUUGGGCGUGCUUAGUUAUUUCAGGGGAGACGUCUCCAUGAAUCCUGCAUGUUUCCAGAGUUUGUCUGUAGCUUCAUUUGGGGGGAAUGCUAUAUUAUCUUAUUCCAACUUGACUUGUCAUAUCGAUAUCAGGUUUUAUGUCUGAAACUUGUUAUAGGGUUAUAUCUGAAUCUUGAAGUAGAUCUACUACGGCUGAGUGCUUCACUUUACGUAUGUUUUGUUUAGCUACCUCUGCUAUAGAUGGCUUUGGUACUGAAAUCCUAUUGCUGGUCUGCUCAAAUUAUUUUGUGAGGCAUGAUGUUAAUAUCCUUUCCUACCAUUAGUGAACUUCUUUUCAGUAAGUUGUGUGUGUCUUAGAAUGGUGUUGCCAAUGAUUGUGAUAGAAAAAGAUUCCAGCCAUCGUUAUGACAGGCUCUCAUACCAGCCUAUUAUAGGGUCACCUAAUAGGAAAGCACGAAAUGUGCCAUCAUACACUUAUAUGCUGCACUUAUAAAUAUCUGGAAAUCUUAAGGCAUUUCGUAUGUGCCAGCGUACACGUAUAAUGUGCCCGCACAGUAGUGAAACAAAGGCAUUUUUGGUAAGUGCCAGGUAAAAUCUGUAGCAUCAGUGGCAUCUAUAAUUGCAAGACAUACAUAAAUGCCAGCUAAACCAUAUGCAUGUGUGUGCUAGCUGAAAAGCAAGCUGGCCAAUAAUUGGCGUGUGUCUGAAAAGUGAAAUUUUCGCUCUCCUAAAAUUAACCCAAGCCAUUCUUUCUCCCCCAAUCAAUUUCACAGCAUUCUUCACCUCGCCGUGGACCCUUAGUGUAUGCCCCUCACUGCUCCAUCGCCGCCACUCGUCCCUCACCUAGCCCUCAUAGCCUGCCGCACAAUGCCAUUGCUCCUGUCACUGGUGCCCUCUCCCUUUGAGCUAUACAUGAAGGAACUGCUUGAUUGCAUUGUCUUUUCAUGAUGUGCAAGUUUUUACUCCAGUGUCAGACAAAAAAAGUCUUGACAAAUUAGUAAAUAUGCUUAGCAUAAGCUGUUGGCCUGUUAAGUCGUCAGAAUAAACUUCAAAGUGGAAACACAAAUGUAUGACAUGCUAAAUUUUCUUUGAAGAGUUGGUUCUUAUUCUAGUAUGUUUUUGUUUUUUUGUCCCAUGCAUCAAUUUUCUAAUUAGCUCAUGUUUUACUAUAGUUAACCCACUCUGAUGUAAAAGUUAUUCAUUUAAAAUCCUGUAUAUGAUCAGUAUUAUUGUGGUUCUUACUAACAUCAAUUUUUUUCUUUAUCUGCAUGCUAUUUGUUCUAAAGUGAUUAUCUCUUGGUCACAUAUUGGCAAAAUGUACUUCACAUGCAUCAGCUAUUUAUAUAUUAUUAUGUCCUUUUUCAGGAGCUGAUUCAAGGUGUAGGUUGUACUAUGUGAGAAGGACAGCUGUGUACAUCAAGACUCAAAUUAGCUUCGCUUGAUUACACUACAGCUGGUUGAAUAAUAGUAUAUACUUGAUUUUGGUGGUUCAGAAACAUGGGUUCUAGAUUUCCAUCACAUCAGCUGAGCAGUGGCCUUUAUGUAUCUGGCCGACCUGAGCAACCUAAGGAGAAGGCCCCGACCUUUGGAUCCAAUGUGAUGCCAUACACUGGUGGUGACACCAAGAAAUCUGGGGAGCUUGGGAAGAUGUUUGAGCUCCAUGCUGAAAGAUCUAGAAAAUCUGGUCCUCUAGGCAGUGCGCCUUCGAGAAAUCCUUCAUUUGGCGGUGCUGCUUCCAACUCUGGACCUGUGUCUAAUGCUGGUGGUCGGUCAAACUACUCUGGUUCUCUUUCAUCUUCAGUUCCUGGCGCCGGAGGAUCAGCAAGAGCAAAAUCUAACUCCGGACCACUCAAUAAGCAUGGAGAACCAGUAAAGAGGUCAUCUGGUCCCCAGUCUGGAGGUGUGACCCCAAUGGCUCGCCAGAAUUCCGGCCCUCUCCCUCCAAUGCUUCCUACGACUGGGCUUAUCACAUCUGGCCCUGUUACUUCUGGACCACUGAAUUCGUCUGGUGCCCCAAGAAGGAAAGUAUCUGGAUCUCUUGAUCCUGCUGCAUCGAUGAAGGCACGGGCCACAUCACUUGCUCACAACCAGGCUGUUACUACACUCACCAGUGAAGGUGGUUUCUCAGUUAUGGGAAGCAUUUCAAAGUGGGUAUUCUGGCUAGUGAUCACACUCUUGCUGUUCGGGUUUGCAGUAGGUCUCUUCAUUCUUAUUGCUGUUCACAAUGCGAUUGUGCUGAUAGUUGUUGUUGCAAUGAUUGGUUCUGUUGCUGCACUUGUGUCUUGGAAUGUUUGGCGGGGCAGGAGAGGCGUGCUCAGGUUUGUCAAUAGCUGUCCUGAUACUGAUCUCAGAACUGCAAAGGAUGGAGAGUAUGUGAAGGUUACAGGGGUAUGUGAAAUGCUUCUGAUCUUGUUGGAUUUAUUGCCCUUAUCUUCACUCUCAUAAAUUGCUGUUUAGCGUCAAUAUUCAUCCUGUUCUACUGAGCAUAUGCUCAUCUGUUGCAAUGCGCCCUAAUGACACUAGCCUUUACAUAGUUGAGUACUAUCAGAGUCCAAGUCAGCACAUAAUAUACCAAUAUAUCACUAAAGUUCUGUAUUUCGUUUUACUAUUCAUGGUAUAAUUUGCAUGGUUGUUAUAAUUGAAUUCUUGUAGUCACUUAGUUCCACAUGUAGCCUAAACUCCUUGUCAGUUUUUGGAGAUUGCGUACAUCAAUCUACAAGUUGACAACAUAUUCUUUUUUGUUCUAAGAAAACUUGUUCCGUUAUCAGUUACCAUUCAGUAAUGAUCAGUAUGCCAAACAUCACAGGUUGUUACGUGUGGAAAUUUCCCCCUGGAGUCCUCAUUUCAAAGGAUUCCGAGAUGUGUGUACACUUCAACUAGGCUGUAUGAGUAUAGGGGCUGGGAUUCAAAAACUGCAAACCCCAAGCAUCGCCGGUUUACCUGGGGAUUACGGACAGCAGAGGUGAGUUUUGUUUCCUCACAAGUGCCUAAAUUGAUACAAUGAUUAUUCCCCAGUAUAAGGAUGUGUUGAAAAACUGUACUAAUGCAGUUAUAUUACUUUCUUCCGAACUGACCUUGACAUUUCGCCUGUAACUAUUGCAGCGACAUGCGGUCGAUUUCUACAUUUCAGAUUUUCAGUCUGGGCUUCGAGCAUUGGUGAGAACAGGAAGCGGUGCACGGGUGACACCAUAUGUCGAUGAAUCGGUAGUAAUUGACGUCAAUCCUGAGAACAAGGACAUGUCUCCUGAAUUUCUAAGAUGGCUACGAGAAAGGAAUCUCUCAAGUGAUGGUCGGAAAAUGCGCCUAAAAGAAGGGUAUUAUUUUCUUCAUGUUGCUUUCCACCUAGAAGGCUAGCAUUGCUGCAUAACUAGAUAUUUUUACCCCGAUUCCGAAGACGUUCACCAAAAGAUAAGUGAAUAAUUGUGUUCAACUCUAUCUUGUACCUGCAGAUACAUCAAGGAAGGCAGCACUGUGAGUGUGAUGGGGGUCGUUCAAAAGAAUGAGAGCGUCUUGAUGAUAGUACCUCCAUCAGAGCCCAUCUCAUCUGGUUGCCAGUGGGGGAGUUGUUUCUUCCCAGCAAACCUUGAAGGACUAGUCGUGAGAUGUGAAGAUACUUCAGACAUGGAUGUCAUACCAGUAUAGCAAGCUGAUGAUUGCCGUGGUGUGGAAUAGCUGCUGUUGAAGAGGGAACGUUGGCCUGUCGAAUCGGGUUGGGUUUGAUUGGUAGAGUAUUAGAACUGAGAAAAAAAUGUACAAAUGUUAGGUGUGAUUAAGGCUAGUAAAGAUGGGAGUAUGGCUGCUGGUUAAUCUGUGUUUGGCUGUAUAGUCCUUUUUCAAUGUGUUUUGUCCUCCUUCGCUCCUGUUUUUUCGGUUAUGAGCUCUCAAUACUUGUGUAAUAUGAUUGCUUUUGGGCUGUUUGAAGACAUGUUGAAUCGGGUUUAUGUGUUAUUUAGGAUGAACUUCUUGCACUGCUGUUAAAGCCUAAAUAUAUUGUUGCUGUUACAUUUAUGUAUCCAUGUUGUUGGUCCAUUUCAUUGAUGAUGUCUUUUGGGCUAUUUGAUGACUUGGUCGAAUUGGGUUUAUAUGUCAUUUAGGUUGAAUAUUUCUUGCACUGCUGUUAAAGAUGUACAUUGUUUUUGUAAUUAAAAAUGUCAAAUACAUUACACUGGCUGUGAUAAUCUGUAACUUGCUUAAUUAGGAUAUGGGUAUUUUGUUCAUUGUAGUUCUAAUUCAGUCAAAACAAAAAUAGGCAUCACCUUCUCUGAGUAGAAAGAUGUCUGAAUAUUGUUUAUGCCAUUGGGAGAGAAAUUUACUGGAUGCAUAGAUUUCUUUGCUUCUCUUGAGAUUGAGUUAGGGGUCUAAUUACCCAAAACAUAUGUAGAGAUGAAAAGGGUAAAGUAAAACUAGAGGAUCUAUUUGUCAUAAAACAGAGGAUUUUUUGGGCUCAGCUGCAAUAUUGUAUAGUGGAUAUGGUGUAGCUGAAACAACUAAAGGUGAUCAGAAGGGUCUUUUUUUUGUAAGAGAAGACGAGGCACCAACAGAAGGCUCCAGGGGCAUACAUGNNNNNNNNNNNNNNNNNNNNNNNNNNNNNNNNNNNNNNNNNNNNNNNNNNNNNNNNNNNNNNNNNNNNNNNNNNNNNNNNNNNNNNNNNNNNNNNNNNNNNNNNNNNNNNNNNNNNNNNNNNNNNNNNNNNNNNNNNNNNNNNNNNNNNNNNNNNNNNNNNNNNNNNNNNNNNNNNNNNNNNNNNNNNNNNNNNNNNNNNNNNNNNNNNNNNNNNNNNNNNNNNNNNNNNNNNNNNNNNNNNAGCGGCAAGCAGCCUCGCAAUAGACCUCAAGUGGGGUGCAUCUCAUUACGUGGCCCAAAUCGGUAGAGAGACAGAGCAUGGUGCUAUUUUUUCUUCCUCUCCGUCCUACUGUACGUGCCACACGCCGAACAUGAACGAUGAACAUCGUUGUGUUGAGUUUGUCCCCAGAGUUAGAUUGUGUUGUGUUCAGUUGUAUUCUCUAGCUUUUUUUUUGAGAAAUUAGUUGUAUUCUCUAGCUGUUGGCAGCAAUCUAGCCCCAACAUUUUGACCUCUACAUCUAAAAAAAAACAUUUUGACCUCUAAUGAAUAAGUCUGAGAUGGAAUGCUACUAGCUGGUUGGCUGGUAGUAAAGAGCUACUCCCUCUAUUCCUAAAUGUAGUGCGCAUAAAUUUUUCAAGAAGUCAAACAUUGUUUAGUUUGACCAAGUUUAGUGAGAAAAGUAUCAACAGAAAUAAUACCAAACAAAUAUAAUAUAAAUAUAUGCUUAAUGAUGUAUCUAAUGAUAUUUACUUAAUAUUGUAGAUGUAGAUAUUUGUCCUCUAUAAAUGUAGUCAAAGUAGGGGGAGUUUGACUUUUGAACUUCCUAUGCGCACUACAUUUAGGAAUAGAGGGAGUACGUAGUAGCUGCUGAAAACGGUGGUGUAUUGAUGAACCUACUGCUUGCUUUAAGGUUCAGGUCAGCGUGUGCAGCCGGCAAUUUCAAGUGACCCUUGGGGUUUUCAGCUGGCAAUUAUCACCAGUGUGUGCAGUAAUGUUAUACCAGAGGCACAAGUUGGGAGAGAGGAUUUAGUUUUUGAUGACACAACCGAGUCAGAAUCUACCUACGGGGGGAGCUGAACAAGCAGAGAAGGUGCAGUUCCGUCAGGAACCCGCAAAAUGGGCCAUUCGCCUUCAGAAUAUCAGCUGAGAAGCAGAUCACGACAGGAGUUCCGACGAUCAUUCUCAAGGCGGCCCCGAGCGUCGCACCACAAAACCAAUAUAAAAAAUACGCGCGUGUUGGUGGCAGAAGCAAUGCAUCUCAGUUUUCAUCGCAUGCUGUUCAGGUUGAUCAAGCGACCCGUUGUCCGACUCCGAUCUUGGCCAACUUCAUUGAUUGGUCAUCCAGCCAGAGCCGGGGACCUGGUCCCGGGUCUCGAUCCGCAAGUUGCCAUGUAGACACACGGGAUAAAUGGGGGGAAACUUGAGGAAUGGCUCUGAAUCGACCUACCAUCCAUCACGCAGGUAGGUUAUCCUUUGAUUUCUUUCUAGAGUUAGUUACCUGACGAAGAGGUGUAAGUAAGAACACCCUGCUGCUUUCUCUUCUCUUCAGGGCAACUGUCAGUCUGCCGCACUACGGGCUGGACGGGCAAUCUCUCUUUCAGGUGUACGUGUCACAGGCAUUGUUUUCAGCUGGCAAUUUUACCAGCGUAUGUAUCACAGUAUCAGUGCCCCAAGUUAGGAGAACCGUCUUCAACCCAGAAUCUGGGCUGGAGCAAGCAGAGCCCAUGUGGAAAUCGACACCCACAAGAAAGAUCAAAACAAGGCACUUAAUGCACCAGCUCACGCUCGUGCCCAAACCCAACCCAGAUAUAUAGAAGAAACGAAGCUGAGGAUCACAACAGGAGCUCCUCUCCUCUCCCCCAUGAUUUUCUCUACCUUCCAAGAACCCGUGAUCACCCCACAAUCAAUCAUUCCUCGAACGGUCCCGAACGGCAGCUGGUCCCGUUCCGUAUUCUCCCCACUAAUUCCCCCCUCCCGAAUUUUACUGUAUGGACCCCUUUGAUUUUCUUUUGACCUCGGGUUGGGUUUGUUUGCUACUAGCAGAAUACUACAGUACUGUAGAACUGAGAAAACUGUACAAAUGUUAGGUGUGAUCAUGGCUACUAAAGAUCGAUCGAGUACGGCUGGGUAACAAGCGUUUGGCUCUGUAGUCUUUUUCCAAUGUAUUACGUCCUCUUUUGCUCUUUUUUCGGUUAUGAGCUCUGAAAUCUGAAUACUUGUGUAAUAUGAUGCCAUUUGGGCUGUUUGAAGACUUUUGGAAUUGGGUUUGUAUGUUACUUUGGGGCAACGAAGAUAAUAUGAAGGCAGUCCGAGAGCUUUCUGGUAAUGGUGCAGGUUUUAACAGGCAUUGACUUGACCUGCAAUCCUGAUGCUAUACUUUCUUUUCUUCAAGACUGGUACAUUCAGACUUAUUCUAUGCUACAUUCAGCGUCUGUUGAUGAGGACUUUAUCCUUUGUGCCCAGGAUAAAUGGAUAAUAGGAAUGGCGGUGCUUUCCUGAAUGUACUUUGAGUUGUGAUACAUUGGUGUUUACCUGAAUGGCUGAAUCUCAGGUUUAACUUGCAGGUUUUAUUUUACUUUUCUGUAGUAUAGCGUACGAAAGGAAUGUUUUCUGUACCUGGCAAUUGUAUACUGAAGAAAUGAUAUUCUUUGUCAUGCCUCCGAUAGUCUAAAAGACGUUUCAUCUUUAAAGUAUAUAUAUGCAAUUUUCUAUGGACCAAAAUAUCCGUAGUGGGGGCAAAAACCAUGAUUACUUAAGAAAAAACAUGAACUCUUCUGUGAUGGCGUUUGUUAUCUGAUUCCAGAUAUCACAGUGACGGUUUAAUUUAGGAUAGAUUUCCUGCACUGCAGCUAAAGAUCUUGCAUGUUAUAUUUCUGUCUCCACAUUGUGUUUGCAUGUGAUAGGAAAUGUCAAUGCAUUACACUAGCUGUGACGCUUGCUUAAUUGGAAUAUGGGUUUGCAUCAGACAGAUAGGAGUAAUUGUUUUUGCCUUUUCUCCUGUGGGUGUGGUGUAUUGUCUUUGGGAGAGAGAUUUAUAGGAUGCAGAGAUUGCUGUACCUCAGUUGAGAUUGAUAGUUUGGGAUAUAAUUACUGAAAACCUUCUGAAGAGGGCAGCCAACAAGUGCCACAGAGAAAAGAAACAAGACAAAUAUAGUAAGCGACGCUCCAUUUAGGACUUCAUCAAUGUAAAGAUGAGCAACUGAAAGUACAAGGGUGUAUCUGUUAGAAACAGAGGAUGUCAGGGGCCAUGCUGUGAUAUUGUGAGAAGGCUCCACGGGCAUGACUGUAAUAGAGAAAGUAGCAGCCAGGGACCAGCGCGGAAAACUUCAAAAAAAUUGGACCAUUUCUCAAUUUGUGCAUGUCAUCCUUGCGCAAGGGCCAUGCUAAUCUUCUCUGUAUCGUUCCAAUUUUAUUAGAUGUCAGAUGUCCCAGAAGGGACAAGACUGGCUGCAGCGAGCGAGCUUAUAAACCGGUCGGAACUCUGCUGGACAGGCGAGGUGGGACUAAACGAAAUAGAACUGCUGCGUUGCUCUCCCCAGCCGCUGGGCUUGCACGUCGACCACCCGACAAUGCCCGAUCAUGCGGGCCUAAAAGUCCAGCGCGAGACCGUUGCUGAACUCACGUGGGCUGCAUCUCACUACGUAGCCCAGAUCAGUAGUGAGAGCCAGAGGGCAGUUAUCUUCAGCUCUCUCGUAGUUCCUCCUAGCAGUGAUCAAUAUUCCUAGUUCGAUUCCCUCCUAGCAGAGAGUAACAAUAUGUUCCUUGAUAUAAAUAUGAAUGUGUUGAGCACCAGAACUGUCAGAAUAAUGGGCUUGGUUCCUUAAGAUUUUCUGAAAUUCCUAGUGUAAAUAUCAAAAGCUUGUAUACUACCACGUCUUUUCGGCUUUUCCAUGUUGUAACACAAAGUGAAAUGGGCUCAACUGGUUAGCUAGCGUUAGUUUCCCACCUGGUGCCCAAGUAGAUGCAUUAUUCUCUGAUUUUUUUUAACAUACAUUAUGCACCGGUUCUCCAUUGUAAGCAAGUAGGCAUGUAGGCGUCCGCGAACGUCCGUAAGAUAAAAAUUAAGCCUAGCGUGAUUAUGAAAGUAACAUUGGAGCUUGAAUAAAUUUAACUGUGCACAUGGUAAAGUUACAACCUCAUUCAUACCUAAAUACUCUGUUGUAUAGUAAACAGGCUCUGCAGGCAGCCAAGCAUAAGUCAGUAGAGCACAAAUUCAACUACUGGAAAUUCAGGUGGGAUUGAGUACCUGUGGAAAGAUAUUGUUGACCAUGAUGUAUCCUCUUAUAGCGGAUCAAAUUUCCCCCCUUUAACCACCGAGUGGAUUUUCAUUUCCAAGGAUACAGUAAAAAAAACAUUGGGAUGACUAUGUGAGUUCUUUUUCAUUCUUGCAUACAGCAGGCCAUGUUGAUGACAGAUAGCUUGGCAUGGUUUGUGUGAUUAACAGGGAGAUGAGUCUUACAAUUUGUAACAUCAGCAGUAAGAUGGAUGGUGGUAUUUAAUAGCAUUGCUUUGUCAGAGUUUUAAGAAAAAAUAAAUUCAUAUCAAUGAAGUCAGCUGGUUGUAUCCACAAUUAUUGUUUGCUUGCCACUUGAGAAUUUCAGAAAUUGAUUGACUUAUGAGCAAGUCAUCCUUCUUGCAUCUUUUCUGGCACUUUGUGGACAUAAAGUUGAUGAAGAUAAUAUGCUCUGUUUUGGUCAACGAAGUUUGAUCGAAUUCAGGUGGAACGGUCAGUCAAUUGCAAGCGAAAGUAUUUCUGGAUUUGCACUUUUGUUUUGAUUCAUAAUAUACAUUUAUCGUGCAUGAACUGCAGUUUUUAGUCCCUUAAUAUACACUACUGAUGUUUUUCUAGCUUGCAUUCUACAUAGGACAUGUACUUAUUUCCUAUGCACUACUCCCCUAACUACAAGGCAUUGCUAUGUACUCCCUCCGUUCCGAAAUAUAAGUCUUUGGAGAGAUUCCACUAUGGACCAUAUACAAAGCAAAAUGAAUGAAUCUAUACUCUAAAAUGCAUCUAGAUACAUCCGUAUGUGGUUCAUAGUGAAAUCUCUACAAAGACUUAUAUUUAGGAAUGGAGGGAGUAUAUUGUUACUUUCCUUCCUAUUGAUCGCUGGUGUUCCUCUGAUAAUUGUCCAAAAAUUAAAAUCACAAAAUUAUCGAUUUCUAUCGGUUUUGCUAUUUAUUUUUAGCAUUGUUAUAGUAGCUUUAAAAUUGAGUGUGUCCUGACUGUUAUGGUGCCUUUACGAUCAUACAUGUUCUUAUUUGCAGCAAGAGUCAUGAAACAUGAGAAAUGAUCGCUAAGGCCACAGUGGAAAUGCUUUGCAUGUUGCCACUGAAAAGGUCGGCAUGGAUAUGACAAUAGUAGGGCACAGGUUCCUACCUCUUUAUGGAUGAAGAAGGUGAUGUGAGGCAUGAAGAUUACUCGAAACAGGCUUUCGCGCCGCUUUAUAUAUAAAGCCACAACCGAACAAGGUACACGGCCGAAUGAUACAAGGUGGAGAGGUGGCCCUCUUACAAAGCCGAUCCCAAGAUAACUGGCAAACGCAGAACUCUAAGCAACCGAAAAAGAGAAAAAGGAAGACAUGAACGCAACACCAAACUAUGCCCUAGCACACCUAAGCUCCACAACAACGCCCUCAUGAGGGAGAACGGCGCAUGGGGCAUGUGUUGGCCGGCUGGGGCUCUACUUUUACUGCAAGAAAGGUCCUGGAUAAUAAAAUUAAGUUAAAAUUUCAGCCCGAUCGGAGUUACGAAUCUCUUCCUAUUUAAGAAAUGAUGAGACAGAAAACAGAGAUCCAAUCUAGGGGAGAGCUCCUCUCCCUCCGAAGGGCCGAGGAAUAAGAAUAAGGAGGGGACCUUUCCCCCUCUUUGCUGGUAGCGCCGGAACACCGUCGGGGACAUCUUCGCCAUCUCCAUCACCAUCACCAACAGCUCUGUGUGUGUGUGUGUGUGUGUGUUCUCAUGGUGAUGUGUGAGCAGUGUUGGGGAACAUAGUAUUUCAAAAAAUUUCCUGCAAUCACGCAAGAUCUAUCUAGGAGAAGCAUAGCAACAAGCGGGGAGAGUGUGUCCACGUACCCUCGUAGACCGAAAGCGGAAGCGUUUAGUAACGCGGUUGAUGUAGUCGAACGUCUUCGCGAUCCAACCGAUCCAAGUACCGAACGUACGGCACCUCCGCGUUCAGCACACGUUCAGCUUGAUGACGUCUCUCGAUCUCUUGAUCUAGUUGAGGACGAGGGAGAGUUCCGUCAGCACGAUGGCGUGGCGACGGUGAUGAUAAAGUUACCGGCGCAGGGCUUCGCCUAAGCACUACGACGAUAUGACCGAGGUGUGUAACUGUGGAGGAGGGCACCGCACACGGCUAAGAGAAGACUUGGUGUGCCUUUGGGGAGCCCCCCUCCCACGUAUAUAAAGGAGGGGAGGAGGAGGAGGCCGGCCAAGGGGGGCGCGCGCCAUGGGGAGUCUAACUAGGAUUCCCAAUCCUAGUUGGAGUCCCCUUCCUUCCAAGAGAGGGAGAGAGAGGGAAGGAGGAAGAGGGGAGAAGGAAAGAGGGGGCGCCGCCCCCCUCCCUAGUCCAAUUCGGACUGGCCAUGGGGGGGGGGGCGACCUCUCUUGUGGCCCUCCUCUCCUNNNNNNNNNNNNNNNNNNNNNNNNNNNNNNNNNNNNNNNNNNNNNNNNNNNNNNNNNNNNNNNNNNNNNNNNNNNNNNNNNNNNNNNNNNNNNNNNNNNNNNNNNNNNNNNNNNNNNNNNNNNNNNNNNNNNNNNNNNNNNNNNNNNNNNNNNNNNNNNNNNNNNNNNNNNNNNNNNNNNNNNNNNNNNNNNNNNNNNNNNNNNNNNNNNNNNNNNNNNNNNNNNNNNNNNNNNNNNNNNNNNNNNNNNNNNNNNNNNNNNNNNNNNNNNNNNNNNNNNNNNGGGGGGGUCCGGUAACCGCCGGUACUCCGAAACAACCCGAACCAUUCCGAUGUCCGAAUGUAACCUUCCAAUAUAUGAAUCUUUACCUCUCGACUAUUUCUAGACUCCUCGUCAUGUCCGUGAUCUCAUCCGGUACUCCGAACAAACUUCGGUCAUCAAAUCACAUAACUUAUAAUACAAACCGUCAUCAAACGUUAAGCGUGCGGAACCUAUGGGUUCGAGAACUAUGUAGACAUGACCGAGACACAUCUCCGGUCAAUAACCAAUAGCGGAACCUGGAUGCUCAUAUUGGCUCCUACAUAUUCUACUAAGAUCUUUAUCAGUCAAACCGCAUAACAACAUACAUUGUUCCCUUUGGCAUCGGUAUGUUACUUGCCCGAGAUUCGAUCGUCGGUAUCAUCAUACCUAGUUCAAUCUCGUUACCGGCAAGUAUCUUUACUCGUUCCAUAAUGCAUCAUCCCGCCUAACUCAUUAGUCACAUUGCUUGCAAGGCUCAUAGUGAUGUGCAUUACCGAGAGGGCUCAGAGACACCUCUCCGAUACACGAAGUGACAAAUCCUAAUCUCGAUCUAUGCCAACUCAACAAACACCAUCGGAGACACCUGUAGAGCAUCUUUAUAAUCACCUAGUUACAUUGUGACGUUUGAUAGCACACAAAGUGUUCCUCCGGUAUUCGGGAGUUGCAUAAUCUCAUAGUCAGAGGAACAUGUAUAAGUCAUGAAGAAAGCAAUAGAAAUAAAACUAAACGAUCAUUAUGCUAAGCUAACGGAUGGGUCUUGUCCAUCACAUCAUUCUCUAAUUAUGUGAUCCCAUUCAUCAAAUGACAACACAUGUCCAUGGCUAGGAAACUUAACCAUCUUUGAUUAACGAGCUAUUCAAGUAGAGGCAUACUAGGGACACUCUGUUUGUCUAUGUAUUCACACAUGUGCUAUGUUUCCAGUUAAUACAAUUCUAGCAUGAAUAAUAAACAUUUAUCAUGAUAUAAGGAAAUAUAAAUAACAACUUUAUUAUUGCCUCUAGGGCAUAUUUCCUUCAAGAAGUUCAUCCUCGGCGCUGAGGGUAUGUACUAGUUGCUAUUUGUUCAAUAUCUCUCUCCCAGUUUCAAAUCUCUAUGUCUCCCUCCUUGACUUGAUCGCGGAUGGAAUUGAAGCGUCUCUUGAUGUGUUUGGCUCUCUUGUGAAAUCUGGAUUCAUUCGCUAAGGCAAUUGCUCCAGUAUUGUCACAAAAGAUUUUCAUUGGACCCGAUGCACUAGGUAUUACACCUAGAUCGGAUAUGAACUCUUUCAUCCAGACUCCUUCAUUUGCUACUUUUGAAGCAGCUAUGUACUCCGCUUCACACGUAGAUCCCGCCACGACGCUCUGCUUGGAACUGCACCAACUGACAGCUCCACCAUUCAAUAUAAAUACAUAUCCGGUUUGUGACUUAGAGUCAUCCAGAUCAGUGUCAAAGCUUGCAUCGACAUAACCAUUUACGACGAGCUCUUUGUCACCUCCAUAAAUGAGAAACAUAUCCUUAGUCCUUUUCAGGUAUUUCAGGAUGUUCUUGACCGCUGUCCAGUGAUCCACUCCUGGAUUACUUCGGUACCUCCCAGCUAAACUAAUAGCAAGGCACACAUCAGGUCUGGUACACAGCAUUGCAUACAUGAUAGAACCUAUGGCUGAGGCAUAGGGAAUGACUUUCAUUUUCUCUCUAUCUUUUGCAGUGGUUGUGGCACCCCGGCUCAGAGCAACCGGUUUACCAUGCAUUGCCAGCCCAAAGAUUAUGUCUUCUGGCAACACACAACAUCUUGGUAUAGAAAACAACCACUAUAUUGAUGCUAGCGGAUCAUAGUUCAUAUUACAACAGGUGGCGAGGCCAAGCGGCACACACGGUGCGGCUGAACAAUAUGUACAUUAUUUAGUGAACAUAAAGGGGCCUCGAUCAGAACAACUAUGUGGCAGCGGAACAACGUCGUAGCGGAACUCCAUAGCACAGGGACACCGAUGUGGACACGAUCUAGACUCGAACAUCACUCCUUUCCAACGAGACUUUCCUGAAAUAUGGCAUGACACGCCAGGUCAGUACAUUGAAUGUACUUGCAAGAUCACAACAAGCAUAAACAUAAUGACAAAUAAUAUCAUGAUAUUUAACCAAUUGUUUAAUAAUGCAACAAUAUAUCCAACAUGCUGUGAUCAUGCUCUUGUGAUAUAAGCCCCUCGGACUUGCUUACCAACGGUGAUCGCUCUCGGAUCACAAACGGACCAACCUCGUGGUCUUAGAUCGGGUUACCUCGUAACCAAACGGUGAUCUUUCCGGCGAUCACAACCAUGACCAACACUUGGUCUCCAACAUCAAGAUGGUCUACCCACCAUCAUCAACAGUGCAAAGUUCAUAACUUAGUGUGCAAAAUUUAUUAAAUGUUGACCCAUGGUGUGACCUACUUUCGAGCGUGUCCGUAACCAUGGACUCGGCUAUCGAUAGAUUUAAUACACUCUGCAGAGGUAGCGCACUGUACCCACACCAGGAACCCAUGGCCUCGCACUCCCAUUCAGGUGGACCAACGGCAUUCCGACGAAACCCCUCCAUUGCCAUGACAUUCUCUCGGCCACUCCGACUCACUCCCCACUGGGCUAGUCCUGGGUUGCCCCGUGUCUACCAAAGACACCAACAACCACCAUCGUGGCAAAACAUAAACGGUCCCAAACGGGGACAAGGUACCAUAAUAUCAACAGCGGGCACACAAGGUUAUGUCUGCUUACCAGGCCAGGGUACCGCAUGCCCAUAACCUUCCCUCGUUGGAGGCACCGACCAGAGGCAUGACAACGGACCGAAUAAAGGCCUUCCCAUAAAGGCAAAUGUGGUUGCACUGGGAAAAACUCGAUUCAGUGGCACCAUGACCCGGUCAAGGAUAUAUUCAAGUUGAGUUAUUAGCAGGUUCAACUUAACGGGAAAGUAACCGGUGUCAUAACAUGUCAUGCAAGUGCAACACAAAUAUAUGCAUCAUAUAACAUCGGAAAUAACUGGGUCAACUAAAUCCACACUAAGCAUAAACAUCACAAUUCAUAACACUUCUCUGGUUAUGAUUAAUCAUCACUUUAAACAGAAUCUUUACUUAGCAAAUUUAUCAUUUUUCUCCUCCAAGAAAAAUAACUCAAAAUAAUUACUCAUAUCCAUAACAAAUAUUACUUCUUCAUAACAAAUAUUUCUUCUAGUUAUUUAACCAACUUAGUUAGCUUCAAACUUUCUGUAAACUAAGCAUAUCAACUUAAACAAGCAACCAAUCAGAAUAUAAAUAAUAUACUAGUGAUUUAAAUGCAUGGAUUAAAUCAUUAAUUCAAGUUGAAAAUCACAAAUAUUGCAAUGGCACCAUGAAAAUGUUGCUGUGGGUUGCCUUAGUGCAGAUGAGGUUCACAAUCCUCCUGGUGAUCCUCAAGACAAGCUUCUCUUUCUGAAAAUAUUUAUAAACACAAAAAGAAAACAUCAAGAACCCUUCUGAAAUUCACCAUAAAAUCUAGAAAGCAGGGAAAAAUCUCAUUUUUGGUGAGCUGCUAGAUUUAUUCACAAAGAACACAAUGCAAAAAGAAUCAAUUCAUUUGGACUUAUGGUUAAAAAGUUUUGGCUGUUUGAAGCUCUCUGGACAUAAAUAAAUUUGAAUUUAAAUAAACAGAACUAAGUGGGGGGGGGGCGGUGACGUCGAAGGCGUAAACCUCGCGGGCGCCACCACUUGUACCGCUUCGCGCGCGUAUAGAGUGGCUGACUAGCGGGCCCCACUAGUCAGGUGAGAGGGAGGGGGAAAGGGAAACAGAGGACGGCGCGGCUUCGCCGGAGCACACGCCGGCGAGGAGAGCUUCUUGGCCAGAACGAGAGGGAGGGAUCGAAAGAGAAGAUGGAGGCGCACCUGCCCAUACCCGUAGGUUAGCUAGGGGUGGUCGAACGGCGUCGGAAUCAGCCUCUAGCGGAGACAGGAAGCAGAGGUCGCCGGAGAUGAAGACGACGACGACCAGAGUUGACACCAGGGGCUCCAACCGGGCGGAACGGCACCACCGAGGCACGACGGAGGCCUUGGAAGGGUGGCCCAGGCCUGGAAGGGGCUGGAGCCGCGGAGACGACCCGAGGGGAUCGCCGGCGAGCUCGAGCUCGGGGACAGCGGCCCGCGGCCUGCCCGGCCGGGCUACGGCUUUCUACAAGAUUGUGGAGUGUGUGGAAGGAGUGGAUGAUGCUCGAGGAGGCUGGGGAGGGCUCUAUUUAUAGCCAAGCGUCGAGAGGGGAUCGGGCUCCGCCGGAGGACACCUGGACACGGCGCCCGGCGACGAACGGCGUCAGUGAGCGAGGGGGAAGGCGACGCAACUCACGCGGGAACUGUGGGCGAGCGGAGACGAGCACAGGGGCGAGAGGGUGACGACGAGCACAGUGUGCAGCGCACUGUGGCGUUGGCCAGACCGCGCCCGUGCUCGCUGCGGCGAGCUCCGGCGUCGGCGAGCGCCAGGAGGGAGUGAAGAGGGUCGGGACGAUGAUUGUGGCGAGGUUUGGCAAGGCUUGGAGGGCGGGGAAGCGAGCACGCGAUCAACAGUAGCGCGGGCGCGACGCAGAGCGCGUCGGUCGUAUGCCAGCACGCCUGGACGAACGCGGUCACCACGUGAACUCUGACCUCAGGCCGACCUAAGCCCAAACCUCAUGUCUGGCAUGUAGUUCGUGGUAGUUUUAGAGGUUACCACACUUGGUUUUGAUCACAGGCGCAAUAGAAUGGAUUUCAACUGCCUGGUAAGUUUCUGGUCAGUAACUUUGAGAGAUUACUGCGGUCAAACUACUGAGAGUUGGGAGCUGGGCUUUGGAGGUUAGCAAUCAUCUACUAAGGUGAUGAUGCACAAGAAAAAUCAGCCACAAUGGAUCAAGUAAAAUGGUAGUUGCUGUAGAAACCACCAUUUCUGUCCAAAACAGAAAAUAUUUUCUGUAGCAAAAAUAUUCCAAAAAGUGAUGAAAUAUUUUUGCUCAGGAAGGUGCCCUAGGGUUCAAAGAAUAUUUGGAAAUUUUCUCAGAUUUUUGUGGGCAAGAAAAAUUGGGGUUGCUUUGGAGCACAUUGAGCUAGCUAGGGUUUUAGAGAGGGAAAUGAAUAUUUUUCAUUUAAGAAAAUAUUCAAACUAUUAUUUUGAGGUGAACCGGAGAGAAAAUGAUAGUUAGAAAGGGAAAUGAGACACUUGGGUGAAAUUCAAGGGGUACCCAAGUGUUUAAGUCCAUCUGAAAAGAUUCAAAACUUCAAAUUUCAAAACCAAACCAACUGAAAAUCAGGCAAAGAGAAGAGGGCAAAAACCAGACUGUCACAAACCUCCCCCGCUUAGGAUGAAUCUCUUCCUCGAGAUUCAGUUGCUUGGGAAAACCAUUCUGGAUAAUGAGCCCUAAGAAAUUCUUCUCGUUCCCAAGUCGAUUCUGCCUCUGUGUGAUGCUCCCACUGAACUUUGUAAAACAUCCUUGCUUUACUACGAGUGACCCUUUCCAUCUGAUCCAAAAUUCUGACCGGUCUCUCUUCAUAUGUUAAAUCCUUUGCCAACUCUAUUUCAGUCAUAGCAGUCUUUUUCUCAGGCGGCGAUAUGCAUCGCCUCAAUUGUGAAACAUGAAACACAUUGUGCACUUCCGACAAUUCGGGGGUUAGUUCCAAUUUAUAUGCAACAGUACCUACUCUGGACAUAACCGGAAAUGGACCAAUAAAUCUGGGUGCCAACUUUCCACGAGUUUGGAAUCUCUUGACUCCUUUCAUAGGAGUGACUCGGAGGUAUACGUGUUCUCCGGGUUCAAAACUGAUCUGUCGGUGCUUUGCAUCAUAAUAAUGUCGCGAUUUGGCCAAUUGCAAUCUGUCUCGGAUUUCCUUGACUUGCUUCUCAGCUUCCAUCAUGAGAUCCAUUCCGAAAAUACGGCUAUCUCCAGUUUGAGACCAAUUCAAAGGAGUGCGGCACUUACGGCCAUACAAAGCCUCAUAUGGUGACAUCUUUAGACUGGUCUGGAAGCUGUUGUUGUAUGAGAACUCGGCAUACGGCAGGUAGUCUUCCCAUUUAGAUCCUUGGGCCAAAGCACAGGCUUGAAGCAUAUCUUCGAGUAUUUGGUUUACCCGCUCAGUCUGUCCAUUAGUAUGACGAUGAUAAGCGGUACUAUAUUUUAGCGUUGUCCCCAAGGCUUGAUGGAGACGUGACCAGAAAGCGGAGGUAAAAAGUGACCCCCGGUCAGAAGUGAUUGUUCGGGGUACUCCAUGCAGAUUGACUAUUCUGGAUACAUACAGUUGUGCAAGUUGAUCCGCUCGAUAUGUGGUUCUGAUCGGGAUAAAGUGAGCUACCUUGGUUAAGGUGUCCACUAUAACCCAGAUUGCAUCAUUGCCUCGCUGAGUCUUAGGUAGCCCUGUGAUAAAAUCCAUGCAGACAUCAUCCCAUUCCCAUUGUGAAACUGGCAGUGGUUGGAGAAGUCCGGCUGGCUUCUGGUGCUCUGCCUUCACCUUGUUGCAUAUGUUGCAUCAGGCCACAAAAUAGGAAAUGUCUUUCUUCAUUCCAUCCCACCAGAAUAUUUGUCGAAGGUCUUCAUACAUUUUUGUACCUCCAGGGUGAAUCGAAUACGAACAUUCAUGUGCUUCCGAUAGGAUUUUCUUCUUUAAAUCCGCCUGACUGGGUACACAAAUCCUUCGACGGAAUCGGAGGGUACCAAAUUGAUCCUUUGAAAAAUCUGAAGUCUGUCCUGCUACCAUACUCUUGGCACGUUUCUGCAGGACGGUGUCAGCUGGCUGGGCCUUGCAGAUCUCUUCCUCAAGUGUAGGUGCAACUUCCAAAAUAUUAGCAAGACCAGUAUCAACUAUGAUCAGGUUGAGCUGAGCAAUCUCCUCUUGAAGUUCAGGAGGCAAGGAUUUCAUUAUGGCAUUCAGGCUGCCAGGCUUUCGACUGAGUGCAUCGGCAACCACGUUGGCCUUACCUUGGUGGUAAUUUAUUCCAAGAUCAUAAUCUUUGACUAACUCGAGCCAUCUUCGUUGACGGAUUAAAUCUGGCUGAGAAAAUAUAUACUUGAGGCUUUUGUGGUCGGUAAAAAUUUGACACCUCUUCCCGAUGAGGUAGUGUCUCCAAAUUUUUAGAGCAUGAACCACCGCGGCCAAUUCCAGAUCAUGAGUAGGGUAAUUUCCCUCGUGGGGUCGUAACUGUCGCGAUGCAUAUGCUACUACCUUGCCGUCUUGCAUAAGUACGCAUCCAAGUCCUUGUCUGGAGGCGUCGCAGUACACAUCAAAGUUGCGGUAGAUAUCUGGAAGAGUCAACACAAGUGCGGUCGUCAGCCGUAUCUUUAGCUCAUUAAAACUUUUCUCACAGUCCUCAGUCCAUUCAAAUUUCUUGUCCUUCUUGAGCAGCUCCGUCAUGGGUUUAGCAAUCUUGGAAAAUCCUUCAAUGAAACGACGGUAGUAUCCGGCUAAUCCAAGAAAACUCCGGAUCUGUGAUACGGUUGUGGGUGGCAACCAAUCUAGCACAUCCUUUACUUUGCUCGGGUCCACUGCUAUACCUUCGGCUGAUAGCACAUGUCCGAGAAACCCAACUUUCUUGAGCCAAAACUCGCAUUUACUGAAUUUGGCGUAUAGCUGAUGGUCGCGGAGUCGUUGUAGCACUGCUCGGAGGUGUUCUUUGUGAUCUUCACUUUUUGAGUAAAUAAGUAUGUCAUCGAUAAAAACUACCACGAAUUUAUCGAGGAAGUCCAUGAAUACUUUGUUCAUCAUAUGCAUGAAGAAGGCAGGGGCAUUGGUGAGACCAAAGGACAUAACUGUAUAUUCAUAAAGACCGUACCGAGUGGUGAAUGCGGUCUUAGGAAUAUCUUCCUUUUUAAUCUUGAGCUGAUGAUAUCCUGUCCUUAAAUCAAUCUUGGAGAAUACUUUGGCGCCACUGAGCUGAUCAAACAAGUCAUCAAUCCUUGGCAGUGGAUAUUUAUUUUUGAUGGUGACAUCAUUCAGCUGACGGUAAUCCACACACAUGCGGAGGCUGCCAUCCUUCUUAUCCACGAAGAUAGCAGGUGAUCCCCAUGGUGAGGAGCUGGGACGGAUAUAUCCUUUCUGGAGCAUUUCAUCAAGCUAUUUCUUUAGCUCCACUAAUUCCGAUGAAGGCAUCCGGUAAUACUUCUUGUAUAACAGUGCGGUUCCGGGCACAAGAUCUAUUGCAAACUCAAGCUCUCGAUCUGGUGGCAUGCCUGGCAGUUCUUCUGGAAAUACAUCAGGAAACUCACUGACCACAGGAAUUAAUUCCAACUCACCCGCCACAGCGGUGAAGACCAUUUCUUUCUUGGGUAUGCUUCUGCGAGCAUAGAAUUUGGUAGCCUGCCCCUUCUGACUGGUCAAAGUGACUUCUCGGGUCGCGCAAUUUAUGCAUACUUGAUAUUGGGUCAACCAAUUCAUACCCAAGAUAACAUCCAACUUUACAGACUCAAUGAUUAUCAAGGAAGUUGGAAAACAGACUCCGUUGAUAUUGAUUUCCAUAUCACGGCAGACCAGAUUGCUCCUGAUUAAGGAUCCCGGGGUUUGUACCAGCAUAUUCUAGCCCAAAAGCGAACAAGGAAAUUUGUUUUGGGCAACAAAACUCCGUGAAAUAAAAGAGUGGGAAGCCCCAGAGUCAAAUAAAAUUACGGCAAGUGUGUUAUUAACAGAAAACAUACCAAUGACGACUUCGGGAUUCUCUUGGGCUUCAUCUGCGGAGAGAUGAUGAACGUGCCCAGUGAUGUUUUGCUGGGUAGGGCAUGACUCCAUAAAGUUGACUUGUGGCCUGAAUAGGGCAUUUGCCUUGCCGUUCUUGGGACACUAUCUGGCAUAAUGUCUGGUUUGCCCACAACUGAAGCAAGAAUUGUUGCGCUGGCACUCCUCUCGCACCGAGUUGGUCACGACAUUCUUGACUUGUGUAGUGGUCUUGUUAACAUUCUGUUGCCAAUUGGGCUUGUAUUCCACCUGAGUAUGCUGCCAGGUACGAGCCUUUUGAAUUGGCUGCCCUUCCUUCCUUGGCUCAAACUUGCGCUUGUGAUCAUUAUUGGCAGGCCUAUUGUCUGAUACGAGCUUGUGCUCCCUUUCAGCAAUGAAAGCCUUGUUUACCAGAGUUUGGAAAUCUUGGAAAUCAAACAUACUGAGGGUACAUCGGAGUUGCGGGUUUAAUCCCCCAAGAAAUCGAUCAAUCUUGCUCUCUUCGGUGGCCACGUCAUAAAGAGAGUAACGGGCCAAAUGAUUGAACUUUUGCAAAUAUUCAUCCACAGACUGAUUUCCUUGAAGGAGCGCGAGAAAUUCACGCUGCUUAACCUUCAUAAUUCCAGUAGGAAUAUGAUAUUUCCGGAACUGAUCCUUGAAUUUUGCCCAGGUGAUUUCUUCAUCAGCAUGCCACAUGGUUUUUGUGUUUUCCCACCAUAUGGCAGCAGCGCCUUCAAGAUAAUGGGUUGCAAAUGGAACUUUAUCAUCUUCUGCAGUACGAGCAAUCUCUAGCUUCCUCUCAAUGGUUCGCAACCAAUCGUCUGCAUCCAAGGGAUCAAUAACCUGACUGAAACUGGGAGGCUUGGUUCUCUGAAAAUCUGACAGCUUGGAGUGAUGCCCGUUCUGAUUUCCAUUCUGUCCAACCACAACUUGCACACUUCUUAAUAUUUCAAUCACAUCAUUAUUCCUUCUUUCCUCAAACAUACGCAGAAUUUGCUCUGUGGAGGGUGGAUUUGGCGGUGGAGGCGGUGGUGGAACGUACGGCUCGGGGGAGUGUCCUGCCUGUCGUGCGGAACGACGAACAGGAAUAUCCACAUGAGCGUCGCUACUGCUGCCUCCCCGCGUCAUCCUAUUGUGGAUUUUUCCCAAGACAACGCAACCGAGAUGAGAAACAUCCAAAAAUAAAUUGGGGAAAAGCCAGCAACAAAUCCUGAGAGGAAACGAAAUAACGAAGAAAAUACGAUGAAUAAAAUAGAGUUCCAACAUAAUUAUACAUAGACUCAUACAUGAAAGAUAAACAUCAUGCCAGGUUCAACUACUCUCAUACAGGAAACAAAACAUCAUGACUCGUACGACUACACCCGUACAUCAUCCUGACAACUGUAGAUGCUCAGAAGCUCUACUACUCUGCUGGUGCUCUGGGGUCCUCUCCUGAAGCGGACUCGGAUCCUGAACUGACAUGGUUAACUGAAACCUCCGGGUUAAAGGUAACACGACGACGCUGCCUUGAGGGCUCUCCCUCUGAGGCAGGUGCAGGGUGAAGCAUCGGGGCUACAGGAGUAGUGAGAAGUGAAACCCACUCAGCAGGAGCACUGAGAGGAUUCACGGUCGAGGUGCCCGAGCUACUCGGAGGAGUAACCGGUGAAAGGGGUGAACUAGAACUGGGUGGAAUAUAAGGAGUAAAUCCCAUAGAAGAUGGAGCAGUGACAGAUCUAGUAGAAGAUAAAGCAGUACGGGCACGAGUCAGCUCUCGAGCCAGCUCGUGGAUCAUAAGAUAGCUAGCAGUGAUAUAACGGGAAAGGUGGCUAGCAACACUAUCAGACUCCGGAUCAAUGAUAGGGAAACGGACACGACCAUUGUCGUGUAGAGAAGGAUAGCAGUAGAAACCUGGGUGGUUCUGCAUCCGGACCUCGUUAUAACGAAGCUCGACAAGGACCUCGAAUGCAGCAAACUGGACAGCCUGAGAAGCGGUAGAAGCAAAAGCGCUCCGGGAGGUACGAGUGUAAGUGCUGGAAUCGGAACUGGUGCGCAGAGUAAGCACUGCAUGAUACUCAUACACUGAGUCUGCUAGACGCUCCCGGUACACACGAUAGAAUGGGUCGUCACCGAGGGGGUACAGCCGACGCCACACAUUACGAAGGAGAUGCGGCGACGUGAAUGGCAUCAGCUGCAACUGGCACGGAUACGGCACUGGAGCCAUCUACACUCACAACCAUUAGCAGGUUAGCAUAAAAAUAAAACGAGUGCAUACAAUGCAACAACCAGCUACAAAUGCUACCGGCACUCAACUUAAACUCGUAUCUAACGUCCAGUUAACACGUCAUAGUCUAGCGUGGCCUACAGUCAGCGCGGCUCUGAUACCAAGCGUUGUGGCACCCCGACUCAGAGCAACCGGUUUACCAUGCAUUGCGAGCCCAAAGAUCAUGUCUUCUGGCAACACACAACAUCUUGGUACAGAAAACAACCGCUUUAUUGAUGCUAGCGGAUCAUAGUUCAUAUUACAACAGGUGGCGAGGCCAAGCGGCACACACGGUGCGGCUGAACAAUAUGUACAUUAUUUAGUGAACAUAAAGGGGCCUCGAUCAGAACAACUACGUGGCAGCGGAACAACGUCGUAGCGGAACUCCAUAGCACAGGGACACCGAUGUGGACACGAUCUAGACUCGGACAGCACUCCUUUCCAAUGAGACUUUCCUGAAAUCUGGCAUGACACGCCAGGUUAGUACAUUGAAUGUACUUGCAAGCUCACAACAAGCAUAAACAUAAUGACAAAAAAAAUCAUGAUAUUUAACCAAUUGUUUAAUAAUGCAACAAUAUAUCCAACAUGCUGAGAUCAUGCUCUUGUGAUAUAAGCCCCUCGGACUUGCUUACCAAUGGUGAUCGCUCUCGGAUCACAAACGGACCAACCUCGUGGUCUUAGAUCGGGUUACCUCGUAACCAAACGGUGAUCUUUCCGGCGAUCACAACCAUGACCAACACUUGGUCUCCAACAUCAAUAUGGUCUACCCACCAUCAUCAACAGUGCAAAGUUCAUAACUUAGUGUGCAAAAUUUAUUAAACGUUGACCCAUGGUGUGACCUACUUUCGAGCGUGUCCGUAAUCGUGGACUCGGCUAUCGAUAGAUUUAAUACACUCUGCAGAGGUAGCGCACUGUACCCACACCACGGAACCCAUGGCCUCGCACUCCCAUUUGGGUGGACCAAUGGCAUUCCGACGAAACCCCUCCAUUACCAUGACACUCUCUCGGCCACUCCGACUCACUCCCCACUGGGCUAGUCCUGGGUUGCCCCGUGUCUACCAAAGACACCAACGGCCACCGUCGUGGCAAAACAUAAACGACCCCAAACGGGGACAAGGUACCAUAAUAUCAACAACGAGCACACAAGGUUAUGUCUCCUUACCGGGCCAGGGUACCGCACACCCAUAACCUUCCCUCGUUGGAGGCACCGACCAGAGGCAUGACAAUUGCUACCUCUUGAGCACUGCGUUGGUUUUCCCUUGAAGAGGAAAGGGUGAUGCAGUAAAGUAGCGCAAGUAUUUCCCUCAGUUUUUGAGAACCAAGGUAUCAAUCCAGUAGGAGGCCACGCACGAGUCCCUCGCACCUACACGAACAAAUAAAUCCUCGCAACCAACGCAAUAAAGGGGUUGUCAAUCCCUUCACGGUCACUUACGAGAAUGAGGUCUGAUAUAUAUGAUAGGAUAAUAUUUUUGGUAUUUUUAUGAUAAAGAUGCAAAGUAAAAUAAAAGGCAAUAAAAAUAGCUAAGUGUUGGAAGAUUAAUAUGAUAGAAAAUAGACCCGGGGGCCAUAGGUUUCGCUAGAGGCUUCUCUCGAGAGCAUAAGUAUUACGGUGGGUGAACAAAUUACUGUUGAGCAAUUGACAGAAUUGAGCAUAGUUAUGAGAAUAUCUAGGUAUGAUCAUGUAUAUAGGCAUCACGUCCGAGACAAGUAGACCGACUCCUGCCUGCAUCUACUACUAUUACUCCACACAUCGACCGCUAUCCAGCAUGCAUCUAGAGUAUUAAGUUCAUAAGAACAGAGUAACGCUUUAAGCAAGAUGACAUGAUGUAGAGGGAUAAACUCAUGCAAUAUGAUAUAAACCCCAUCUUGUUAUCCUCGAUGGCAACAAUACAAUACAUGCCUUGUUGCCCCUACUAUCACUGGGAAAGGACACCGCAAGAUUGAACCCAAAGCUAAGCACUUCUCCCAUUGCAAGAAAGAUCAAUCUAGUAGGCCAAACCAAACUGAUAAUUCAAAGAGACUUGCAAAGAUAACCAAUCAUACAUAAAAGAAUUCGUAGAAGAUUCAAAUAUUGUUCAUAGAUAAACUUGAUCAUAAACCCACAAUUCAUCGGUCUCAACAAACACACCGCAAAAGAAGAUUACAUCGAAUAGAUCUCCACAAGAGAGGGGGAGAACAUUGCAUUGAUAUCCAAAAAGAGAGAAGAAGCCAUCUAGCCAAUAACUAUGGACCCGAAGGUCUGAGGUGAACUACUCACACAUCAUCGGAGAGGCUAUGGUGUUGAUGUAGAAGCCCUCCGUGAUCUAUGCCCCCUCCGGCGGAGCUCCGGAAAAGGCCCCAAGAUGGGAUCUCACGGGUACAGAAGGCUGCGGCGGUGGAAUUAGGUUUUUGGCUCCGUCUCUGGUAGUUUGGGGGUACGUAGGUAUAUAUAGGAGGAAGAAGUACGUCGGUGGAGCAACAUGGGGCCCACGAGGGUGGAGGGCGCGCCCAGGGGGGUAGGCGCGCCCCCCUACCUCAUUCCCUCCUGGUUGAUGUCUUGACGUAGGGUCCAAGUCCUCUGGAUCACGUUCAUUCCGAAAAUCACGUUCCCGAAAGUUUCAUUCCGUUUGGACUCCGUUUGAUAUUCUUUUUCUGCGAAACUCUGAAAUAGGCAAAAAAACAACAAUUCUGGGCUGGGCCUCCGGUUAAUAGGUUAGUCCCAAAAAUAAUAUAAAAGUGUAUAAUAAAGCCCAAUAAUGUCCAAAACAGAAUAUAAUAUAGCAUGGAACAAUAAAAAAUUAUAGAUACGUUGGAGACGUAUCAAGCAUCCCCAAGCUUAAUUCCUGCUCGUCCUCGAGUAGGUAAAUGAUAAAAACAGAAUUUUUGAUGUGGAAUGCUACUUGGCACAAUUUCAAUGUAAUUCUCCUAAUUGUGGUAUGAAUAUUCAGAUCCGAAAGAUUCAAGAUAAAGGUUUAAUAUUGACAUAAAAGUAAUAAUACUUCAAGCAUACUAACUAAGCAAUUAUGUCCUCUCAAAAUAACAUGGCCAAAGAAAGUUCAUCCCUACAAAAUCAUAUAGUUUAGUCAUGCUCCAUUUCCGUCACACAAGAAUGCUCUCAUCAUGCACAACCCCGAUGCCAAGCCAAGCAAUUGUUUCAUACUUUAGUAAUCUCAAACUUUUUUCAACCUUCACGCAAUACAUGAGCGUGAGCCAUGGAUAUAGCACUAUGGGUGGAAUAGAAUAUAAUGAUGGGGGUUAUGUGGAGAAGACAAAAAAGGAGCAAGUCUCACAUCAACGAGGCUAAUCAAUGAGCUAUGGAGAUGCCCAUCGAUUGAUGUUAAUGUAAGGAGUAGGGAUUGCCAUGCAACGGAUGCACUAGAGCUAUAAAUGCAUGAAAGCUCAACAAAAGAAACUAACUGGGUGUGCAUCCAACUUGCUUGCUCACGAAGACCUAGGGCAUUUGAGGAAGCCCAUUGUUGGAAUAUACAAGUCAAGUUCUAUAAUGAAAAAUUCCCACUAGUAUAUGAAAGUGACAAAAUAAGAGACUUUCUAUCAUGAAGAUCAUGGUGCUACUUUGAAGCACAAGUGUGGAAAAAAGGAUAGUAACAUUGUCCCUUUUUAUUUUCUUUUUUUCGGGCCUUCCCUUUUUUGGCCUUUUUUUUGGGACAAUGCUCUAUGAAUGAUGAUCAUCACACUUCUAUUUAUUUACAACUCAAUGAUUACAACUCGAUACUAGAACAAAAUAUGACUAUAUGAAUGCCUCUGGCGGUAUACCGGGAUAACAAUGAAUCAAGAGUGACAUGUAUGAAAAAUUAUGAACGGUGGCUUUGCCACAAAUACGAUGUCAACUACAUGAUCAUGCAAAGCAAUAUGACAAUGAUGAGCGUGUCAUAAUAAACGGAACGGUGGAAAGUUGCAUGGCAAUAUAUCUCGGAAUGGCUAUGGAAAUGCCAUAAUAGGUAGGUAUGGUGUCUGUUUUGAGGAAGAUAUAAGGAGGUUUAUGUGUGAAAGAGCGUAUCAUAUCACGGGGUUUGGAUGCACCGGCGAAGUUUGCACCAACUCUCAAUGUGAGAAAGGGCAAUGCACGGUACCAAAGAGGCUAGCAAUGAUGGAAGGGUAAGAGUGCGUAUAAUCCAUGGACUCAACAUUAGUCAUAAAGAACUCACAUACUUAUUGCAAAAAUCUACAAGUCAUCAAAAACCAAGCACUACGCGCAUGCUCCUAGGGGGAUAGAUUGGUAGGAAAAGACCAUCGCUCGUCCCCGACCGCCACUCAUAAGGAGGACAAUCAAAGAACACCUCAUGUUUCAAAUUUGUUACAUAACGUUUACCAUACGUGCAUGCUACGGGACUUGCAAACUUCAACACAAGUAUUUCUCAAAUUCACAACUACUCAACUAGCACAACUUUAAUAUCACUACCUCCAUAUCUCAAAACAAUCAUCAAGCAUCAAACUUCUCUUAGUAUUCAGCACACUCAUAAGGAAGUUUUUUACUAGUCUUGAAUACCUAGCAUAUUAGGAUUAUUUAAGAAAAUUUCCAUGCUGUUUAAGACUCUCAAAAUAAUAUAAGUGAAGUAUGAGAGAAUAAUAGUUUCUAUAAAACAAAACCACCACCAUGCUCUAAAAGAUUUAAGUGAAGCAUUAGAGCAAAAACUAUAUAGCUCAAAAGAUAUAAGUGAAGCACAUAGAGUAUUCUAAUAAUUUCCGAAUCAUGUGUGUCUCUCUCAAAAGGUGUGUCCAGCAAAGAUGAUUGUGGUAAAAUAAAAAGCAAAGACUCAAAUAAUACAAGACGCUCCAAGCAAAACACAUAUCAUGUGGUGAACAAAAAUAUAGCUCCAAGUAAAGUUACCGAUGGAAGUAGACGAAAGAGGGGAUGCCUUCCGGGGCAUCCCCAAGCUUUGGCUUUUUGGUGUCCUUAGAUUAUCUUGGGGUGCCUUGGGCAUCCCCAAUCUUAGUCUCUUGCCACUCCUUGUUCCAUAAUCCAUCAAAUCUUUUACCCAAAACUUGAAAAUUUCACAACACAAAACUUAACAGAAAAUCUCGUGAGCUCCGUUAGCGAAAGAAAACAAAACACCACUUCAAGGUACUGCAAUGAACUCAUUCUUUAUUUAUAUUGGUGUUAAACCUACUGUAUUACAACUUCUCUAUGGUUUAUAAACUAUUUUAUUAGCCAUAGAUUCAUCAAAAUAAGCAAACAACACACGAAAGACAGAAUCUGUCAAAAACAGAACAGUCUGUAGUAAUCUGUAACUAACGCAAACUUAUGAAACUCCAAAAAUUCAGCCAAAAUAGGAAGACCUAGACAAUUUGUUUAUUGAUCAGAAGCAAUUGGAAUUAAUAUUUUAUCACGUUCUGGUGUUUUUUAACAAUUAUUUUCGUGAACAGAAAGUUUCUGCAAUUUUCAGCAAGAUCAAAUAACUAUCAUCCAAGAAGAUCCUAUAGGUUUAACUUGGCACAAACACUAAUUAAAACAUAAAAACACAUCUAACCAGAGGCUAGAUCAAAUAUUUAUUCCUAAACAGAAGCAAAAAGCAAAAAACUAAAAAUAAAAUUGGGUUGCCUCCCAACAAGCACUAUCGUUUAACGCCCCUAGCUAGGCAUAAAAGCAAGGAUAGAUCUAGGUAUUACCAUCUUUGGUAGGUAAUUAUUUAAUGAGGCAUCUAUCACCCUUAGGAGUUUCUUUCUUUUUAUUGAUCAUCAAACUUAUAGGCACAAAAACAAAAAAUUCAUUUGUAGCAAAUGGUCCUUAAUGAUAGCAAAAAGAUUGGGAUGAAUACUUAUAGAUUUGAGAUCCGCAGUUUCCUUACUAGAGGAUUCACCCUUAUUUUUAGGAACAUACAUAAGCUUGGCAAUUUUAGUUGGAGGACUUGGAGUAUUCUUUACGGAAGAAAAAGCGGUUCCCAAGUUGGUAAUGAUACCCUCAAGUUUAUCGAUUCUAGUGGAAUCUUGAUCUAUUCUUUCAUUAACUAUGGGUUCCUUAUCAUUAAUAUUUUUCAAAGUGACUCCUACUUUAGAUCCAUAUUGGGUAAUUUGGUUGUGGAUCUUUUUAUCCAAAUUUUCGAUUAACUCUACGGUAGCAACUUUAUUUUUAAUAAUUUCAAGUCUUUGCAUUAUAUGCUCCAAAGUUAACAUAGUUCCAUUAACCAAAAGAGGUGGUGAGCCAAACAAAUCUAUCAUAGCAUUAUAAGAAUCAAAAGUAUGGCUACCCAAGAAAUUCCCUCCGGUAAUGGUAUCAAGGAUAUAUCUGUACCAAGGAGUAUCGCCUACAUAAAAGUUGCAGAGAAGAACGGAAGUAGAUUGUUUCCUGGUAGAUCUAUUUUGAGCAUUGCAAAUUCUAUACCAAGCGUCUUUCAGAUUUUCUCCCUCCCUUUGCUUAAAAUUUAGAACUUCAUUCUCGGGAGACAACGGAGAAGAUAGAGGACUAGCCAUAAUGACCAAGCAAGUGAAAAAAGAGGCAAAUGAAAAAGAGAAAGCGAAUAAAACGGCAAGGGUGAAGUGGGGGAGAGGAAAGCGAGAGGCAAAUGGCAAAUAAUGUAAUGCGGGAGAUAAGGGUUUGUGAUGGGUACUUGGUAUGUUGAUUUUUGCGAAGACUCCCCGGCAACGGCGCCAGAAAUCCUUCUUGCUACCUCUUGAGCACUGCGUUGGUUUUCCCUUGAAGAGGAAAGGGUGAUGCAGUAAAGUAGCGUAAGUAUUUCCCUCAGUUUCUGAGAACCAAGAUAUCAAUCCAGUAGGAGGCCACGCACGAGUCCCUCGCACCUACACAAACAAAUAAAUCCUCGCAACCAACGCAAUAAAGGGGUUGUCAAUCCCUUCACGGUCACUUACAAGAGUGAGAUCUGAUAGAUAUGAUAGGAUAAUAUUUUUGGUAUUUUUAUGAUAAAGAUGCAAAGUAAAAUAAAAGCAAUAAAAAUAGCUAAGUGUUGGAAGAUUAAUAUGAUAGAAAAUAGACCCGGGGGCCAUAGGUUUCACUAGAGGCUUCUCUCGAGAGCAUAAGUAUUACGGUGAGUGAACAAAUUACUGUUGAGCAAUUGACAGGAUUGAGCAUAGUUAUGAGAAUAUCUAGGUAUGAUCAUGUAUAUAGGCAUCACGUCCGACACAAGUAGACCGACUCCUGCCUGCAUCUACUACUAUUACUCCACACAUCGACCGCUAUCCAGCAUGCAUCUAGAGUAUUAAGUUCAUAAGAACAGAGUAACGCUUUAAGCAAGAUGACAUGAUGUAGAGGGAUAACUCAUGCAAUAUGAUAUAAACCCCAUCUUGUUAUCCUCAAUGGCAACAAUACAAUACGUGCCUUGCUGCCCCUACUGUCACUGGGAAAGGACACCGCAAGAUUGAACCCAAAGCUAAGCACUUCUCCCAUUGCAAGAAAGAUCAAUCUAGUAGGCCAAACCAAACUGAUAAUUCGAAGAGACUUGCAAAGAUAACCAAUCAUACAUAAAAGAAUUCAGAGAAGAUUCAAAUAUUGUUCAUAGCUAAACUUGAUCAUAAACCCACAAUUCAUCGGUCUCAACAAACACACCGCAAAAGAAGAUUACAUCGAAUAGAUCUCCACAAGAGAGGGGGAGAACAUUGCAUUGAGAUCCAAAAAGAGAGAAGAAGCCAUCUAGCUAAUAACUAUGGACCCGAAGGUCUGAGGUAAACUACUCACACAUCAUCGGAGAGGCUAUGGUGUUGAUGUAGAAGCCCUUCGUGAUCGAUGCCCCCUCCGGCGGAGCUUCGAAAAAGGCCCCAAGAUGGGAUCUCACGGGUAUAGAAGGUUGCGGUGGUGGAAUUAGGUUUUUGGCUCCGUCUCUGGUAGUUUGGGGGUACGUAUAGGAGGAAGAAGUACGUUGGUGGAGCAACGUGGGGCCCACGAGGGUGGAGGGCGCGCCCAGGGGGUAGGCGCGCCCCUACCUCAUGCCCUCCUAGUUGAUGUCUUGACGUAGGGUCCAAGUCCUCUGGAUCACGUUUGUUCCGAAAAUCACGUUCCCGAAAGUUUCAUUCUGUUUGGACUCCGUUUGAUAUUCUUUUUCUGCGAAACUCUGAAAUAGGCAAAAAACAGCAAUUCUGGGCUGGGCCUCCGGUUAAUACGUUAGUCCCAAAAAUAAUAUAAAAGUGUAUAAUAAAGACCAAUAAUGUCCAAAACAGAAUAUAAUAUAGCAUGGAACAAUGAAAAAUUAUAGAUACGUUGGAGACGUAUCAAUAACGGACCGAAUAAAGGCCUUCCCAUAAAGGCAAAUGUGGUUGCACUAGAAAAAACUCGAUUCAGUGGCACCAUGACCCGGUCAAGGAUAUAUUCAAGUUGAGUUAUUAGCAGGUUCAACUUAACGGGAAAGUAACCGGUGUCAUAACAUGCCAUGCAAGUGCAACACAAAUAUAUGCAUCAUAUAACAUCGGAAAUAACUGGGUCAACUAAAUCCACACUAAGCAUAAACAUCACAAUUCAUAACACUUCUCUGGUUAUGAUUAAUCAUCACUUUAAACAAAAUCUUUACUUAGCAAAUUUAUCAUUUUUGUCCUCCAAGAAAAAUAACUCAAAAUAAUUACUCAUAUCCAUAACAAAUAUUACUUCUUCAUAACAAAUAUUUCUUCUAGUUAUUUAACCAACUUAGUUAGCUUCAAACUUUCUGUAAACUAAGCAUAUCAACUUAAACAAGCAACCAAUCAGAAUAUAAAUAAUAUACUAGUGAUUUAAAUGCAUGGAUUAAAUCAUUAAUUCAAGUUGAAAAUCACAAAUAUUGCAAUGGCACCAUGAAAAUGUUGGUGUGGCUUGCCUUAGUGCAGAUGAGGUUCACAAUCCUCCUGGUGAUCCUCAAGACAAGCUUCUCUUUUUUAAAAUAUUUAUAAACACAAAAAGAAAACAUCAAGAACCCUUCUGAAAUUCACAAGAAAAUCUAGACAGCAGGGAAAAAUCUCAUUUUUGGUGAGCUGCUAGAUUUAUUCACAAAGAACACAAUGCAAAAAGAAUCAAUUCAUUUGGACUUAUGGUUAAAAAGGUUUGGCUGUUUGAAGCUCUCUGGACAGAAUUAUAUUUGAAUUUAAAUAAACAGAACUGAGGGGGGGGGGGUGACGUCGAAGGCGUAAACCUCGCGGGCGCCACCACUCGUACCGCUUCACGCGCGUAUAGAGUGGCUGUCUAGCGGGCCCUGCUAGUCAGGUGAGAGGAAGGGGGAAAGGGAAACAGAGGACGGCGCGGCUUCGCCGGAGCACACGCCGGCGAGGAGAGCUUCUUGGCCAGAACGAUAGGGAGGGAUCGAAAGAGAAGAUGGAGGCGCACCUGCCCGUACCCGUAGGUUAGCUAGGGGUGGUCGGACGGUGUUGGAAUCAGCCUCUCUAGCGGAGACAGGAAGCAGAGGUCAGCGAAGAUGAAGACGACGAUGACCAGAGGCGACACCAGUGGCUCCAACCGGGCGGAACGGCACCACCGAGGCACGGCGGAGGCCCUGGAAGGGUGGUCCGGGCCUGGGAGGGGCUGGAGCCGCGGAGAAGACCCGAGGGGAUCGCCGGCGAGCUCGAGUUCGGGGACGGCGGCCCGCGGCCUGCCCGGUCGGGCUACGGCUUUCUACGAGAUUGUGGAGUGUGUGGGAGGAGUGGAUGAUGCUCGAGGAGGCUGGGGAGGGCUCUAUUUAUAGCCGAGCGUCGAGAGGGGAUCGGGCUUUGGAGCACAUUGAGCUAGCUAGGUUUUUAGAGAGGGAAAUGAAUAUUUUUCAUUUAAGAAAAAUAUUCAAACUAUUAUUUUGAGGUGAACCGGAGAGAAAAUGAUAGUUAGAAAGGGAAAUCAGACACUUGGGUGAAAUUCAAGGGGUACCCAAGUGUUUAAGUCCAUCUGAAAAGAUUCAAAAUUUCAAAUUUCAAAACCAAACCAACUGAAAAUCAGGCAAAGAGAAGAGGGCAAAAACCAGAUUGUCACAGUGGUCGGGCAUUGAGUCUGACUCAACUUCACACCUUGUGACACAGGCAAGAACCCUUUCUUUGACUGAUCCAUUUUGAACUUCUUCAAAACUUUAUCAAGGUAUGUGCUUUGUGAAAGUCCAGUUAAGCGUCUUGAUCUAUCUCUAUAGAUCUUGAUGCCCAAUAUAUAAGCAGCUUCAGCGAGGUCUUUCAUUGAAAAAUUCUUAUUCAAGUAUCCUUUUAUGCUAUUCAGAAAUUCAAUGUCAUUUCCGAUUAACAAUAUGUCAUCCACAUAUAAUAUAAAAAAUGCUACAAAGCUCCCACUCACUUUCUUGUAAAUACAAGCUUCUCCAAAAGUCUGUAUAAAACCAUAUGCUUUGAUCACACUAUCAAAGGGUAUAUUCCAACUCGGAGAUGCUUGCACCAGUCCAUAAAUGGAUCGCUGGAGCUUGCACACUUUGUUAGAACCUUUAGGAUCGACAAAACCUUCUGGUUGCAUCAUAUACAACUCUUGUUUGAGAUAUCCAUUAAGGAAUGCAGUUUUGACAUCCAUUUGCCAAAUUUCAUAAUCAUAAAAUGCGGCAAUUGCUAACAUGAUUCGGACAGACUUAAGCAUCACUACGGGUGAGAAAGUCUCAUCGUAGUCAACUCGUUGAACUUGUCGAAAACCUUUCGCGACAAGUCGAGCUUUGUAGACAGUAACAUUACCGUCAGCGCCAGUCUUCUUCUUGAAGAUCCAUUUAUUCUCUAUGGCUUACCGAUCAUCGGGCAAGUCAACCAAAGUCCACACUUUGUUCUCAUACAUGGAUCCCAUCUCAUAUUUCAUGGCCUCAAGCCAUUUCACAGAAUCUGGGCUCAUCAUCGCUUCCUUAUAGUUCGUAGGUUCGUCAUGGUCAAGUAACAUGACGGCCAGAACAGGAUUACCGUACCACUCUGGUGCGGAUCUUACUUUGGUUGACCCACGAGGUUCAGUAGUAACUUGAUCGGAAGUUUCAUGAUCAUCAUCAUUAACUUCCUCACUAAUUGGUGUAGGAAUCACUGGAACUAAUUUAUGUGAUGUGCUACUUUCCAACUCGGGAGAAGGUACAAUUAACUCAUCAAGUUCUACUUUCUUCCCACUCACUUCUUUCGAGAGAAACUCCUUCUCUAGAAAGGAUCAAUUCUUAGCAACGAAUGUCUUGCCUUCGGAUCUGUGAUAGAAGAUGUACCCAACAGUCUCCUUUGGGUAUCCUAUGAAGACACAUUUCUAUGAUUUGGGUUUGAGCUUAUCAGGUUGAAGCUUUUUCACAUAAGCAUCACAGCCCCAAACUUUAAGAAACGACAACUUGGGUUUCUUGCCAAACCACAGUUCAUAUGGUGUUGUCUCAACGGAUUUAGAUGGUGCCCUAUUUAACGUGAAUGCAGCCGUCUCUAAAGCAUAACCCCAAAACGAUAGCGGUAAAUCAGUAAGAGACAUCAUAGAUCGCACCAUAUCUAAUAAAGUGCGGUUACGAUGUUCGGACACACCAUUACACUGUGGUGUUCCAAGUGGCGUGAGUUGCGAAACUAUUCCGCAUUGUUUAAAAUGAAGACCAAACUCAUAACUCAAAUAUUCACCUCCACGAUCAGAUCGUAGAAACUUUAUUUUCUUGUUACGAUGAUUUUCCACUUCACUAUGAAAUUCUUUGAACUUUUCAAAUGUUUCAGACUUAUGUUUCAUCAAGUAGAUAUACCCAUAUCUGCUCAAAUCAUCUAUGAAGGUCAGAAAAUAACGAUACCCGCCGCGAGCCUCAACACUCAUCGGACCGCAUACAUCAGUAUGUAUUAUUUCCAACAAGUCUGUUGCUCGCUCCAUUGUUCCGGAGAACGGAGUCUUAGUCAUCUUGCCCAUGAGGCAUGGUUCGCAAGCAUCAAGUGAUUCAUAAUUAAGUGAUUCCAAAAGUCCAUUAGCAUGGAGUUUCUUCAUGCGCUGUACACCAAUAUGACCUAAACGACAGUGGCACAAAUAAGUUGCACUAUCAUUAUUAACCUUGCAUAUUUUGGCUUCAAUAUUAUGAAUACGUGUAUCACUACAAUCAAGAUUCAACAAAAAUAGACCACUCAUCAAGGGUGCAUGACCAUAAAAGAUAUUACUCAUAUAAAUAGAACAACCAUUAUUCUAUGAUUUAAAUGAAUAACCGUCUCGCAUCAAACAAGAUCCAGAUAUAAUGUUCAUGCUUAACGCUGGCACCAAAUAACAAUUAUUCAGGUCUAAAACUAAUCCCGAAGGUAGAUGUAGAGGUAGAUUGCCAACGGCGAACGCAUCGACUUUGGAACCAUUUCCCACGCGCAUCGUCACCUCGUCCUUAGCCAAUCUUCGCUUAAUCCGUAGCCCAUGUUUCGAGUUGCAAAUAUGAGCAACAGAAACAGUAUCAAAUACCCAGGCGCUACUACGAGCAUUAGUAAGGUACACAUCAAUAACAUGUAUAUCAAAUAUACCUUUCACUUUGCCAUCCUUAUUAUCCGCCAAAUACUUGAGGCAGUUCCGCUUCCAGUGACCAGUCCCUUUGCAGUAGAAGCACUCAGUCUCAGGCUUAGGUCCAGACUUGGGUUUCUUCACUUGAGUAGCAACUUGCUUGUCGUUCUUCUUGAAUUUCCCCUUCUUCCCUUUGCCCCUAUUCUUGAAACUAGUGGUCUUGUUAACCAUCAACACUUGAUGCUCCUUCUUGAUUUCUACCUCCGCAGGCUUUAGCAUCACGAAGAGCUCGGGAAUUGUCUUAUCCAUCCCUUGUAUAUUAUAGUUCAUCACGAAACUUUUGUAGCUUGAGGGCAAUGAUUGAAGAACUCUGUCAAUGACACUAUCAUCAGGAAGAUUAACUCCCAAUUGAGUCAAGUGGUUGUGGUACCCAGACAUUCUGAUAUAUGUUCACUGACAGAACUAUUCUCCUCCAUCUUGUAGCUGUAGAACUUAUUGGAGACUUCAUAUCUCUCAAUUCAGGCAUUCGCUUGAAAUAUUAACUUCAACUCCUGGAACAUCUCAUAUGCUCCAUGACGUUCAAAACGCCGUUGAAGUCAGACAUUCUAAGCCGCAAAGCAUGGCACACUGAACUAAGCCGUAAAGCAUGGCACACAUAACGUCCGGAGUUGCUCCUGCAGCAGGUCUUGCACCUAGCGGUGCUUCUAGGACGUAAUUCUUCUGUGCAGCAAUGAGGAUAGUCCUCAAGUUACGGACCCAGUCCGUGUAAUUGCUACCAUCAUCUUUCAACUUAGCUUUCUCUAGGAAUGCAUUAAAAUUCAAAGGAACGGUAGCACGGGCCAUUGAUCUACAACAACAUGGACAUGCAAAAUACUAUCAAGUACUAUUUUGAUGAUAAAUUAAAGUUUAAUUAAUCAUAUUACUUAAGAACUCCCACUUAGAUAGACAUCUCUCUAGUCAUCUAAAUGAUCACGUGAUCCAUAUCAACUAAACCAUGUCCGAUCAUCACGUGAGAUGGAGUAGCUUUCAAUGGUAAACAUCACUAUGUUGAUUCAUAUCUACUAUAUGAUUCACGCUCGAUCUUUCAGUCUCAGUGUUCCGAGGCCAUAUCUGCAUAUGCUAGGCUCGUCAAGUUUAACCCGAGUAUUUUGCGUGUGCAAAACUGGCUUGCACCCGUUGUAUGUGAACGUGGAGAUUAUCACACCCGAGCAUCACGUGGUGUCUCGGCACGACGAACUGUAGCAACGGUGCAUACUCAGGGAGAACACUUGUACCUUGAAAUUUAGUGAGAGAUCAUCUUAUAAUGCUACCGCCGUACUAAGCAAAAUAAGAUGCAUAAAAGAUAAACAUCACAUGCAAUCAAAAUAAUUGAUAUGAUAUGGCCAUCAUCAUCUUGUGCCUUUGAUCUCCAUCUCCAAAGCACCGUCAUGAUCACCAUCGUCACCGGCUUGACAUCUUGAUCUCCAUCGUAGCAUCGUUGUCGUUUUGCCAACUAUUGCUUCUACGACUAUUGCUACCUCUUAGUGAUAAAGUAAAGCAAUUACAUGGCGAUUGCAUUUCAUACAAUAAAGCGACAACCAUAAGGCUCCUGCCAGUUGCCGAUAACUUUUACAAAACAUGAUCAUCUCAUACAAAAAUUUAUAUAUCAUCACGUCUUGACCAUAUCACAUCAAAGCAAGCCCUGCAAAAACAAGUUAUACGUCCUCUACUUUGUUGUUGCAAGUUUUACGUGGCUACUACGGGCUUCUAGCAAGAACCGUUCUUACCUACGCAUCAAAACCACAACGAUUUUUUGUCAAGUGUGCUGUUUUAACCUUCAACAAGGACUGGGCGUAGUCAAACUCGGUUCAACUAAAGUUGGAGAAACAGACACCCGCUAGCCACCUGUGUGCGAAGCACGUCGGUAGAACCAGUCUCAUGAACGCGGUCAUGUAAUGUCGGUCCGGGCCGCUUCAUCCAACAAUACCGCCGAAUCAAAGUAAGACAUUGCUGGUAAGCAGUAUGAGUAUUAUCGCCCACAACUCAUUGUGUUCUACUCGUGCAUAUAACAUCUACGCAUAGACCUGGCUUAGAUGCCACUGUUGGGGAACGUAGUAUUUCAAAAAAUUACUACGAUCAAGCAAGAUCUAUCUAGGAGAAGCAUAGCAACGAGCGGGGAUGUGUCCACGUACCCUUGUAGACCGAAAGCGGAAGCGUUUAGUAACGCGGUUGAUGUAGUCGAAUGUCUUUGCGAUCCAACCGAUCCAAGUACCGAACGUAUGGCACCUCCACGUUCAGCACAUGUUCAGCUCGAUGACGUCCCUCGAUCUCUUGAUCCAGCUGAGGACGAGGGAGAGUUCCGUUAGCACGACGGCGUGGCGACAGUGAUGAUGAAGUUACCGACGCAGGGCUUCGCCUAAGCACCACGACGAUAUGACCGAGGUGUGUAACUGUGGAGGGGGGCACCGCACGCGGAUAAGAGAAGACUUGGUGUGCCUUUGGGGUGCCCCCUCCCACGUAUAUAAAGGAGGGGAGGAGGAGGAGGCCGGCCAAGGGGGGUGACGGUGUCCUGGACUAGGGGGUACUCACCACGUCGUCUCCCGAUCAGUUGGAUUAGGCCGGGGACCCCCAUGGUCGUUUUCUCAUGGGCCAGUUCGGACAGCCGAUGUAUACACGAGGAAGAUUCCACAAGACUUGGUGAUCAAGACAAGGACUCCUCUCCACCGGCGUAUUCGACUAGGACUCUUGUUAUCCUAGGCCUCUGGUACAUUAUAUAAGCCGAGGCCAGGCUAGUCGAUAGAUGAUCAUGACAUUACUCAUCAUACCUCUAGGGUUUAGACCACAACAUAUGAUCUCGAGGUAGAUCAACUCUGUAAUCAUACGCAUUGAAUACAAUCAAAAGCAGCAUGUAGGGUAUUAUCUCUUCGAGAGAGCCCGAAGCCAGGUAAAAUCCCGUGUCCAUGUUACCAUUGAUCCUAAGACACGCAGCUUGGGACCCCCUACCCGAGAUCUGCCGGUUUUGACACCGACAAUGGUGCUUUGAUUGAGAGUUCCGCUGUGUGGUCGGCAAAAGGAUAAAUGGCUCGCUUGUAGAUCAACUGCGACGUCGGUGUCUUCGUCGCUGCCUCGACUGGUCACCUUGGCUUGACCAAGGACUGUGCCCUACCUCCAAUCAUCAUGUUCGGACGAGGGCCUUCAUCAACAUCAACUCCGAUCUCUAUCAAGAUUAUGGAGGAAUCAUCCAUGGAGCUUGGGGGCUCAACGUCAACAUUGCCCUCGGGCGACCGUGCUGUUUUCCGAACAACAAACUUGUAUCCGCUACCACCACCUCCUCGAGCAUCGCUUUGACGAUUCCUUUGGUGGAAUUGUGCGGAAUUGAGUCUACAACAACACUGUAAAAUUUUGUCGCGUUCCGAUGGAGCAAUCUCCGCCGGUCUCCGAUAUACCAGAGCUCCGUCGAAUCUGGACGAGUUUGGAGCAUGGUGUCCCGUACCUAGCUCGGACGUCCUUUGGAAGAUCCAACCGUUGAUCGGCUGCAGAAUUCCUAUAUCUACCACCCCUCAAAAUUUCAGCUUGAUCCGACUGUCCAAACUUCGAGAACCUUUCGAUUAAUGCAUCACUUUUCAGAUCUGUUUUCUGCGUGAGAACGAAUCCGACCCGAGUUCAUCUUUUUUAUGAACGGGGUUUCGGACAUCCUUUUUGAAGGAAGUUUUGUAUGGGGUAUUGUGUUUUGUUCCCAAACACAUCCCAUUAAUUUUAAAGUCUUUUCCAAUAUGAUCUUCACCAUCGCGCCGGUGUCAAACCAGCCCGACAAUGUUGCUCCACUGCUGCCGACCUGCGCUAGACACGUCGUCGCUUUGAUGACCCGAGCUCAACUUCUUCGGAUCAUCAUCUCGGCAAGCCGAACAAGAGUUCGGCAUCGCGAAGGAUAAAUCAUCACCAACCUCGCCGCCCCACGGAUUAGACGGAGCGGGCACAUCAGCAUCGCCGCACGGUCACUUCAUCAAGCCGGCAUUGACCACGUCACAAGUUAUGACCUGCAUCGGCCUGGCCGCACCGUUGCUUCUUCGACCUGAUGUCCAUCACGCUGAACUACUUCAACACCUCGGCUGACAUGGCGGCUGCAACGCCUCCUUACCGACCUGCUCCGUCACCUCGUCUGGACCAGGGGCUUCGCCAUCCCUUCAUCAACCUACUCUGGAGACUUCGGCGUCGUCAGCCGACCAGCUUCGUCAUGUUAGCUGGACCGGGGGCUUUGCCUCGGCGAGCCAACCUUUACCAGCAUCGCCAUGCCGUCGCUUCACCGCCCAUCACGCAAUGGAUGUGCGGAUCGAGUCCCAAUUUUGGGAGUCACUUUUCUUCGGACUGCUACAACAAAUAAACCAGGUGUUAUUAAUCCUAGCAAUUUUUGCUUGUUUGGGUUUAUUUUUCCCAAGGAAUUAUUACUCUGGUUUGUUCCAUCAUCUGUACACAGGUCUAUCAAAUGGCGACCGCAUUAACGACGGUCGCGUGGUGGUUCAGUCAGUUUCCGUACAUAGUUCGACGAACACCGCAUCCGGAACUCGGACCGACCUGUGAAUUCAGGCUUUGCCACGCCUUUACUGCAUCAUGCCGACGCCCUGCAUCGACAUUGACUUCGGCGCCAGGCCACAUAUUUUUAAAUAAAUUAUCUUGCGUAAAUUAAUUACGCGAGGAUUUUUAUAUAUUUAUAUUAUUAUUGUUGGCCUGCACUAUUUUACAUGUGCCGGUAAUGGACUUUGACUGCGUCACGUAGUCUCUUCAGCAAGCCGACACCGUCGUCCCAAUCAGCGUAAAUCGGCUCGCGUGAUUACCUUGUUGGUCGUGUUGCCAUACCGACGUGUUCGGUUGCCUCGGGGACUUCAGCAUCGCCGAGAGAGCUCUACCUCAUCAAGCGUUCGGCGCACAGGCCAUAUUUCUUUUAUUACUCAUUUUCCAUAAAUUAUUUAUUAUGCAACAAUUUUUUAAUUUAUUAUUAUUAUUACUAUUAUCUCCGGUUUGCACUAUUUUUUGUGCACAGGUAAAUGAUUUGGGUCAGGCAGUGUUGUCACCUCAGCGUACUGACAUACCACGUCACCUUGACUGGACGGGAGGCUUCGUCAACACUUCAUUAACCCACGCCGGGGACUUUGGCGUCACUCUGCUGGCCUGCAUUGGCCGUGCUAUGUCACCACUUCAGAGUGCCGAGCUCUUCGCUCCGCCACCUCGGGACCGGCUUGGGGGAUGGAACCUUGUCCCACAUCAAGCUCGGACUGCGUCAUCAAUGCCGAACACAUUAACCAGCUAAGUCGCUUUCAUGCUCAAAGUUUUAAAUUUUUAACUUGUAUUCGGUUCAACCAUGCUCACAUACGUUGUUCGUUAAAAGAAACUCCCCUUACCCAUGUUAACUGGGGGCUUUUAAAAUUUACACGAGCCGUUCUAUAAGUUUCUUCUUGGUCGUUGCAAUGCAUUUUUCUAGCGCUCCUUUUUUGACUCGAGUGUAUGGUCAAUAGCCGGAUAGCCUAGCUUCUCUCUAAAGCCUCUCGAGUUUAGUUCGCUAAACUGGCCUCAGAGAAGCACUCCGCCUUCGGGAUAAGGAGCUUGAAGCCAUAGGCUGACCCGCUUGAAGUCUUGAGAUCAGAUGUGUCAUGUUAAAGCAUGACAGAAGCACCAUUUUUUUAAAAGACCAAUUUCUGGAUUGGCACCAAAAUCUCAGUUUAGUCCGGACGUCAAGCUUUUACAUAAGUUUUUGGCUUUUCGAGCCUAUGGCACUUUUAAACUAUUGGUGUGUUUGCAGCAUAAGUCUCGUAGUGCAACGCCUGACACCUUUAGAGAUUCUGCAAAAAUAUUCUCGGAUAUUGCUAUAUAUGCAUCAGUUUCGAAUUGUGUCUUUGGUCAAUAGUUGGGUUGCCCGGCUCCUAUGCUCUUUGUUCGGCUAGGUGUGCAAAGGGAGAACCACUGCGAUUGUGCUUCUAGCUCGCAUGGUUAAGCACCUCAGUGGAGAAAGCCGAAAACCGGCUGUCACAAUAAGCGUAAUCUAGUCAGCGAUCCGAUGACUAUGUUAAAUGACGGGCCGUUCAUAACAUUGGCCGAAGUGUUUACGGCUUGACCUCGGCUGUCGCCGAACACUAACCAGGGGCUAGUAGCUGGCCUCCCAACUUUAAGCUUCUAUGACUAAGUGAAAGUUAUAAAGCCCACAUAUCUGAUUACCUCAUUUCCGCUAACACAACCGCCUUCGGGCACUGAGACGUCGGCUAAGGGUUGUUUGUUAUUGCAGAAAUACUCUGCGUAGCAUCUACAAGGGGGUGGAAGCCGACGAUGGGACAAUUUCAACUGAUAAACGGUUGCAACAGAGUCAAAAUAAACAUAUCAUCGACAUUUUUAUUUAAUAUACAAGGGCCGCCUUUCAUAAUCAUUGUUAUAAAGCCAUAAAUAUGCAUCAAUUUCACUUAAGAUUUCGGCCAAGCUGGGUUGCCUGGCUCCUGUGAUUACCCCUAUGUUCCCGAUUGUUCGGCUAGGAGGUAAAGGGAGCACCUCUGUGAUUGUUACUUCUGGGUCAUCCGUGUUAGUACCUCAGACUGGGAGAAGCCGAAAGCUAGCCAUCUUAAAGAAUAUAAUUGGUCAGCAACGAGGAAGUGAAAAUUUUGGUCCAUUAAAAGCCACAGAGAUCGGGAACUUACCCCAAACUAAAUCCUCAAUAUUUUCCCCUGCAUCGAUCGGAGUUGAGGUUUCAUGAUCAUGGUCGGCAUGACAACCCAAAGAAAGGAACCAACAACGGGAUUAUUUUCUUUGGGAGAUGUUUCUUACAUCAAAUAUUAAUAUAACAUUCUCUCUGCAUACCUUUGUUUAUAAAACCAUAUGGCCGGAUUGCCUUGUUUCUCGUAAACCUUUGCCCUUGUAAAGGCUUUAUAAAGUAGGACAAACACUCCCCGGCCACUAGCCGAGGAGGUUGAAGCCGAUGGUCGGUCAACAAGGUGUUGUACAAUGCGGAUCUGAGCAUUUAUGAUGUAAAGUACUUGGAUACAUAGAAUCAUUACACAUAAAAAUUGCGAGUAAAAUCCAUUUACUGCAACUCUUUUAAACCCCUUGGGGUCUACCUUGGCGAGCUCGGAUUUCGACCAGCUCUAAGCUCCUUUAAGAGAUCUUUAUUCUCUUUCCGAGAAGUUUGUGUUAAACACAACAAAAUUUUCUGUCAAACGGAUAUCGAUCCUUAAUUCGGCCACCCGUGCCCACAUUAAGGCUCGGGGGCUACUGGGCUUGGCGCUCAUUAUUUAUAAAUAUUAAAGGGGCACAUCGAUCCCCUGAUCUGGUGUUGCCACCCGGCCAGCGUCUCGGGGGCUACUGCACUGCUUAUUCAAUGCAGAGAAUUCAAAGUGCUCAGUGUUCGGCAUGACCGAACUAUGGGCAAGCGCGUCUUCGGACAACAGUAAGUACCAUCUGGGACUUAUCCAACAUCAAGCUAAUAUAUCACGGCGACUUCUCACAACCCUCUCUCAGGGGCCUGUCUGCCGAUCAUUAUUUCUAAUAUAUUACACUGCAUUUCUAUUCCUACGUAUGCUGCCGAGCUAGGAGUUGAUCCUCAGGCCGAUUUUGCAAAUUGACCUGAGUCUCAGGGGCUACUAGGAUCAGCAGUUUUAUGUUUUCCUUCAGGUGCAUCUCGGGUUUUAGACCGAGGCACACCUUGAGGGCUACUGAUAUACAUAUACUGGCUAUAUAUCUCCAUAGAGAAUAAAUUGCACCAAUAAAAAUAUUCACAAAAAAAUCAGCCCGCCGUCGGGGUGGUGCACCACCUCGGAAGCAGCCUGGCAUAAAGCUCGGGCGCUAGUGACUGGCUCCAUAGAGGGCAUUCCCGGCAUUAAGCUCGGCUGAAUUCGUUCAAUCUUUUAAAAGACCGAGGUAGUUUACGACACCUCGGACGCUGACCGUCGUUGGAGCUCGGAAGUGGUCCAGCAUAAAGCUCGGAUUCGAAUGUCUCGUUCCAUAGAGAACUUUUCAGCGUUAAACUCGGAUAACCUCCUUCAAACUUUUUCAAGCCAAGGUGAUCUAUGACACCUCGGAUAUAGUCCGGCAUUGGAGCUCAGAUAUAAUCCGGCGUUGGUGCUCGGCUGCAAAAGAUAUUUCGAAUGCAGUCCGGUGUUGGAGCUCAGGUGCAAGAGGACACCGCCGCACGGGAACAACUUCAAACCCGAGGUGUGGCAUAAAAAAUAAUAACAAGACAUUAAUAAAGGCCAGAACUUAAAGGGGCUCCUCGGAUACCCGACAUGUAAACUCUUCGGAUUCACUUUGGCGAUGCUCAAGAUCGAAGAUGAGAUGAUUUAUUGAACCAGUUUUCAAGACCGACGACCGAAGAUGAAGAACAAUUCGGAAGAAUCGAGGAGCGUCCCCAACUUGAAGACCGAUUCAGGGGCCUACUGACGGUGUCCUGGACUAGGGGGUACUCACCACGUCGUCUCCCGAUCAGUUGGAUUGGGCCGAGGACCCCCAUGGCCAUUUGCUCAUGGGCCAGUUGGGACAGCCGAUGUAUACACGAGGAAGAUUCCACAAGACUUGGUGAUCAAGACAAGGACUCCUCUCCACCGGCGUAUUCGACUAGGACUCUUGUUAUCCUAGGCCUCUGGUACAUUAUAUAAGCCGAGGCCAGGCUAGUCGAUAGAUGAUCAUGACAUUACUCAUCAUACCUCUAGGGUUUAGACCACAACAUAUGAUCUCGAGGUAGAUCAACUCUGUAAUCAUACGCAUCGAAUACAAUCAAAAGCAGCAUGUAGGGUAUUAUCUCUUCGAGAGAGCCCGAAGCUGGGUAAAAUCCCGUGUCCAUGUUACCAUUGAUCCUAAGACACGCAGCUUGGGACCCCCUACCCGAGAUCUGCCGGUUUUGAAACCGACAGGGGGCACGUGCCAUGGGGAGUCCAACUAGGAUUCCCAAUCCUAGUUGGAGUCCCCUUCCUUCCAAGAGAGGGAGAGAGAGGGAAGGAGGAAGAGGGGAGAAGGAAAGAGGGGGCGCCGCCCCUCCCUAGUCCAAUCGGACUAGCCACGGGGGGCGUGCGGCCUCCCUUGUGGCCCUCCUCUCCUUUCCACUAAGGCCCAUGAAGUCCCAUGAACUUCCGAGGGGGGGGGGGGUUCCGGUAACCCCCGGUACUCCGUAACUCAUCCGAAACAACCCGAACCAUUCCGGUGUCCGAAUGUAACUUUCCAAUAUAUGAAUCUUUACCUCUUGACCAUUUUGAGACUCCUCGUCAUGUCCGUGAUCUCAUCCGGGACUCCGAACAAACUUUGGUCAUCAAAUCACAUAACUCAUAAUACAAAUCGUCAUCGAACGUUAAGUGUGCGGACCCUAUGGGUUCGAGAACUAUGUAGACAUGACCGAGACACAUCUCCGGUCAGUAACCAACAGCGGAACCUGGAUGCUCAUAUUGGCUCCUACAUAUUCUACGAAGUUCUUUAUCGGUCAAACCGAAUAACAACAUACGUUGUUCCCUUUGUCAUCGAUAUGUUACUUGCCCGAGAUUCGAUCGUCGGUAUCAUCAUGCCUAGUUCAAUCUCGUUACCGGCAAGUAUCUUUACUCGUUUCAUAAUGCAUCAUCCCACAACUAACUCAUUAGUCACAUUGCUUACAAGGCUCAUAGUGAUGUGCAUUACCGAGAGGGCCCAAAGAUACCUCUCCGAUACACGGAGUGACAAAUCCUAAUCUCGAUCUAUGCCAACUCAACAAACACCAUCGGAGACACCUGUAGAGCAUUUUUAUAAUCACCCAGUUAUGUUGUGACGUUUGAUAGCACACAAAGUGUUCCUCCGGUAUUCGAGAGUUGCAUAAUCUCAUAGUCAGAGGAACAUGUAUAAGUCAUGAAGAAAGCAAUAGCAAUAAAACUAAACGAUCAUUAUGCUAAGCUAACAGAUGGGUCUUGUCCAUCACAUCAUUCUCUAAUGAUGUGAUCCCGUUCAUCAAAUGACAACACAUGUCCAUGGCUAGGAAACUUAACCAUCUUUGAUUAACGAGCUAGUCAAGUAGAGGCAUACUAGGGACACUCUGUCUGUCUAUGUAUUCACACAUGUACUAUGUUUCCGGUUAAUACAAUCCUUGCAUGAAUAAUAAACAUUUAUCAUGAUAUAAGGAAAUAUAAAUAACAACUUUAUUAUUGUCUCUAGGGCAUAUUUCCUUCAAGCAGUUCAUCCUCGGCGCUGAGGGUAUGUACUAGUUGCUAUGUGUUCAAUAUCUCUCUCCCAUGUUCUUAAAAGUUUCCGAUCUUGAUUGUAUAAUUGGCUUGUUAAUAAAGUUGGAUCUUAUGAUGUUUCCCCGUCUAUUCUUUUUGUGGUGGAUGUCUUGAACUUUGAAAAUUCUUUAUGUUGGAUUGAAUAAUUUGGAUUUGAGAUUAUCUGAUGAAUGUCUAGUAUAACAUGCGGAUACCCGUGGUGACACUGGGGUAUUAUAUGCAUAAAAGGUUGAACGAUAGUAUAAUAUGGUUGCGUAGUACAAUUUUUGGGACUAUUCGUGAGACAUUGGGAUGGUUCAAUAGAUUAAGAUUGGACGACGAUUUGCUAUUAAGCGCACCUUCUAAGAUGCCCAAUGCAUCUAGAUGGAGGGAGUAGUAGAAAUCAAGGGCGGAGUAAUAGGUGAAGGCGUGUUGCAUGUUGUGGAACUAGUGGAAUUGGAGAAACAAAAUUAAUAAGGCUAGCUAGUCAUAGUGGGAGUAAGUUAGGUAGUAACAGAGCGCACUACAAGAAAUUUUUGCUUAUGUGGCAUGUAGUUAAUAAGGAGAGAGGUGUUUAGAGUAACAUAUUAUGUUAAUGUAACAUAGCACUUCCCGAGAAAGAAUGAGUCUGCAAGCUAAUAAAUGAAGCCAUCUAGUAUAACACUACUACUAUGUUACUUUGCACUAUGGAAAUAGUAAUUUAGACUAGUGUCAUAUGCAUGACACUAGUAUAAGUUACUCCCCACUAUGACUAGCCUAAAGGGGAAGCUAGCCUCUUGAUAGAGAGUGUUGACAUGUAGGUGACUAGGUUGGUGACAAAAUCUCUGCAAUUGAGUACAAAAACCAGUAUGAGGAAAGAGAAAAACAUUUCUAUGCAUUGGAAACAACCGGAAGGUGACUUAAUCAAUAUCAACAUUGAUGUAGCAUAUCAUCCUGAGAAGUAGCAAUGAGCCUGGGGAUUUAUGGUCCGUGGUAGCGGUGGAUUCGUCAAGGGAUCAAGUGUAGGCUGUCUAUGACGUAUGACAAGCGUGACAUGGCGGAGGCGGUGCAUGCAACUGCUGGUUGGGGAAUGGUGAAUAUUCAGCUCGAAGCGGAUGGCCAGAAUUUUAUACAAGCUUUGCAAAGUGUUGACGCUUGAAAAUGGCAUGAUCGCAAAGAAUGGCUUGAGGAUAUAAUGAGAUGAUGUUAAAAUUAUGAGUUCAUGUCACCAUUUUAUGGCUCUCUUCAAGAUGAUCGAAAUAGAUAUAGAGAUGGUCCAAAACGGAGCUCGGAGGCAAAAGUUAUGAUAAUCUUAGAGAUGCUCGUAUUGGCAUGAGAUCAAAGAAUGGCAUGAAACCUAAUUAAGAUGGCCUCAGAUGAAAAAGUUACAACUAAAAAGUUCUUCGUCUCGUCGAAAUGGACGAUUUUAAUAUAAAAAUCGUCCCCAUCCGAGGUCGUAUGCGAGUUCUACGGCCAAAACUGUGCACCGCAACACUGCAUGUCCGGAUCAUCCGGACCGGGGGCCGAAAAUUUGACCCAAACAACAGAAGCUAAAAGUUGAAGCCGGAUGAUCUCGGUCGAGUCCCGGAUGAUCCGGGUAAAGGCCGGACAAUCCGGGCAAUCGUCCGGACAAGUUUUUCUGCUGCAUACUUUAGAAAACAGCCCGAAACACCCUCAAGAUGGCCUCAUAUCGAAAAGUGUUCAACACGAAAGUUGUGCGUCUCGUUGAGACGGUUGCUUUUGAUAUAAAAAUCAUCUUAAUCCGAGUUCGUAUGAAAAAGUUACAGCCCGAUUAGUGGACUGCUAUCAGAAAUCUGGGCUUGGCCGGAUCAUCCGGGCCUAGAGCCGGACAUCCGGGCCGGAGGUCGUGAGAAGUCCGAAUUUGGUUACAUUUUGAUGAUUUGGACGGAAAGGAAAGUCCUUUUCUUGUACGGAAAGUCCAUACGCCUCUUAUAUAGACAAGAGGUGACGGCCGACUGAACAACACACAAUCGAUCAAAUCUAUCUACAUCUUUUACCUUUACUUUUCCUUCUCCCUUGUUCUUCUUCUUCCUCAUUCUUCGUUCGUUCUUCUUCAUUGCAGGGCGGCGAACCUCGACGCCCUAGGGGCGAUCAGGUCGACCUAGGGCAGCCCAUAGCCGCCGUGCGCUCUAACGGGGUCCCUCCCGGGCAUGUGGGGUUUCGGGUGUACAAAAGCGCCCGCCGGAUUGUCUUGCGUACCGCGCUUCCGGUGGGUCUCCUUCGACGUGAACUGCGGUGUAUCACCCCCGGCGUUGAGGGUACACGGUGACAUGUUCGUGUGCGAACACACUUUUUGGCGACUCCGCUGGGGACGAAGCUUUGAACGGUCUCCGGCCCGUUCUUGCUACGAAGAGAUCAUCAUCUAGGGUUUGCAAUCUACAAAGGUAAUAUGAAUACCCAAUUCACAUAUGUAGAUGCAAAUAAUGCAUAUGUUGUUCCUAGAUCAUCUAAUGAGCAUAAUGUAUUGGCUAGCCCUGACUUUAUCAAUCAUGCAUCUAAUUAUGUGCAAGGGCCGAUGCAAAAAAAUCUCCAUGAUUCUACUUCAUAUAAUUUUAGCAACAUGCAACAUAUGUAUCCCAACUCCUAUGCAUCGGCAACCCCGCAAAUCCAUAUGCCGAUGAACAACAUGGUGAGUUCGAUUAAUAAAUUCGAAACACCUCAUGUUAGAAUUUCCAAUGCCAUGCAACAAAGUGUUUUACCCUUUUAUUCAUCGGCAACUAAUUUGCAAUAUGUGAAUCCAAACGUGCCGGUGGAUAGGGGAAUUGGCCAUGCUACUACUAGUUAUUCGGCCAAUUACCCUCAACCAUCAUAUGCUACACCUCAUGUUAGUAAUUUUUCAGCACCGUAUGCAACUGUAGAUGUUCAUAAUUCGGCCCCACAUCUUCAUGGUCAUAGCCAAAUAAGUGAAAAGUUUACAGGAACACAUGUGCCGUCAUCAAAUACUGUAGCAUAUAAUGCAUACUCUACGCAAUUCAAGAAUUUCGGCAACACUCACGAAUCAUUGCCGAAAGAAUCUGAAAGUAUUGCGGAGCAAUCCCUUCCAGAAGCGGUUGUGGUUGCAUUAAAAAAGAGCUUGGCACAAAACAAGAGAAUUAGUGCUCUUUGCCUUGAACAAUAUGAAAAGGGGUUGUUUCCUGAUUAUGCUGCAAUAAAGGCCAGAAUUUUGCAGGAAGAUGAAACUUCAUCAAUUGGUAGUAUUGGUGAGAGAGCAUAUGGUUGUACAGCAGUGCAUACACCUCCACCUAGUACUGCAGCAUAUUAUACACCCCCUACACAAUUGCAAAAUUUCAGCAACACUAACACUUCAUUGCCGAAAGAUCCUAAAAGCAUUGGGGGGCAAACUAAUCUAGAGCGGGCUGAAAUUGAGAGGGGAGUUAAAGCUUUGCGCGAUAGGGUGCAAGUACUUCGCCAAGAGAGAAUUGAUAGGGAAUUAGCUCAAAGAAAAGAAGCCUUGCCAAUUAAUAUAACCGGUGAAAAGAAUGAUGAUUCAGAAACUAAAAGUGCUUCGGUUGAAAAAGCCGAAUCAAGUAGUAUAUAUUUCGAAUCCAUCAAAUCCAAAGAGGCAAACAUUGUUGAGAAAGGGCAUGGAAAGUAUAGCAAGACAACCAUACUUGAUUUUUCUGAAGUUAAUGGAACCUACUUCCUGCCCUAUGAGUUUCGUGCCAUAGAAAUUGAUGAGCUUCAAGAACAAGAACAAGUAGCCGAAGAAAGUUUGGUGGACAAAUAUCUUCAAACUAAUGAUGCACGAAAUCAAGAAAAAGAUGAUGACAAGGCGUUGGGGAGCUAUCCGAAGGCGGAGCAAGAUAUUCUUCAGGUCACGCCACCAUCAUGCUCUCCCAAUAUAUUUGAAGAGGUAUGUCUAGCAAUUAAUUUACCCGUUUUCAGAUUUGGUCAUGACUUAGUUGUUGAUGCAUAUAUAAGAAAAAUCUUCAUAAGAAAUAUUGAGAGACCAAUGAAGAAUGGUAAAGUAUUUGUUAGCAAUCAGAUUGUCACAAAGCAUAUCGGUCAACACAUUGCACCAUUCAGAAAGACCGAUAGCGAAAAAUUAUUGCAGCCAAGGCCUUCCCCAUUUCUUUAUCUAAAGCUCAUAUCUAAUUGGGUAGCUUUGCUUAUUUAUUACUUGGCUUACACUUGGUCUCAAUUGAGACAUGUAUGUUCUAACUAUUUUCAUUUCAGAAAUUUAAAGCCAAGGUUAAAAUCUUUUGAGAAAACCGAUGCUAGUAUAGUUUCUUAUCCAAAGACAUCGGAGAUAGAGUGCAAAACACAAUGCAUAGCCGAAUUGGAUGAUGCAAAAUCUGAACCAUUCGUUUGCUUAACUCCAAAGACAUUCUCACAACAAGAUCGGCUAGAGAAUAAAAAGUUUACCUUCAAUUCAAACAUGUCUGAUCAAAUCUUUGAUUUGUUGUUGAGAAAUAAUUAUAUUAGAAUUCUUGAUCACCAUGUUGAGCCAUAUGUCCAGGGACGAAUGUAUUGUAAGUUGCAUGAUUCGUCCAAGCAUAAUUUUGAGGAUUGCAACAUGUUCCGUCAAAUAUUAAAUCGGCCAUUGAUAAAGGACGAUUGAAAUUUGUUGAGACACCAAGAGAUGAGCAGUCUAUUCCAAUUGGUCCCGAUGGUAAAAGGUUUUUGCAUCGGCUGAUUCAAGGUGAUCCAUUUAAAGAGAAGGUAAAAACUGCAGGUGAUGGGAUCAAGCUUUCAAGUAAAGAAGUUGUUAAAGAGCAUAAUGAACAUAAUCUUGAGGGCGAGAAUUCCAUCGAAGCUACAACGGGGACGCCAAGGACUGGGGGGAACAAGAUAAUCCAGAGAUCGGUGCAAGCACAACCAAAGAAAACAAAGGCCGACAUAAGCACAAAGGUAAAAAGCCGAAAUUCACUUUCGCGCAACUAUUGGAAAAAUAUCAGAAGAUAAGUGAGAAGAACAGUGCUUAUCGGCCAACUAAUCCAAAAGCAUCAAGAUCACCCCCUAGGCACAAAUCCAAGGAUCGAUAUUGGCAAGAAGAGAAUUUGAAUGCAACUUGUUCAUAUCCUUAUUUUGGGCCGCCAAUGCCAAUGUCGUGGAUGCCUCCCUAUGCUAAUGUAGAUCCAUAUCCAUCAUGGGACAGGUAGGAUACAAGGGAACACUCUCCAUCUUAUUUUAGAACAUCUCACCAAUAUUAUGCAGCUCCAAGAAAACAACAUUUGAACAAUCACAUGUUAAAGACCGUUUCAAUCAUAAGGAAUCGGUCCGGAGCUCAAGGAAGAAGAAAGAGGUAGUCAAACAAGUUUACCGCGUUAAAAGAGAUCGUCGUAAGAGUGCUACUUCAGAUUUGAUCUCAAAUGAAAAAGAGCCAAUGUAAGUGUUGACAUUGGCUACUAAAGGCAAUGAGAUGAAGCAACCAAUUAUUGAAAGUCAAAGUGCCAAAUUUGAAGAAAGGAAGUUGAGACUGCACAAGGCCAAAAAGGAAUUGCCAUUGGUCAAGACAGAACCAUAGCCGAGAUGCCCACUCGGCUUAUCGUAUUGGCAAAAGAAGAAAUUACAAAAUCUUAGCGCACAAGAGCUGAGACAGAAGAAUAUGGCAUGGGUUCCCAAGAAGACCAAUCAUAGCAAAAAUGAUUUGCAUGCUUCUAUUGCAACAAGUACAAUAAAAGUGAAGAAAGAGAAGGAUGGAAGCAACAAAUAAUUAAGCCGAAGGCGUGCAUCACAACAUCAGAAUCUUCGGUUAGCACAUCGUCCAUUUUCUUAAACCAUGCCAUUGAUGCCUUUGCCAUGGAAUUCAUCCCUAGGUAUGAUCAAUUACCCUCCAUGGAUUUUUUUGAUCCAUGGAUACAACAUAAUUUUCUAUAUCAUGAGAGGGUAUUACCAAAUUACUAUACAUUUGGUUAGUUACAUUGUUGCUAAUACAAAGGGGCCGAAAUAUUUUAUUCCUAUUUUAUUUGUUUAUUUCGGCUAUACAUAUUUUGGUGGGUGAAUUCUACAUGGACCUCAUGUUAAUGGCUGAUAUUUAUCUAUCGCCCUAAGAAUAUGUCAAAGCAUGGCCGGUGUAGUAUCCUAACAUCGUCCUUAGUUCAAUUGGAGACCAAAACAAGCCUCAUGCCGCUUAAAAUAUUUUUUUCACAAUAAUCAAAGCGAAAUAUAAAAUUUUAUUCGGUUUGGAGCUUUUGGUUUCCAUAGGUGCUAUAUAUAUUGAGACUUUGGGUGAUUCGUUAUGAGUAGUACAACAAAUAUCCAAGAGUUAUCAAUGUUUUAACGAAUCACUUAUAGUUUAUCUUGAGGUAUGCCUAGAUGCAAAAUUUACCUUGGGUUGCUUUAAAAUUGUUCAUAUUUCUAGGCAUGACAAUUCAAGAGAGUUGGCACAGCAAGCAUUCGGCUACUAUGUUAAUCAUGGUGUAUUGCAUUUCUAUCAAUAGCCGAUGCAUAGUCUCGUCACCAUAGGUAAGGCCGAACCGAAGUCCACCGCUUCAGCCACUAAUGAAUUUUUUAUGCAGGCGAAAGUAAGGAUUUGAGAAAGUUUAUUGUUGAUUAUCUGCAAAAUCCUAGCAAAAGGGUGGUUCGGAGAACGACCUUGAGAUACAUAUCUAUGGAACUUUAUCAUUGGAUUUCUUAAUGAUGUUGAGAAGGUUUGGCCCAAGUUUGCAUCAAGGAUUCAAAUAAAUAAUGACCGCUAUGUAUUUAUCGCCCUAAGCACAUGCAAAGUGGCCGAUGGAGUGUUGACAUCGUCCUUAGAACCAACACGGCGCAAGUUAUUUUUCGGCACACUAGCUUUGCAGAAAAACAGGGGGACAUGUGUUGACGCUAAAAGUUGAAGCCGGAUGAUCUGGGUCGAGUCCCGGAUGAUCCGGGUAAAGGCCGGACAAUCAGGGCAAUCGUCCAGACGUCCGGACAAGUUUUUCUGCUGCAUACUUUAUAGAAAAGCCCUAAACACCCCGAAGAUGGCCUCAUAUCGGAAAGUGUUCAACACGAAAGUUGUGCGUAAUAUCGCGACGGUUGAUUUUGAUAUAAAAAUCAUCUUAAUCCGAGUUCGUCUGAAAAAGUUACAGCCCGAUUAGUGGACUGCUAUCAGAAAUCUGGGCUUGGCCGGAUCAUCCGGGCCUAGAGCCGGACAUCCGGGCCGGAGAUCGUGAGAAGUCCGAAUUUGGUUACAUUUUGAUGAUUUGAACGGCAAGGCAAGUCAUUUUCUUGUACGGGAAGUCCAUCCGCCUCUUAUAUAGCCAAGAGGUGACGGCCGAUUGAACAACACACAAUCGAUCAAAUCUAUCUACAUCUUUUACCUUUACUUUUCUUUCUCCCUUGUUCUUCUUCUUCCUCGUUCUUCGUUUGUUCUUCUUCAUUGCAGGGUGGCAAACCUCGAGGCCCUAGGGGCGAUCAGGUCAAUCUAGGGCAGCCCAUAGCCGCCGCGCGCCCUGACGGGGUCCUUCCCGGGCGUGUGGGGUUUCGGGUGUACAAAAGCGCCCGCCGGAUUGUCUUGCGUACCGCGCUUCCGGUGGGUCUAAUUCGACAUGAGCUGCGGUGCAUCACCCCCGGCGUUGAGGGUACACGGUGACGUGUUCGUGUGCAAACACAAAGUGAUGAGUUUGAUCAUACCGAAAGGAGUCAUCUACAGAGAGACCAGCCUGUUUAUUUGCAUCAACUUUAAUUCUGUUAGUUUUUCUCAUUGUCCCCGUGAUUGUAAUAAGUUAGCACACGCUAUGGUGGUGGUUGGUGCACGUUUGCGUGAACCUACGCAGCUAUUUCAACGACAACUAAUAUGGAUCGGAGAGAGUUUUAAAAAGAAGUUGGUGUUUAUAAGUUCAUCGGGUUUUUUUGUUCGUCCAGCCCUUGGUGGAUGGCUAGGGCGACUGUUGCUGUGCAUGCUCUCUAGAAGCCAACUUGGGGGUCGCAUUCGCCCGUGUCUAGUUCAGCACACUUGGGCCGCGUAGUAAUCAGUGAAAAAAUUGGUGUGUUUGCAUGGAGUCGCACAAUGUCUUAAUCUUGAUAACCAAAUGGGCUAGCAAACUCUGGUAAACUGUUGGGGAACGUAGUAAUUUCAAAAAAAAUCUACGCACACGCACGAUCAUGGUGAUGCAUAGCAACGAGAGGGGAGAGUGUUGUCCACGUACCCUCAUAGACCGAAAGCGGAAGCGUUAGCACAACGUGGUUGAUGUAGUCGUAUGUCUUCACGAUCCGACCGAUCCAAGUACCGAACGUACGACACCUCCAAGUUCAGCACACGUUCAGCUCGAUGACGUCCCUCGAACUCCGAUCCAGCCGAGCUUUGAGGGAGAGUUCCGUCAGCACGACGGCGUGGUGACGAUGAUGAUGUUCUACCGACGCAGGGCUUCGCCUAAGCACCGCUACGAUAUUAUCGAGGUGGACUAUGGUGGAGGGGGGCACCGCACACGGCUAAGAGAUCAAGAGAUCAAUUGUUGUGUCUUUGGGAUGCCCCCUGCCCCCGUAUAUAAAGGAGCAAGGGGGGAGGCUCCUGGCCUAGGAGGAGGGCGCGCCAAGGGGGGAGUCCUACUCCCACCGGGAGUAGGACUCCUCCUUUCCUUGUUGGAGUAGGAGAAGGGAAGGGAGAAGGAGAAGGAAGGAAGGGGGCGCCCCCCUCCCUAGUCCAAUUCGGAAUAGUCCAUGGGGAGGGGUGCGCCCACCCUUUGGGGCCUUUCUCUCCUUUCCCGUAUGGCCCAUUAAGGCCCAAUACGAAUUCCCGUAACUCUCCGGUACUCCGAAAAAUACCCGAAUCACUCGGAACCUUUCCGAUGUCCGAAUAUAGUCGUCCAAUAUAUCGAUCUUUACGUCUCGACCAUUUCGAGACUCCUCGUCAUGUCCCUGAUCUCAUCCGGGACUCCGAACUCCUUCGGUACAUCAAAAAAAUAAACUCAUAAUAUAACCGUCAUCUAACUUUAAGCGUGCGGACCCUACGGGUUCGAGAAUUAUGUAGACAUUACCGAGACACGUCUCCGGUCAAUAACCAAUAGCGGAACCUGGAUGCUCAUAUUGGCUCCCACAUAUUCUACGAAGAUCUUUAUCGGUCAAACCGCAUAACAACAUACGUUGUUCCCUUUGUCAUCGGUAUGUUACUUGCCCGAGAUUCGAUCGUCGGUAUCUCAAUACCUAGUUCAAUCUCGUUACCGGCAAGUCUCUUUACUCAUUCUGUAAUACAUCAUCCCACAACUAACUCAUUAGUUGUUAUGCUUGCAAGGCUUUAAGUGAUGUGCAUUACCAAGUGGGCCCAGAGAUACCUCUCCGACAAUCGGAGUGACAAAUCCUAAUCUCGAAAUACGCCAACCCAACAAGUACCUUCGGAGACACCCGUAGAGCACCUUUAUAAUCACCCAGUUAUGUUGUGACAUUUGGUAGCACACAAAGUGUUCCUCCGGUAAACGGGAGUUGCAUAAUCUCAUAGUCAUAGGAACAUGUAUAAGUCAUGAAGAAAGCAAUAGCAUAAUACUAAACGAUCGUGUGCUAAGCUAACGGAAUGGGUCAAGUCAAUCACAUCAUUCUCCUAAUGAUGUGAUCCCGUUAAUCAAAUGAAAACUCAUGUCAAUGGCUAGGAAACAUAACCAUCUUUGAUCAACGAGCUAGUCAAGUAGAGGCAUACUAGUGACACUCUGUUUGUCUAUGUAUUCACACAUGUAUGAUGUUUCCGGUUAAUACAAUUCUAGCAUGAAUAAUAAACAUUUAUCAUGAUAUAAGGAAAUAAAUAAUAACUUUAUUAUUGCCUCUAGGGCAUAUUUCCUUCAGUCUCCCACUUGCACUAGAGUCAAUAAUCUAGAUUACACAGUAAUGAUUCUAACACCCAUGGAGCCUUGGUGCUGAUCAUGUUUUCCUCGUGGAAGAGGAUUAGUCAACGGGUCUGCAACAUUCAGAUCCGUAUGUAUCUUGCAAAUUUCUAUGUCUCCCACCUGGACUAAAUCCCGGAUGGAAUUGAAGCGUCUUUUGAUGUGCUUGGUUCACUUGUGAAAUCUGGAUUCCUUCGCCAAGGCAAUUGCACCAGUAUUGUCACAAAAGAUUUUCAUUGGACCCGAUGCACUAGGUAUGACACCUAGAUCGGAUAUGAACUCCUUCAUCCAGACUCCUUCAUUUGCUGCUUCCGAAGCAGCUAUGUAUUCCGCCUCACACGUAGAUCCCGCCACGACGCUUUGUUUAGAACUGCACCAACUGACAGCUCCACCGUUUAAUGUAAACACGUAUCCGGUUUGCGAUUUAGAAUCGUCCGGAUCUGUGUCAAAGCUUGCAUCAACGUAACCAUUUACGAUGAGCUCUUUGUCACCUCCAUAAACGAGAAACAUAUCCUUAGUCCUUUUCAGGUAUUUCAGGAUGUUCUUGACCGCUGUCCAGUGAUCCACUCCUGGAUUACUUUGGUACCUCCCUGCUAGACUUAUAGCAAGGCACACAUCAGGUCUGGUACACAGCAUUGCAUACAUUAGAGCCUAUGGCUGAAGCAUAGGGAACAUCUUUCAUCUCCUCUCUAUCUUCUGCAGUGGUCGGGCAUUGAGUCUUACUCAACUUCACACCUUGUAACACAUGCAAGAACCCUUUCUUUGCUUGAUCCAUUUUGAACUUCUUCAAAACUUUGUCAAGGUAUGUGCUUUGUGAAAGUCCAAUUAAGCGUCUUGAUCUAUCUCUAUAGAUCUUGAUGCCCAAUAUAUACGCAGCUUCACCGAGGUCUUUCAUUGAAAAACUCUUAUUCAAGUAUCCCUUUAUGCUAUCCAGAAAUUCUAUAUCAUUUCCAAUCAGCAAUAUGUCAUCCACAUAUAAUAUCAGAAAUGCUACAGAGCUCCCACUCACUUUCUUGUAAAUAUAGGCUUCUCCAAAAGUCUGUACAAAACCAAAUGCUUUGAUCACACUAUCAAAGCGUUUAUUCCAACUCCGAGAGGCUUGCACCAGUCCAUAAAUGGAUCGCUGGAGCUUGCACACUUUGUUAGCUCCCUUUGGAUCAACAAAACCUUCCGGUUGCAUCAUAUACAACUCUUCUUCCAGAAAUCCAUUCAGGAAUGCAGUUUUGACAUCCAUUUGCCAAAUUUCAUAAUCAUAAAAUGCGGCAAUUGCUAACAUGAUUCGGACAGACUUAAGCAUCGCUACGGGUGAGAAGGUCUCAUCGUAGUCAAUCCCUUGAACUUGUCGAAAACCUUUUGCAACAAGUCGAGCUUUAUAGACAGUAACAUUACUGUCAGCGUCAGUCUUCUUCUUGAAGAUCCAUUUAUUCUCAAUUGCUUGCCGAUCAUCGGGCAAGUCAACCAAAGUCCACACUUUGUUCUCAUACAUGGAUCCCAUCUCAGAUUUCAUGGCCUCAAGCCAUUUCGCGGAAUCUGGGCUCACCAUCGCUUCUUCAUAGUUCGUAGGUUCGUCAUGGUCCAGUAACAUAACUUCCAGAACAGGAUUACCAUACCACUCUGGUGCGGAUCUUACUCUGGUUGACCUACGAGGUUCAGUAAUAACUUGAUCUGAAGUUUCAUGAUCAUCAUCAUUAACUUCCUCACUAAUUGGUGUAGGUGUCGCAGAAACCGAUUUCUGCGAUGAACUACUUUCCAAUAAGGGAGCAGGUACAGUUACCUCAUCAAGUUCUACUUUCCUCCCACUCACUUCUUUCGAGAGAAACUCCUUCUCCAGAAAAAUUCCGAAUUUAGCAACAAAAGUUUUUCCUUAGGAUCUGUGAUAGAAGGUGUACCCAACAGCCUCCUUUGUGUAUCCUAUGAAGACACAUUUCUCCGAUUUGGGUUCGAGCUUAUCAGGUUGAAGCUUUUUCACAUAAGCAUCGCAGCCCCGAACUUUAAGAAACGACAACUUUGGUUUCUUGCCAAACCACAGUUCAUAAGGCGUCGUCUCAACGGAUUUUGAUGGUGCCCUAUUUAACGUGAAUGCGGCCGUCUCUAAAGCAUAACCCCAAAACGAUAGCGGUAAAUCAGUAAGAGACAUCAUAGAUCGCACCAUAUCUAGUAGAGUACGAUUACGACGUUCGGACACACCUUUACGCUAUGGUGUUCCGGGUGGCGUGAGUUGCAAAACUAUUCCGCAUUGUUUCAAAUGAAGACCAAACUCAUAACUCAAAUAUUCUCCUCCACGAUCAGAUCGUAGAAACUUUAUUUUCUUGUUACGAUGAUUUUCAACUUCACUCUGAAAUUCUUUGAACUUUUCAAAUGUUUCAGACUUAUGUUUCAUUAAGUAGAUAUACCCAUAUCUGCUCAAAUCAUCUGUGAAGGUGAGAAAAUAACGAUAUCCGCCACGAGCCUCAAUAUUCAUCGGACCAAAUACAUCUGUAUGUAUGAUUUCCAACAAAUCUGUUGCUCUCUCCAUAGUUCCGGAGAACGGCGUUUUAGUCAUCUUGCCCAUGAGGCACGGUUCGCAAGUACCAAGUGGUUCCAAAAGUCCAUCAGUAUGGAGUUUCUUCAUGCGCUUUACACCGAUAUAACCUAAACGGCAGUGCCACAAAUAAGUUGCACUAUCAUUAUCAACUCUGCAUCUUUUGGCUUCAAUAUUAUGAAUAUGUGUAUCACUACUAUCAAGAUUCAACAAAAAUAGACCACUCUUCAAGGGUGCAUGACCAUAAAAGAUAUUACUCAUAUAAAUAGAACAACCAUUAUUCUCUGAUUUAAAUGAAUAACCAUCUCGCAUCAAACAAGAUCCAGAUAUAAUGUUCAUGCUUAACGCUGGCACCAAAUAACAAUUAUUUAGGUCUAAAACUAAUCCCGAAGGUAGAUGUAGAGGUAGCGUGCCGACCGCGAUCACAUCGACUUUGGAACCAUUUCCCACACGCAUCAUCACCUCGUCCUUAGCCAAUCUUCGCUUAAUCCGUAGCCCCUGUUUCGAGUUGCAAAUAUUAGCAACAGAACCAGUAUCACAUACCCAGGUGCUACUGCGAGCAUUAGUAAGGUACACAUCAAUAACAUGUAUAUCACAUAUACCUUUGUUCACCUUGCCAUCCUUCUUAUCCGCCAAAUACUUGGGGCAGUUCCGCUUCCAGUGACCAGUCUGCUUGCAGUAGAAGCACGCAGUCUCAGGCAUAGGUCCAGACUUGGGUUUCUUCUCCUGAGCAGCAACUUGCUUGCUGUUCUUCUUGAAGUUCCCCUUCUUCUUCCCUUUGCCCUUUUUCUUGAAACUGGUGGUCUUAUUGACCAUCAACACUUGAUGCUCCUUUUUGAUUUCUACCUCCGCAGCCUUUAGCAUUGCAAAGAGCUCGGGAAUUGUCUUAUCCAUCCCUUGCAUGUUAUAGUUCAUCACGAAGCUCUUGUAGCUUGGUGGCAGUGAUUGGAGAAUUCUGUCAAUGACGCUAUCAUCCGGAAGAUUAACUCCCAGUUGAAUCAUGUGAUUAUUAUACCCAGACAUUUUGAGUAUAUGCUCACUGACAGAACUAUUCUCCUCCAUCUUGCAGCUGUAGAACUUAUUGGAGACUUCAUAUCUCUCAAUCCGGGCAUUCUUUUGAAAUAUUAACUUCAACUCCUGGAACAUCUCAUAUGCUCCAUGACAUUCAAAACGUCAUUGAAGUCCCGGUUCUAAGCCGUAAAGCAUGGCACAUUGAACUAUCGAGUAGUCAUCAACACGUGACUGCCCGGCACAAUGUCUGCAGUUGCUGGCGCAGGUGGUACACCUAGCGGUGCUUCCAGGACGUAAUUCUUCUGUGCAGCAAUGAGGAUAAUCCUCAAGUUACGGACCCAGUCCGUGUAAUUGCUACCAUCAUCUUUCAACUUUGCUUUCUCAAGGAACGCAUUAAAAUUCAACGGAACAACAGCACGGGCCAUCCAUCCACAAUCAACAUAGACAAGCAAGAUACUAUCAGGUACUAAGUUCAUGAUAAAUUCAAGUUCAAUUAAUCAUAUUACUUAAGAACUCCCACUUAGAUAGACAUCCCUCUAAUCCUCUAAGUGAUCACGUGAUCCAUAUCAACUAAACCAUGUCCGAUCAUCACGUGAGAUGGAGUAGUUUCAACGGUGAACAUCACUAUGUUGAUCAUAUCUACUAUAUGAUUCAUGCUCGACCUUUCGGUCUCCGUGUUCCGAGGCCAUAUCUGUUAUAUGCUAGGCUCGUCAAGCUUAACCUGAGUAUUCCGCGUGUGCAACUGUUUUGCACGCGUUGUAUUUGAACAUAGAGCCUAUCACACCCGAUCAUCACAUGGUGUCUCAGCACGAAGAACUUUCGCAAUGGUGCAUACUCAGGGAGAACACUUAUACUUUGAUAAUUUAGUGAGGGGUCAUCUUAUAAUGCUACCAUCAAUCAAAGCAAGAUAAGAUGCAUAAAAGAUAAACAUCACAUGCAAUCAAUAUAAGUGAUAUGAUAUGGCCAUCAUCAUCUUGUGCUUGUGAUCUCCAUCUCCGAAGCACCGUCAUGAUCACCAUCGUCACCGGCGCGACACCUUGAUCUCCAUCGUAGCAUUGUUGUCGUCUCGCCAAUCUUAUGCUUCUAUGACUAUCGCUACCGCUUAGUGAUAAAGUAAAGCAUUACAGGGCGAUUGCAUUGCAUACAAUAAAGCGACAACCAUAUGGCUCCUGCCAGUUGCCGAUAACUCGGUUACAAAACAUGAUCAUCUCAUACAAUAAAUUUAGCAUCAUGCUUUGACCAUAUCACAUCACAACAUGCCCUGCAAAAACAAGUUAGACGUCCUCUACUUUGUUGUUGCAAGUUUUACGUGGCUGCUACGGGCUUAGCAAGAACCGUUCUUACCUACGCAUCAAAACCACAAUGAUAGUUUGUCAAGUUGGUGCUGUUUUAACCUUCGCAAGGACCGGGCGUAGCCACACUCGGUUCAACUAAAGUUGGAGAAACUGACACCCGCCAGCCACCUAUGUGCAAAGCACGUCGGUAGAACCAGUCUCGCAUAAGCGUAUGCGUAAUGUCGGUCCGGGCCGCUUCAUCCAACAAUACCGCCGAACCAAAGUAUGACAUGCUGGUAAGCAGUACGACUUAUAUCGCCCACAACUCACUUGUGUUCUACUCGUGCAUAUGACAUCUACGUAUAAAACCUGGCUCAGAUGCCACUGUUGGGGAUACUUUCCGAUGUGUAGAUGAAAUAGGAAAUAUGCCCUAGAGGCAAUAAUAAAGUUAUUAUUUAUUUCCUUAUAUCAUGAUAAAUGUUUAUUAUUCAUGCUAGAAUUGUAUUAACCGGAAACAUAAUACUUGUGUGAAUACAUAGAUAAACAAAGUGUCACUAGUAUGCCUCUACUUGACUACCUCGUUGAUCAAAGAUGGUUAUGUUUCCUAACCAUAGACAUGAGUUGUCAUUUGAUUAACGGGAUCACAUCAUUAGGGGAAUGAUGUGAUUGACUUGACCCAUUCCGUUAGCUUAGCACACGAUCGUUUAGUAUUCUGCUAUUGCUUUCUUCAUGACUUAUACAUGUUCCUAUAACUAUGAGAUUAUGCAACUCCCGUUUACCGGAGGAACACUUUGUGUGCUACCAAACGUCAGAACGUAACUGGGUGAUUAUAAAGGUGCUCUACAGGUGUCUCCGAAGGUACUUGUUGGGUUGGCGUAUUUCGAGAUUAGGAUUUGUCACUCCGAUUGUCGGAGAGGUAUCUCUGGGACCACUCGAUAAUGCACAUCACUAUAAGCCUUGCAAGAAUUGCAACUAAUGAGUUAGUUGCGGGAUGAUGUAUUACAGAACGAGUAAAGAGACUUGCCGAUAACAAGAUUGAACUAGGUAUUGAGAUACCGACGAUCGAAUCUCGGGCAAGUAACAUACCGAUGACAAAGGGAACGACAUAUGUUGUUAUGCGGUUUGACCGAUAAAGAUCUUUGUAGAAUAUGUGGGAGCCAAUAUGAGCAUCCAGGUUCCGCUAUUGGUUAUUGACCGGAGACGUGUCUCGGUCAUGUCUACAUUGUUCUCGAACCCGUAGGGUCCGCACGCUUAAAGUUCGAUGACGGUUAUAUUAUGAGUUUAUGUGUUUUGAUGUACCGAAGGUAGUUCGGGGUCCCGGAUGAGAUCGGGGACAUGACGAGGAGUCUCGAAAUGGUCGAGACGUAAAGAUCGAUAUAUUGGACGACUAUAUUCGGACAUCGGAAAGGUUCCUAGUGAUUCGGGUAUUUUUCGGAGUACCGGAGAGUUACGGGAAUUCGCCGGGGAGUAUAUGGGCCUUAUUGGGCUUUAGGGGAAAGAGAGAGGAGAGGCUGGGCGCCCCCCCAAGGCCUAGUCCUAAUUGUACUAGGGGGAGGGGCUGCGCCCCCUCCUUCCUUCUCUUCUCUCUCCCCUUUCCUUGACUCCUACUCCUACUACUUGGAAGGGGGGGAAUCCUACUCCCGGUGGGAGUAGGACUCCUCCUAGGGCGCGCCAUAGAGAGGGCCGGCCCUCCCCCCUCCUCCACUCCUUUAUAUACGGGGAGGGGGGCACCCCUUGGAGACACAACAAUUGAUCUCUUGAUCUCUUAGCCGUGUGCGGUGCCCCCCUCCACCAUAAUCCACCUCGAUAAUAUCGUAGCGGUGCUUAGGCGAAGCCCUGCGUCGGUAGAACAUCAUCAUCAUCACCACGCCGUCGUGCUGACGGAACUCUCCCUCAAAGCUCGGCUGGAUCGGAGUUCGAGGGACGUCAUCGAGCUGAACGUGUGCUGAACUCGGAGGUGCCGUGCGUUCGGUACUUGAUCGGUCGGAUCGUGAAGACGUACGACUACAUCAACCAUGUUGUGCUAACGCUUCCGCUUUCGGUCUACGAGGGUACGUGGACAACACUCUCCCCUCUCGUUGCUAUGCAUCACCAUGAUCUUGUGUGUGUAGGAAUUUUUUUGAAAUUACUACGUUCCCCAACAGUGGCAUCCGAGCCUGGUUUUAUGCGUCGGUGUUAUAUGCACGAGUAGAACACAAGUGAGUUAUGUGCGAUACAAGUCAUACUGCUUACCAGCAUGUCAUACUUUGGUUCGGCGGUAUUGUUGGAUGAAGUGGCCCGGACCGACAUUACGCGUACGCUUACGCGAGACUGGUUUUACCGCCGUGCUAUGCACACAGGUGACUAGCGGGUGUCAGUUUCUUCAACUUUAGUUGAACCGAGUGUGGCUACGCCCGGUCCUUGCGAAGGUUAAAACAACACCAACUUGACAAACUAUCGUUGUGGUUUUGAUGCGUAGGUAAGAACGGUUCUUGCUCAGCCCGUAGCAGCCACGUAAAGCUUGCAACAACAAAGUAGGGGACGUCUAACUUGUUUUUGCAGGGCAUGUUGUGAUGUGAUAUGGUCAAGGCAUGAUGCUAUAUUUUAUUGUAUGAGAUGAUCAUGUUUUGUAACCGAGUUAUCGGCAACUGGCAGGAGCCAUAUGGUUGUCGCUUUAUUGUAUGCAAUGCAAACGCCCUGUAAUGCUUUACUUUAUCACUAAGCGGUAGCGAUAGUCGUAGAAGCAUAAGUUGGCGAGACGACAGCGAUGCUACGAUGGAGAUCAAGGUGUCGCACCGGUGAUGAUGGUGAUCAUGACGGUGCUUCGGAGAUGGAGAUCACAAGCACAAGAUGAUGAUGGCCAUAUCAUAUCACUUAUAUUGAUUGCAUGUGAUGUUUAUCUUUUAUGCAUCUUAUCUUGCUUUGAUUGACGGUAGCAUUAUAAGAUGAUGUCUCACUAAAUUAUCAAGGUAUAAAUGUUCUCCCUGAGUAUGCACCGUUGCGAAAGUUCUUCGUGAUGAGACACCACGUGAUGAUCGGGUGUGAUAGGCUCUACGUUCAAAUACAACGGGUGCAAAACAGUUGCACACGCGGAAUACUCAGGUUAAACUUGACGAGCCUAGCAUAUAACAGAUAUGGCCUCGGAACACUGAGACCGAAAGGUCGAGCGUGAAUCAUAUAGUAGAUAUGAUCAACAUAGUGAUGUUCACCAUUGAAACUACUCCAUCUCACGUGAUGAUCGGACAUGGUUUAGUUGAUAUGGAUCACGUGAUCACUUAGGAGAUUAGAGGGAUGUCUAUCUAAGUGGGAGUUCUUAAGUAAUAUGAUUAAUUGAACUUAAAUUUAUCAUGAACUUAGUCCUGGUAGUAUUAGCAUAUCUAUGUUGUAGAUCAAUAGCUCGCGUUGUUGCUUCCCUAUGUUUAUUUUGAUAUGUUCCUAGAGAAAAACUAUGUUGAAAGAUGUUAGUAGCAAUGAUGCAGAUUGUAUCCGUGAUCUGAGGAUUAUCCUCAUUGCUGCACAGAAGAAUUAUGUCCUUGAUGCACCGCUAGGUGACAGACCUAUUGCAUGAGCAAAUGCAGACGUUAUGAACGUUUGGCUAGCUCAAUAUGACGACUACUUAAUAUUUUAGUGCACCAUGCUUAAUGGCUUAGAAUCGGGACUUCAAAGACGUUUUGAACGUCAUGGACCAUAUGAGAUGUUCCAGGAGUUGAAGUUAAUAUUUCAAGCAAAUACCCGAGUUGAGAGAUAUGAAGUCUCCAACAAGUUCUAUAGCUAAAAGAUGGAGGAGAAUAGCUCAAGCAGUGAGCAUAUGCUCAGAUUGUCUGGGUACUACAAUCGCUUGAAUCAAGUGGGAGUUAAUCUUCCAGAUAAAAUAGUGAUUUGACAGAAUUCUCCAGUCACCAUCACCAAGUUAGUAGAACUUCGUGAUGAACUAUAAUAUGCAAGGGAUGACAAAAGUAAUUCCCGAGCUCUUCGCGAUGUUGAUAUCGGCGAAGGUAGAAAUCAAGAAAAGAGCAUCAAGUGUUGAUGGUUAACAAGGUCACUAGUUUCAAGAAAAGGGCAAAGGGAAAGAAGGGGAACUUCAAGAAGAACGGCAAGCAAGUUGCUGCUCAAGUGAAGAAGCCCAAGUUUGGACCAAAGCCUGAUACUGAGUGGUUCUACUGCAAAAAGGACUGGUCACUGGAAGCGGUACUACCCCAAACAAUUGGUGGAUAAGAAGGAUGGCAAAGUGAACAAAAGUAUAUUUGAUAUACAUGUUAUUGAUGUGUACUUUACUAGUGUUUAUAGCAACCCCUCGGUACUUGAUACUGGUUCAGUUGCUAAAGAGUAGUAACUCGAAACAGGAGUUACAUAAUGAACAGAAACUAGUUAAGGAUGAAGUGACGAUGUGUAUUGGAAGUGGUUCCAAGAUUGAUAUGAUCAUCAUCGCACACUCCCUAUACUUUCGGGAUUAGUGUUGAACCUAAAUAAGUGUUAUUUGGUGUUUGCGUUGAGCAUGAAUAUGAUUUGAUCAUGUUUAUUGCAAUAAGGUUAUUCAUUUAAGUUAGAGAAUAAUUGUUGUUCUGUUUACAUGAAUAAAACCUUAUAUGGUUACACACCCAAUGAAAAUGGUUCGUUGGAUCUCGAUCGUAAGUGAUACACAUAUUCAUAAUAUUGAAGCCAAAAGAUGCAAAGUUAAUAAUGAUAGUGCAACUUAUUUGUGGCACUGCCGUUUAAGUCAUAUUGGUGUAAAGCGCAUGAAGAAACUCCAUGCUGAUGGGCUUUUGGAAUCACUUGAUUACGAAUCACUUGAUGCUUGCGAACCAUGCCUCUUGGGCAAGAUGACUAAAACGCCGUUCUCCGGAACAAUAGAGCGAGCAACAUAUUUGUUGGAAAUCAUACAUACUGAUGUAUGUGGUUCGAUGAAUAUUGAGGCUCGAGGCAGGUAUCAUUAUUUUCUGACCUUCACAGAUGAUUUGAGCAGAUAUGGGUAUAUCUACUUGAUGAAACAUAAAGUCUGAAACAUUUGAAAAGUUCAUAUAAUUUCAGAGUGAAGUGGAAAAUCAUUGUAACAAGAAAAUAAAGUUUCUAUGAUCUGAUCGUGGAGGAGAAUAUUUGAGUUACGAGUUUGGUCUUCAUUUGAAACAAUGCGGAAUAGUUUCGCAACUCACGCCACCUGGAACACCAUAGCAUAAUGGUGUGUCCGGACGUCAUAGCCAUACUUUAUUAGAUAUGGUGCGAUCUAUGAUGUUUCUUACCGAUUUACCACUAUAGUUUUGGGGUUAUGCAUUAGAGACAGCUGCAUUCACAUUAAAAAGGGGCACCAUCUAAAUCCGUUGAGACGACACCGUAUGAACUGUGGUUUGGCAAGAAACCAAAGUUGUCGUUUCUUAAAGUUUGAGGUUGCGAUGCUUAUAAGAAAAAGUUUCAUUCUGAUAAGCUCAAACUCAAAUCGGAGAAAUGUGUCUUCAUAGGAUACCCAAAGGAGACAGUUGGGUACACCUUCUAUCACAGAUCCGAAGGCAAGAUAUUCGUUGCUAAGAAUGGAUCCUUUCUAGAGAAGGAGUUUCUCUCGAAAGAAGUGAGUGGGAGGAAAGUAGAACUUGAUGAGGUAACUGUACCUGCUCCCUUAUUGGAAAUUAGUUCAUCACAAAAAUCUGUUCCUGUGACUCCUACACCAAUUAGUGAGGAAGCUAAUGAUGAUGAUCAUGUAACUUCAGAUCAAGUUACUACCGAACCUCGUAGGUUAACCAGAGUAAGAUCCGCACCAGAGUGGUACGGUAAUCCUGUUCUCGAGGUCAUGUUACUUGACCAUGACGAACCUACGAACUAUGAGGAAGCGAUGAUGAGCCCAGAUUCCGCGAAAUGGUUUGAGGCCAUGAAAUCUGAGAUGGGAUCCAUGUAUGAGAACAAAGUGUGGACUUUGGUUGACUUGCCCGAUGAUCGGCAAGACAUAGAAAAUAAAUGGAUCUUCAAGAGGAAGACGGACGCUGAUAGUAGUGUUACUAUCUACAAGGCUAGAAUUGUCGCAAAAAGGUUUUCGACAAGUUCAAGGUGUUGACUACGAUGAGAGUUUCUCAUUCGUAUCUAUGCUUAAGUCUGUCCGAAUCAUGUUAGCAAUUGCCGCAUUUUAUGAAAUCUGGCAAAUGGAUAAACAAAACUGCAUUCCUUAAUGGAUUUAUUAAAGAAGAGCUGUAUAUGAUGCAACAAGAAGGUUUUAUCAAUCCUAAAGGGGCUAACAAAAUAUGCAAGCUCCAACGAUCCAUCUAUGGACUAGGGCAAGCAUCUCGGAGUUGGAAUAUACGCUUUGAUAAAUUGAUCAAAGCAUUUAGUUUUAUACAGACUUGAGGUGAAGCCUGUAUUUACAAGAAAGUGAGUGCGGGCACUACAACAUUUCUGAUAAGUAUAUGUGAAUGACAUAUUGUUGAUCGGAAAUAAUGUAGAACUAUUCUGCAAAGCAUAAAGGAGUGUUUGAAAGGAGUUUUUUCAAAGAAAGACCUCGGUGAAGCUGCUUACAUAUUGAGCAUCAAGAUCUAUAGAGAUAGAUCAAGAUGCUUGAUAAGUUUAUUCAAUGAGUACAUACCUUGACAAGAUUUUGAAGUAGUUCAAAAUGGAACAGUCAAAGAAAGAGUUCUUGCCUGUGUUACAAGGUGUGAAAUUGAGUAAGACUCAAAAGCCCGACCACGGCAGAAGAUAGAAAGAGAAUGAAAGUCAUUCCCUAUGCCUCAGCUAUAGGUUCUAUAAAGUAUGCCAUGUUGUGUACCAGAUCUAUUGUAUACCCUACACUAAGUUUGGCAAAGGAGUACAAUAGUGAUCUAGGAGUAGAUCGCUGAACAGCGGUCAAAAUUAUCCUUAGUGGAAUAAGGAUAUGUUUCUUGAUUAUGGAGGUGACAAAAGGUUCGUCGUAAACGGUUACGUCGAUGCAAGCUUUGACACCGAUCUGGAUGACUCAAAGUCUCGAUCUAGAUACAUAUUGAAAGUGGGAGCUAUUAGCUAGAGUAGCUCCGUGCAGAGCAUUGUAAACAUAGAAAUUUGCAAAAUACUUACGGAUCUGAAUGUGACAGACCCGUUGACUAAAAUUAUCUCACAAGCAAAACAUGAUCACACCUUAGUACUCUUUGGGUGUUAAUCACAUAGCGAUGUGAACUAGAUUACUGACUCUAGUAAACCCUUUGGGUGUUGGUCACAUGUCGAUGUGAACUAUGGGUGUUAACCACAUAAAGAUGUGAACCAUUGAUGUUAAAUCACAUGGCGAUGUGAACUAGAUUAUUGACUCUAGUGCAAGUGGGAGACUAAAGGAAAUAUGCCCUAGAGGCAAUAAUAAAGUUAUUAUUUAUUUCCUUAUAUCAUGAUAAAUGUUUAUUAUUCAUGCUAGAAUUGUAUUAACCGGAAACAUAAUACUUGUGUGAAUACAUAGACAAACAAAGUGUCACUAGUAUGCCUCUACUUGACUAGCUCGUUGAUCAAAGAUGGUUAUGUUUCCUAACCAUAGACAUGAGUUGUCAUUCGAUUAACGGGAUCACAUCAUUAGGAGAAUGAUGUGAUUGACUUGACCCAUUCCGUUAGCUUAGCACAUGAUCUUUUAGUAUUAUGCUAUUGCUUUCUUCAUGACUUAUACAUGUUCCUAUAACUAUGAGAUUAUGCAACUCCCGUUUACCGGAGGAACACUUUGUGUGCUACCAAACGUCACAACGUAACUGGGUGAUUAUAAAGGUGCUCUACAGGUGUCUCCAAAGAUACUUGUUGGGUUGGCGUAUUUCGAGAUUAGGAUUUGUCACUCCGAUUGUCGGAGAGGUAUCUCUGGGCCCACUCGGUAAUGCACAUCACUAUAAGCCUUGCAAGCAUUGCAACUAAUGAGUUAGUUGCGGGAUGAUGUAUUACAGAACGAGUAAAGAGACUUGCCGGUAACGAGAUUGAACUAGGUAUUGAGAUACCGACGAUCGAAUAUCGGGCAAGUAAUAUACCGAUGACAAAGGGAACAACAUAUGUUGUUAUGCGGUUUGACCGAUAAAGAUCUUCAUAGAAUAUGUGGCAGCCAAUAUGAGCAUCCAGGUUCCGCUAUUGUUUAUUGACCGGAGACGUGUCUCGGUCAUGUCUAUAUUGUUCUCGAACCCGUAGGAUCCGCAUGCUUAAGGUUCAAUGAUGGUUAUAUUAUGAGUUUAUGUGUUUUGAUGUACCGAAGGUAGUUAGGAGUCCCGGAUGAGAUCGGGGACAUGACGAGGAGUCUCGAAAUGGUCGAGACGUAAAGAUCGAUAUAUUGGACGACUAUAUUCGGACAUCGGAAAGGUUCCGAGUGAUUCGGAUAUUUUUCGGAGUACCGGAGAGUUACGGGAAUUCGCCGGGGAGUAUAUGGGCCUUAUUGGGCUUUAGGGGAAAGAGAGAGGAGAGGCUGGGCGCCCCCCAAGGUCUAGUCCUAAUUGGACUAGGGGGAGGGGCUGCGCCCCCUCCUUCCUUCUCUUCUCUCUCCCCUUUCCUUGACUCCUACUCCUACUACUUGGAAGGGGGGAAUCCUACUCCCGGUGGGAGUAGGACUCCUCCUAGGGCGCGCCAUAGAGAGGGCCGGCCCUCCCCCUCCUCCACUCCUUUAUAUACGGGGAGGGGGCACCCCUUGGAGACACACCAAUUGAUCUCUUGAUCUCUUAGCCGUGUGCGGUGCCCCCCUCCACCAUAAUCCACCUCAAUAAUAUCGUAGCGGUGCUUAGGCGAAGCCCUGCAUCGGUAGAACAUCAUCAUCGUCACCACGCCGUCGUGCUGACGGAACUCUCCCUCAAAGCUCGGCCGGAUCGGAGUUCGAGGGACGUCAUCGAGCUGAACGUGUGCUGAAAUCGGAGGUGCCGUGCAUUCGGUACUUGAUCGGUCGGAUCGUGAAGACGUACGACUACAUCAACCAUGUUGUGCUAACACUUCCGCUUUCGGUCUACGAGGGUACGUGGACAACACUCUCCCCUCUCAUUGCUAUGCAUCACCAUGAUCCUGUGUGUGCGUAGGAAUUUUUUUGAAAUUGCUACGUUCCCCAACAGUGUUCACCGUUGAAACUACUCCAUCUCACGUGAUGAUCGGACAUGGUUUAGUUGAUAUGGAUCACGUGAUCACUUAGAGGAUUAGAGGGAUGUCUAUCUAAGUGGGAGUUCUUAAGUAAUAUGAUUAAUUGAACUUGAAUUUAUCAUGAACUUAGUACCUGAUAGUAUCUUGCUUGUCUAUGUUGAUUGUAGAUAGAUGGCCCGCGCUGUUGUUCCGUUGAAUUUUAAUGUGUUCCUUGAGAAAGCAAAGUUGAAAGAUGAUGGUAGCAAUUACACGGACUGGGUCCGUAACUUGAGGAUUAUCCUCAUUGCUGCAUAGAAGAAUUACGUCCUGGAAGCACCGCUAGGUGUACCACCUGCGCCAGCAAUUGCAGACAUUGUGAAUGCCUGGCAGCCACGUGUUGAUGACUACUCGAUAGUUCAAUGUGCCAUGCUUUACGGCUUAGAACCGGGACUUAAACGACGUUUUGAACGUCAUGGAGCAUAUGAGAUGUUCCAGGAGUUGAAGUUAAUAUUUCAAAAGAAUGCCCGGAUUGAGAGAUAUGAAGUCUCCAAUAAGUUCUACAGCUGCAAGAUGGUUCUGUCAGUGAGCAUAUACUCAAAAUGUCUGGGUAUAAUAAUCACAUGAUUCAACUGGGAGUUAAUCUUCCGGAUGAUAGCGUCAUUAACAGAAUUCUCCAAUCACUGCCACCAAGCUACAAGAGCUUCGUGAUGAACUAUAACAUGCAAGGGAUGGAUAAGACAAUUCCCGAGCUCUUUGCAAUGCUAAAGGCUGCGGAGGUAGAAAUCAAAAAGGAGCAUCAAGUGUUGAUGGUCAAUAAGACCACCAGUUUCAAGAAAAAGGGCAAAGGAAAGAAGAAGGGGAACUUCAAGAAGAACAGCAAGCAAGUUGCUGCUCAGGAGAAGAAACCCAAGUCUGGACCUAAGCCUGAGACUGAGUGCUUCUACUGCAAGCAGACUGGUCACUGGAAGCGGAACUGCCCCAAGUAUUUGGCGGAUAAGAAAGAUGGCAAGGUGAACAAAGGUAUAUGUGAUAUACAUGUUAUUGAUGUGUACCUUACUAAUGCUCGCAGUAGCACCUGGGUAUUUGAUACUGAUUCUGUUGCUAAUAUUUGCAACUCGAAACAGGGGCUACGGAUUAAGCGAAGAUUGGCUAAGGACGAGGUGACGAUGCGCGUGGGAAAUGGUUCCAAAGUCGAUGUGAUCGCGGUCGGCACGCUACCUCUACAUCUACCUUCGGGAUUAGUUUUAGACCUAAAUAAUUGUUAUUUGGUGCCAGCGUUAAGCAUGAACAUUAUAUCUGGAUCUUGUUUGGUGCGAGACGGUUAUUCAUUUAAAUCAGAGAAUAAUGGUUGAUCUAUUUAUAUGAGUAAUAUCUUUUAUGGUCAUGCACCCUUGAAGAGUGGUCUAUUUUUGUUGAAUCUUGAUAGUAGUGAUACACAUAUUCAUAAUAUUGAAGCCAAAAGAUGCAGAGUUGAUAAUGAUAGUGCAACUUAUUUGUGGCACUGCCGUUUAGGUCAUAUCGGUGUAAAGCGCAUGAAGAAACUCCAUACUGAUGGACUUUUGGAACCACUUGAUUAUGAAUCACUUGGUACUUGCGAACCGUGCCUCAUGGGCAAGAUGACUAAAAUGCCGUUCUCCGGAACUAUAGAGAGAGCAACAGAUUUGUUGGAAAUCAUACAUACAGAUGUAUUUGGUCCGAUGAAUAUUGAGGCUCGUGGCGGAUAUCGUUAUUUUCUCACCUUCACAGAUGAUUUGAGCAGAUAUGGGUAUAUCUACUUAAUGAAACAUAAGUCUGAAACAUUUGAAAAGUUCAAAGAAUUUCAGAGUGAAGUUGAAAAUCAUCGUAACAAGAAAAUAAAGUUUCUACGAUCUGAUCGUGGAGGAGAAUAUUUGAGUUAUGAGUUUGGUCUUCAUUUGAAACAAUGCGGAAUAGUUUUGCAACUCACGCCACCCGGAACACCAUAGCGUAAAGGUGUGUCCGAACGUCGUAAUCGUACUCUACUAGAUAUGGUGCGAUCUAUGAUGUCUCUUACUGAUUUACCGCUAUCGUUUUGGGGUUAUGCUUUAGAGACGGCCGCAUUCACGUUAAAUAGGGCACCAUCAAAAUCCGUUGAGACGACGCCUUAUGAACUGUGGUUUGGCAAGAAACCAAAGUUGUCGUUUCUUAAAGUUCGGGGCUGCGAUGCUUAUGUGAAAAAGCUUCAACCUGAUAAGCUCGAACCCAAAUCGGAGAAAUGUGUCUUCAUAGGAUACACAAAGGAGGCUGUUGGGUACACCUUCUAUCACAGAUCCUAAGGAAAAACUUUUGUUGCUAAAUUCGGAAUUUUUCUGGAGAAGGAGUUUCUCUCGAAAGAAGUGAGUGGGAGGAAAGUAGAACUUGAUGAGGUAACUGUACCUGCUCCCUUAUUGGAAAGUAGUUCAUCGCAGAAAUCGGUUUCUGCGACACCUACACCAAUUAGUGAGGAAGUUAAUGAUGAUGAUCAUGAAACUUCAGAUCAAGUUAUUACUGAACCUCGUAGGUCAACCAGAGUAAGAUCCGCACCAGAGUGGUAUGGUAAUCCUGUUCUGGAAGUUAUGUUACUGGACCAUGACGAACCUACGAACUAUGAAGAAGCGAUGGUGAGCCCAGAUUCCGCGAAAUGGCUUGAGGCCAUGAAAUCUGAGAUGGGAUCCAUGUAUGAGAACAAAGUGUGGACUUUGGUUGACUUGCCCGAUGAUCGGCAAGCAAUUGAGAAUAAAUGGAUCUUCAAGAAGAAGACUGACGCUGACAGUAAUGUUACUGUCUAUAAAGCUCGACUUGUUGCAAAAGGUUUUCGACAAGUUCAAGGGAUUGACUACGAUGAGACCUUCUCACCCGUAGCGAUGCUUAAGUCUGUCCGAAUCAUGUUAGCAAUUGCCGCAUUUUAUGAUUAUGAAAUUUGGCAAAUGGAUGUCAAAACUGCAUUCCUGAAUGGAUUUCUGGAAGAAGAGUUGUAUAUGAUGCAACCGGAAGGUUUUGUUGAUCCAAAGGGAGCUAACAAAGUGUGCAAGCUCCAGCGAUCCAUUUAUGGACUGGUGCAAGCCUCUCGGAGUUGGAAUAAACGCUUUGAUAGUGUGAUCAAAGCAUUUGGUUUUGUACAGACUUUUGGAGAAGCCUAUAUUUACAAGAAAGUGAGUGGGAGCUCUGUAGCAUUUCUGAUAUUAUAUGUGGAUGACAUAUUGCUGAUUGGAAAUGAUAUAGAAUUUCUGGAUAGCAUAAAGGGAUACUUGAAUAAGAGUUUUUCAAUGAAAGACCUCGGUGAAGCUGCGUAUAUAUUGGGCAUCAAGAUCUAUAGAGAUAGAUCAAGACGCUUAAUUGGACUUUCACAAAGCACAUACCUUGACAAAGUUUUGAAGAAGUUCAAAAUGGAUCAAGCAAAGAAAGGGUUCUUGCAUGUGUUACAAGGUGUGAAGUUGAGUAAGACUCAAUGCCCGACCACUGCAGAAGAUAGAGAGGAGAUGAAAGAUGUUCCCUAUGCUUCAGCCAUAGGCUCUAAUGUAUGCAAUGCUGUGUACCAGACCUGAUGUGUGCCUUGCUAUAAGUCUAGCAGGGAGGUACCAAAGUAAUCCAGGAGUGGAUCACUGGACAGCGGUCAAGAACAUCCUGAAAUACCUGAAAAGGACUAAGGAUAUGUUUCUCGUUUAUGGAGGUGACAAAGAGCUCAUCGUAAAUGGUUACGUUGAUGCAAGCUUUGACACAGAUCCGGACGAUUCUAAAUCGCAAACCGGAUACGUGUUUACAUUAAACGGUGGAGCUGUCAGUUGGUGCAGUUCUAAACAAAGCGUCGUGGCGGGAUCUACGUGUGAGGCGGAAUACAUAGCUGCUUCGGAAGCAGCAAAUGAAGGAGUCUGGAUGAAGGAGUUCAUAUCCGAUCUAGGUGUCAUACCUAGUGCAUCGGGUCCAAUGAAAAUCUUUUGUGACAAUACUGGUGCAAUUGCCUUGGCGAAGAAAUCCAGAUUUCACAAGAGAACCAAGCACAUCAAGAGACAACGUAUUCAGGUUGUAUUAUAUUUAAUUCUUACCUUAGACGAAUGAUAUAUGUGCCAAAUUUUGCGUCCAAUGGGAUGGACCUGUUCUUCUAAGAUGGGACACCACAAUUCCAUUAAAUCUAUGGCUCAGCAAAUGUGCUGGCACAACAAGCACGGCAACGGUUGACAUGUCCUCAACCCAUAGAUGUAUCUAGAUGUAUUUCAGUGAUAAAUAUAUCCACUAGAGCGACAAAUAGUUUGGAUCGGAGGGAGUAGUAGAGAUGAAAUUACGUGUCAUGGUGUAUUUAAUGAUAUGUAUUUCAUAUUCUAGAUGUAAAUAUUUUUUCUAAAAACUUGAUCAAAUUUUGUAAAGUUCGACUUUUCAAAAAGGAUGUAGACACUGCAUUAUGGAACAGAGGGAUUAUUCUGAUUAUGCCAAUACAGAAAAUUCAAAACCACUUUCAGAGAAAAAAUUGCAAUUUCUGCCCUUUCUUUCUAAAACAUUUCUUCACUUUUGUUAUUUGGAGGAAAAAACGUUCCGAACUGAACUGGGCUGAAUUCCGCGGCCCAGCAUCUCUCCCUAUCCACGGGCUGCAGCCCAUCCUCCUUUCUUUCUCUUCUCUUCCACCUGGGCCUUGGCCCAUCUUCUCUCUCAGCCACCCCCACCUCCUUCUUCCGCAGCCGCAGCCACUGCAGUGGACGUAACGCCCGGCUGCGCCGCCGCCGCCGAUCCUGCCGUUUCCUUCAAAUCGAUCGCGUCCGGCCUCCGUCCCCGUAAUUCCCCGAGCCUCGACUCCUUCAGCCUCCAUCUCCAAUUCCCCAUGGACAUGGCGACCUGCCGUCUGCCGACCUGAUUUGAGCGACCAACGACCACGCACUCGUCGGUUCCUCUGACCUCCUCCUCAAUUCCCUUUUUCUAGGUUGGAGCCGCACGCCACCGACGCCGGGAGGCGGCGGCCCGUGCACCCGCCGCUGACGCACUGGACCUGCUCCUCGCCGUCUCUUCGAUCGGUACCGCACACCCACGCCGUACUGCACGCUAGCACGCCGCCGACGCCUGCUCCCUGGUUACAGGUUAUUGCUUAGACUGCCGGCCCUUCUAAUCGAUGAGUUAUAAGUAUCUGAAAUUCAUCACUCAAAAUUUACGAGUUACAGUACAGACUUUGAUGCAUUAGUUGAUGCCUAGACUUGGUCACAAACUUGUAUUGAUUGAUAAUAAGAGAGAUGUGGGUUGGAGCUUCAGUUGGAUCGUUUUAUUGCGGAUGAUAAAAGAGAUAUGGCUUUUUUGCAUGCAUAUUGUGUGUUUUUAUAUCUAAUAACUGGCCCCCUCCGCUUUGGUCAUCCUCCGCCACUGGGUUGGUGCCAUCUAAUCAACUGUCAUUACCUGGGACGAUUUUCCAAAAACAAAACAAUUACACGACGAGAGAGAACUAAUACUACCUCUUUCGAAUUUGUCAGACACCAAAAAAAAAA